RNAcentral lists this long non-coding RNA (144391 nucleotides) under Daucus carota (carrot). Its description in RNAcentral is "long non-coding RNA (DCAR_LNC002601)". Lineage: Eukaryota; Viridiplantae; Streptophyta; Magnoliopsida; Apiales; Apiaceae. The record is from RNAcentral.
CAUAUUUACACAAUCAUUGAUCUGUCCUGCAACAAAUUUCUGGGAGAAAUUCCAAAGGUUACUGGAGAGCUUAUAUGGCUUGCAUUGCUCAACUUAUCUCAUAAUAGUCUAACAGGACCUAUCCCAUCAUUGCUGAGAAAUAUGAAAGAACUCCAAUCUUUAGAUUUGUCUUCAAAUCAACUGACAGGGGCUAUUCCACCUCAGUUAACUGCAUUGACAUAUCUAGAGGUCUUGAACCUCUCGGGAAACCAUCUUAGUGGAGAGAUUCCUCAGAAAGGACAGUUCAGCACAUUCAACAAUGAUUCUUAUCUAGGAAACUCCGCGUUAUGUGGAUCACCAUUGACGAAGAAAUGUGCAAACACAGCAUCACCUCCACAAGAAGUCGGAAAUGUUGAUGAAGAUGAUGCGGGUGAUGAAUUGACAUGGGAAGCAAUCUUGAUGGGAUAUGGAUGUGGACUAAUAUGUGGAUUGUCAUCCGCGUACAUUGUUCUCAAACUAGGAAAGCCUUGGUGGUUUGUGAGAUAUAUCGAAGUGCUGCAACUGAAGUUGAUGAAAAGAUAUGCAUGAAGAAUGGUACUGGCCAAUCAAGACCAACUUGAAAGUUGUUGGACAUUUCUGAACCAGUAGUGUACUAUUCUCUUUGUGGCUGCAUAAGUUUUUGGUAUUGUGUAAUAUUCUGUUUGGUCUUGAAUUUCAGGGGUAUUAAUAUAAACCUUGGUAUUGUGUAAUAUUCUGUUUGAUCAAUGUUUAUAUCAAUAAUUUUAUGCUACUCACGUACUGCAUCAUGCAGCUCUCAUAUUAUCUUCAUAUGUGUAUUAUUUGGAUAUCAAAGUUGCAGGGACAUAUGGAUAUGUGUUAACAGGGACCGCUCCCAAGUAGGGGUGAGCAAAAUCGAACCGGAACCGAAAAAUCGAACCGAACUGCGUAAAUUCAGUUCGGUUCGGUCCUAAUUUUCUGAAAAUUCGAUCCAUUCGGUCAGGACCGAAUACACCGAAAUAAAGUUCGGUCCGGUUCGAUCCGUAAAAAAAUAUUUCGGUCCGGACCGAAUAGACCGAACAGUCCAAAAUAUAUAUAAUUUAUAUUUAUAUUUAUAUUAUAUAUAUCUUAAAUGUUAUAAUUAUAAUAUCUAAUUUGUAAAUUUAAUUAUGAAAAAUGAUAUAAAAUUAUGUGUUAUAUCUUAUAUAUAUAUAUAGAGGGUUACUCCAGUGAGAACUUCUUAAAAUGAGAACCGUGAGAACUUCUUUAAUUUAUCAUAUUUUGAUUAAUCUAAACAUCAAACUAGUGGGUAUCCAAUAUAAAAAGUGUAUAUAAAACUAGUCUCUCCCUAACUAGUCAAAAAAAAAAUUCAAAAAAAAAUUUUAAAAAAAGAAAGUCCACUGCCACGUCAUCAGUGAUUUUUUUUAUUUUUUUUUUAAUUUUUUUUUUCGGCUAGCUAGGUGGAGAUCUUAAUUAUAUACAUUUUUUGUGAAGGUGCCCCUGGCGGGGCCCUUCAUAUAUGUACUUUUCAUAAAUUAUAAAUUAUUGUUUUAAAUAUAUCGAAAUGAUUUCUAUAGAAAUUUAAAUUGUAUGUUUAAAUAAUUUUUUUGAGUGACUUAUGAGUUAUAAAAAGGAUGAUAAUAAAAAUAAAUUUGAUAUGUUAUUUAUACGAGUAAUGAAAUUGAUUUUUGUUAAAAUUUAUAAUGAUGGAAUAAGUUAUUCAGAAAAAUAAAUCUUAUUUAUUUAGAGAUGACAUAUUUUAAUUUUAGAUCAAUUUUUUUCUCACUAAAAAAUUAUUUUAAAAUCAAAAAUAAAUUAAAUGUCUUCGCAUUUAUGCAAACAUGCUCUAAAUUAUGCGCAAUAUUAGCAAUCAGUGACUGAUACACGUGCUGAACCUUCCGAAGAUUUCUGGUCAAAAAUAUCCGUGACCCUUUGAGGAAUACAGGAAUAAUCACACAGCUGGCUUACCAUCUGCACCCAAUUAAUACGGACAACAGUACAUUUAUUAGACUAGAUUUUCAAAAUUUUCAAUAAUAGUAUUAUAUUAUUAUCGGUUUUUCUAGUGAAUGCUCAUGGGCACACACUAAACACCAAAUUUUAUAAAUUUGGUGGUUUUUGAUUGACUCAUGCUUGUUUAUAAUGGUAGAGCCUCCUCAAAUUCACCGACCACACCAAUUAAAAUCCACCAAAAUUAUAGAAUUUGGUACUUAGCAUGUGCUCAUGGCACACACUACAUAAACCCUAUUAUUAUACCUAUUUGAAUUUUUAAAUGAGGGCAUAUAGAAUUUAGAUAUUUAUUUAAAAUUUGUAGUUCGAUUUAGGACCUUAAAUGAAUAUAUUUGAAAUCUCCAAACUUGUAUUAAUAUUUACUUGUGUUUGACUAUAAUAAAAGUUUAUAUUAUAUAUAUAUUAGAUACCUAACACUCCAUGGCAUACGCUCUUAUAUGAAGUUUCAUAGUAUAUCACUGUGCAUAAUAUAUCUAUUAUAUUUUUUAUGAAAUAGAAUUACAAAUUUUUAUUAUUAAAUCGAAAACGAAGUUAUAUAAUUUUUUUAUUCCAAAAGUCAUAUAAAAUUAUCUCAACAUGAUUUUAUAACAGAAUAAUAAUCAUCCAGAAUUAUUUUAAUGUGGAAUCAAUACGUAAAUAAACUUUUUUCUUCAAAUUUUAAGUGUUAAAUUACUUAUAAUAGAUAUAUGUUAUAGUAUUAUAUAUUAGAAUCAUGUUUUAUAUGUAUUCUAUAAUAGAAUUUGUACUAAAUUUGAUGAUUUAUAAUGGUGUACUAUGUAAAUCCAUAUAAUAACUACCUCCGUCCAAUGUUAACCUAUAUACAUAUAUAGGAAUAGGAUCAAAUAAUAUUUUUAAGUUACAAAGUUACAAACUUUUUUUUUGAAUUUUUUUAUUCUCCUAUCGUGUUUAAUCCUUAGUUAUAGAAGUAUCCAUGUUGAAAAUUAUUGAAAAAAUCACAAUUUUUAAAAAUAACGCAUAAAUAAAUCGUGCAUUUAACACAUCUAUAACUGUGGUUCAACAUCGGGUGUAGAACACUAAUUAUCAUUGUAUUGAAUAUAACCAUAAAUAUAUUUAAACUAUGUCUUUGGAGUUUGGGUAGGGUCUAGAAAUAUAAAUAUUAGUUAUAUAAUACGUUUAACUUAGUUCUUAUACUGAAAAAUUAGUUUUUGUAUUUCUCCAACACAAUCGAUGUUUAACAAAAUAUGUUAAAAAAUGUUGAACUCAAAUUAUAUAUAUGAUGAACGCAUAAAAUUUGUAAGUUUGUAAGACUCUUCAAUUAUUUAGGUUUUGGUUGCAUAGGAAGAUAGAAUGAGAAAAGGUUUCACAUUCAAUAUUUUAAAUAACGGUUUUUCUCGUGAGUGCCCAUGAGCACAUGUUAAGCACUGAGAUUCAUAAGUUUGGGUGAUUUUGAUUGGCUACUACUUCUUUAUAAUGGUGGAUCCCCCUACAAAUUCACCAACCACACCAAUCAAAAUCUACCAAACUUAUAAAAUUUGGUGUUUAAGAUGACGUUUGAAUGAGUUUAAAAUUAUGACUUUAUUUAAGAUGAUUUAGGAAACGUUUGAGUGAGGUUAAAAUAAGUGUUUCUUGAUUAAGGUAAAAAAAUGAAAUAGAAGUUAAAAACAAGUUAAGACUUAUAAGUGAUUAAAGUGUUUAGAAAAGAGGUAAAAGCUAGAAUUUGUAACUUUUAAAAAGUGUUUUUGUAUUUUUACACAAACAGGUCAAGAAAAACAGAAGCAAGACUUCUUAGAACGAAAGCACUUCUUUUGCUUGGCCAAACAAGCACUUAAUAUAAUAAUAUGUAAGUUAAAACUAAUUUGUGAUUAAAAAAAAAUAAAACAAUCUGCGAGUUAAAACUGACUGAUUGAAAAUUUUUGACUUAUUAAUAAUUUAUGAGUUGUUAAAAAUAUAAUAAUGAAAAUAAAAGUGAUUUAUGGAUAAUUUAUAACUUAUGAGUAACUGCUAUUAAAAAAAUUAAUUUUCAAAAUUUGUUGACAUAUUUGAUAAUUUUCUAUCAGUUAUGUUUUGUACUUAAUUCUGUUUUUAGAAAUAACAAUUUCAUGAAAACGACCAAUCAGACAGGCACUUGCCAAACUUCUGGUGACCAUAAUUCUUAUCUUAUCAUAUAGUAGUAUUUUAAAAUUAUUCGGAAAUAGAUAAAUUUAAUUGUUUGUAGUUGACAGGAAUAACACAGUUCAAGUCGCAUCAAAGAAAGAAAAGAAUUAAAUGCAUUUCAUUUCGAAUCACUUGUCGGCAUUCUUUUCUUCUGGUAUGCAAAUAAUUUAAUUUACUUUUCACAAAUAAAUAUAAAAACAAAUGCGCACCUACUUAUUAGCGGCCUGCACUGUAGAGUUCAACCGUACUGCAAAGUGGUCCAAGUUUGUUUGUUUAAAUCGUAAAUAUGUUAAAAUUAUGGGGCCAAACUGGUCUAGUCACUUAAUAAAUUAAAAUUAAAAUUUUAAAAAUAAAUAAAAUUUAUGAAUUUCGAUACUAUAAGUACUAAUUCAGUUUUAAUAUAAAAUAAAUUGUAAAAUUAACGUAUCAAGAUUUAAUUAUUUUCUUUCUCAAGAUAUUUGGUAAAAUCUUGGAUUCAUGUUUUCACCGAAAAAGCUCCGCUGAAAAGUACGGUUACAAUAUGAAUAUAUCUCGAUAUUUUAAACUUCAUUUCACUUAAUCUAAAAAUAAUAAUUAUAAGAAAAUUUAAUUAUUGAAUCCUUAACACAAAGUUUAACUACCGAAAAAAAGGCUUAUUAUAAAGGCGUUCUAUUUGGGAGGAAUCUUGUCAUUUUAAAGGCCCAACGCAAUAACCGUAACCAGGCCUUAACUAAGCCCAGUUGUAAUACCUUUAUAUUCUUAGUAGCAAGCAGUGUUGUAAAAAGCGGGAAUCGGACAUCGGUGAAGUUACGGAACAAGGAUUAAUCGAGGAUUAAUUGAAUUGAUCAGGGAUUAAUCGGAUUGAUCGGUGAUUAAUCGGAGAUUUAAUCAGUUCGGCGAGCUACGAAACAAGGAUUAAUCAGUGAUUAAUCGUGAUUAAUCACCGAAUUUUGGAACAGAGGUAGCAAGUAGCAAAUACUUGGCGGGUUUUGAAAUAUUAGUUUUAUUAAAAAAUUAUACUAAAAAAACCCUAUAAACAAUUGAGAUACCACCACGGAAACAACCCAUUGGUCAAAGGCCACCGGUCCACCAGUCCGGAGAUCUUCUUCCAACUGUGUUUAACCAAACAAACCAAUGCUUAAUUAAAUGCCGUUCACACGUUAAUAAAUUAUUAUGAUGCUGAGUCUAUGAUAUUACUGGCAUGAAAACACAGUUUCGUUUUAGAUAAUAUGAGUAUGAUAAUAUUUAUAUAUUGUGUGUGAUCAUAUUCUUUAAAGUAUGAAUUCUAUUUUUUUAAUUCUUUAAUAAAAUAUGUGGAUAUGAAAUGUAAUAUUUGUAACCUAAUUAACAUUAAAUAAUAAUAAAAUAUUGAUAAAUAAAAUAACAAUAAAUUUAAUACUAAUAUCAAAAUCAAUCCAGUUAUUGUACAUAUUACAAGAAUAAAACUUUUUAACUCCAUCAUCAAAAUACAUAAUAAUAAUGUGUAUUUAAAUAUUUAUUGUUAAAUAUAAUCAGUAUUGAACAGAUUAUCUAUAAACAAAUAAAAAAAAUUAAGGUUACAUUAGUUUUAAAUUUUAGAUUUUGAAUAUAAUAGUAAGUCAAUUGUCACAUUUCUAAAUUACACAUAUAAUAGAGCAUAACAGUUAAACAAACUUAUUAUUCUACUAUUUGAUCAAUGGUCAAUUGACCAACUAACUGGAAUAACUAUAGUAAUAAUAAUUGAAUUAUUAGAUUUCAGUCAAUGUACUUAUAAUCUUAUGUUAAGUUGUUUCAUACAGUCGGUUGUUUUAAUAACUAGAUUUGCUAAGAAAACAGAUCAAAGGGGAGCUGUAUGAUUAAGGUCAACUAAUCCAAAUGAUUAAACAUCAUUUCCGGUCUAUAACUUGUCUAAUCCUUAAGACCAAAUCUGGCUUUGAGUUUGUGUAGAUAGACUCUGAAGUUCCUGCAAGAAAUCUGAGAAAUCUGGUCAUGCUGACCCAAGAUUUUCAUUUACGUCAUAUUAAAAACUUUUUAAUAUUCUUAAAUUAUUCUCCUAUAAACAGUGUUGUAAAAAGCGGGAAUCGGACUUAAUCGGUAAAGUCACGGAACAAGGAUUAAUCGGGGAUUAAUUGAAUUGAUCGGUGAUUAAUCGGAGAUUUAAUCAGUUCGGCGAACUACGCAACAGAGAUUAAUCGGUGAUUAAUCGUGAUUAAUCAGCGAUUUUUAGAACAGAGCCUAUAAACAGAAGUGUGCAUUGUAGUUUAAACGCAGUAUCUAGCAUCAAUUUUCAUGUUAAGUGCAAGCAUGACAUACUUUAAAAACCCCUGUUAUCACCUUCUAUCUGUUGUAUUUUUUCUCCUGCUAUUUCCAUCGAUCCCCGCGACAAGAGAAGAAGGAGAAGCUCUAGUGAACUGGAAGAACAGCCUAUCCCCGUCCUCGUUCUUCGAAUCUUGGUCCUCAGCCAAUCUCAACAAUCUUUGUAACUGGACUGGCAUUACCUGCAACUCCGAGGCCUCAGUAUCUGAAAUCAACCUUUCGGAAAAACAACUCCAAGGAACGCUUGCUGAGUUCCGCUUCAAUUUGUUACCAAGUCUAAAAACUUUUACCAUCAGCCGUAACAACUUCACUGGUCCAAUUCCAUCAGAUAUUGGAAAUUCAACUGAGCUUCAAUACGUCGAUUUUAGCUUUAAUUUUCUCAAUGGUUCUAUACCAUAUCAGGUUAGUCAUCUUCAGAGGUUGCGCGCCUUAGACCUGUCAUAUAAUCUCCUGGAAUCUCCAAAUUGGUCCGAGUUUUCGCCCAUUCCUUCCUUGACUAAACUUUAUCUCAGAUCAAAUAAUCUUGCCUCCAAAUUUCCAGGAUUUAUAUCCAGUUGUCAGAGCCUGACAUAUCUUGAUCUUUCACAUAACUUCAUAACAGGCGAUCUCGCGCAAGAAUCAUUAUUUGACAAACUGAUACAUCUUGAAUCCUUCUCUAUUCGUAAUAAUUCUAUUGAGGGGCCGUUUCCACCAAGUAUAUUUCCUCUUUCCAAAUUACGAUUUCUUGACCUAUCAAGAAAUAACUUUUCAGGUUCUAUUCCCCGGAAUAUAGGAUUGCUUCGUGAUCUUGAAUAUCUCAGCUUAUUUUUUAAUUCAUUCGAAGGAAGCAUACCUUCAUCUAUUGGUCUACUUAGGAAGCUUCAAUUACUAGAUAUCGGAUAUAAUUAUUUAAAUUCCUGUAUUCCUCGUGAAAUCGGGCUUUUGACUAAUCUCAGCGAAUUAUAUCUCAAUGUCAAUAGUCUUACUGGCAAAAUUCCUUCUGAGCUCGGCCUCUUGACUAAGCUCAACUAUAUAAUUCUUUUUUCCAAUAAUCUGACCGGAGAUAUUCCAUCUGAAAUCGGAAACCUGAAGCUACUGACUCGGCUUCUCCUCGGGUCUAAUCAUUUGACUGGAUCGGUUGCAAACUCCAUUUCUAAUCUCAGUAAUCUAGAGUUUCUUGGUCUACCUAAUAACAGAUUUUCUGGAAAUAUUCCUAGUGACUUCUGGAAAAAAUAUAAAUCGUUAUUAUACAUCGACUCCAGGAACAACAAUUUGUCAGGAAGCAUUCAGGGAUUUGAUGCUAAUCUGAAUCUUACUUUCAUUAAUCUGAGCGGAAACCAUCUUACAGGUAUACUUUUUCACCUUAUUUUACUCCCUCCACUUUGAAAUAUACUUCGUUUGACUUUUUGGCACACGUUUCCAAGUCCUUUGACCUUAUUAUUAAGAUAAUUAUUUUUAAAGUAUUAUAUUUUUGAAUUAUUAUAUGGUCGUGUCAAAAAAUCAAACUACAUGUAUUUCAAAACAGAGGGAGUACUUUAUUUGAACGCUAAUGAAUCGGUUAGAAAUUGACUAAAGUUUCUACAUUUUAACAGGUGAGAUUCCUGCAACUAUUUGCAAUGUCACAUCCCUUGAGAUUCUUGAUCUCUCGGACAAUGGAUUAAGCGGUGCACUUCCACGUUGUCUGGGAAAGCUUGCUGAUAAUCUGCAUACCAUGGUUCUUGGUAAUAAUCAGCUUCAAGGGACAAUACCAGCAACCUUCACCAAGAGCUGUCACCUAGCAGUUUUAAACACGGAAAGCAAUCACUUUGAAGGAACGCUGCCCCAAGCUUUAUCAAACUGCAAGGACUUAAAAAUUCUUAAUAUGGGAAACAACCACAUUGGAGGUAUAUUUCCGUCAUGGCUAAGUACUCUUGCACAGCUAGAAGUCCUUGUCUUUCGAUCAAAUAGACUUCACGGUGAAGUAAGUAUAGGUAAUACAACACGUCCCUUCCUUAAGUUGCGAAUUGUGGAUCUCUCUAACAAUGAAUUCACUGGCCAUUUGCCUAUUCAGUAUUUUUAUAAUAUGAGGCCGAGUAAUAAGGGAUAUGAUUAUGUCAUUACAAAAGAGAAUUUCGAGUACUUUUACCAAGCAUCAGUCUCACUAAGUGUAAAAGGGACAGAGUAUGAAGUGAAACAAAUCCUUUAUAUUUACACAGCCAUUGAUCUGUCGCGCAACAAAUUUCAAGGGGAAAUUCCAGAGGUCACUGGAGAGCUUAGAUCGCUUGCGUUGCUAAAUCUAUCUCAUAAUAGUCUUACAGGGCCUAUCCCGUCAUUGUUGGGGAAUAUGGAAGCACUCCAGUCUUUAGAUUUGUCAUCAAACCAAUUGACAGGUGCUAUACCUGAGCAGUUAACUACUUUGACAUUUAUUGGGGCCUUGAACCUUUCAGAAAACCAUCUUACUGGAGAAAUCCCUCAAAAAGGACAGUUCAGUACUUUUGGCAACGAUUCAUACUUGGGUAACCCGGCCUUAUGCGGACUUCCUUUAACAAAGAAAUGUAGGCACACGUUGCCACCAACACAAGAAAUCCUAAAUGGUGAUGAAGAUGAUGCUAAUGAUGAACUCAGUUGGGAGGUGAUCCUGAUAGGGUAUGCAUGUGGAUUGAUAUGCGGAUUAUCUUUUGGGUACAUUGUUUUCACCAUGGGAAAGCCUUGGUGGUUUGUGAGAUACGUCGAAGAACUGCAACAGAAGUUGAUGAGGACACACAUGAAGAAAAUUAUUCGAUCAAGAAGCACAACUUGAUAAAAUGUUGUCUUGGGAUAACCUGAUUUCUGAAUUAGUAGACUAUUAUGCACAUAUAUGUAGUUCAUUAUUAUAUUAUUUUAUGCCAAUUGCAGAGUAGUCUGGUUCUCAUAACAAAUUUAGUCUUGUUUCACUGUUUAUUAAAACUACAUGCCAUGUUUCUGUAGGAGUGAAUACAAUUAUGUUAACUUAAGCAUGACAGGCAGGAACCGAUCUGCAGAAAUGACGUUAAUUGAUACAAUUGGAACCUGCAAGUUAUAUGCAGAAAGCACGCGGUGCCUCCCAAAUUCCAGAGACCUACAACUUCACAUAAAUGUCGUUCACAGCACUUAAUGAUCACUUGUUUGUAGUAACUAACACGUCUUCCGUCUACAAUGUAAAUGAUAGUGGAAGGUACUGAUUUCCACUUUCUUAGCAACACACUAACAACAGUGACGGAUCUAGAACUUUGAAAUUUCAUUGUUUUUUUUGGUUGAACAAGUAACUUACUAGAAUUUAAUUUAAUCAUAGCUACCAUAUGAAAAUCAAUAAUAUUGUUGACUCCUCUGCUUAACUAUGACUCCUGUGCAUGCCAAUCUCCAAAUACACAAAAAUGUUAUUUACUAAGAGAAGUUUGUUGAUAGCUAAAGGAUAUAGUCUCCGGGAAAAAAAUCCACUGACCAACUUAAUACACAGCUCAGCAGUUUAUGAGCAAGGGUCUGAGUCUUGGCUACCUGGAAAUGAAUUGAAAAAAUAGAAGUUAAUGCAUAGUUUUCUUGAAGUGUGAAGACUUGUUUUGUGAGUUGGUCCUCCAUAUUAGAAAUUAAAGUUUUUUUCAACAAAAAUCCGGUGGAACAUAUCAUUUUCCACUAUACCUUUUAUUUUCAGUUUCUUGCCAUCGAAGAGCACUAAUUCCAUCGGCAGUGAUUUGGAAGAACAGGUCUCUUGCCACUCCAAUUCCUAAGAAAAUUUAGCACAUAAAUAGAAGUGUGCCUUGCACUAUGAGAUGUACAAUGUGACAGGAAACAUGUUGCACUUCCCAAAGCCUAAUUAUCACCUCAUUGUGCUUGUUUUCUUUCUACUAUUGCUUCCAUCUACCCUCACAACAGUAUCUACGACAAGAGAAGGAGAAGCUCUGUUAAAAUGGAAGAACAGUCUACCACCAUCCUCUUCCCUAAAUUCUUGGUCACCCGUCAAUCUCAAUAAUUUGUGUAACUGGACUGGCAUUAUCUGUAACUCUGCAGGUUCAGUCUCAGAAAUAAACCUUUCACUAAAACAACUUAGUGGAACGCUUGCCAAUUUCAGUUUCACUUCAUUUCCAAAUCUUAAUAGUCUUGACAUUAGUGGCAACAACUUCACAGGUCCAAUACUACCUGCCAUUGAAAAGUUCACGCAGCUUCAGCAUCUUGAUUUUAGCUUUAACAAGCUCAAUGGUAUCAUUCCAAACCAAAUUUGGCAUCUUCAGAGAUUGCGCACCUUAGACCUGUCAGUUAAUCACUUGGAAGCUUCAGACUGGUCUAGUUCUUUCUCCAUGCCUUUUCUGACCAACCUCGACCUUAGUUUCAAUAAACUUGGGGCAAAAUUCCCAGGCGUUACAUCCAAUUUUUGUAACCUAACAUAUCAAUUAUUUCCUGAGUCAUUAGUUAACAAUCUGCAUAAUCUGGAAGUCCUUUCUCUUCAUCACAAUUCUCUCGAUGGGCCAUUUCCACCAAGCAUAUUCAAGCUUUCCAAAUUAAGAUAUCUCUCCCUAUCAAGUAAUCAUUUUUCAGGUUCUAUUCCGGAUGAUAUAGGGAUGCUUGGUGAUCUUGAAUCCCUUUAUCUGGGUCACAAUUCUUUUGAGGGGCCCUUCCCACCAAUUUUUUUCAAAUUUUCCAAACUAAUAAAUCUGUCCUUAUCAGGGAAUAUUUUUUCAGGUUCUGUUCCAGGUGAUAUAAGGAUGCUUAGUGAUCUGGAAUACCUUGAUCUUAGUCGGAAUUUUUUUGAGGGGCCUUUUCCACCAAAUAUAUUCAAGCUUUCCAAAUUAAAAGUUCUUGACCUAUCAAGAAACAAUUUUUCAGGUUCUAUUUCAGAUGAUAUACGGAUGCUUCAUAGACUUGAGUUGCUCCAUCUCGAGUACAACUCUUUUCAGGGACCCUUUCCACCAAAUAUAUUGAAGCUUCCGAAUUUAAGAGUACUUGACCUAGCAGACAAUGACUUUUCAGGUUUUAUUCCCAGUGAUGUAAACAUGCUUCAUGAUCUGAAAAUACUUUCAUUGUUUUCUAAUUCAUUUGAAGGAAGUAUUCCUUCUUCUAUAAGUCUACUCAGGGAGCUACGAUACCUUCACCUCGGGUCUAAUUAUCUCAAUUCCACUAUUCCUUUUGAGCUGGGGCUCUUGACAAACCUUGACCGAUUAUAUCUUGAUUCCAAUAAUCUUACUGGCAAUAUCCCACCUGACAUAGGAAACUUGAAACUACUGAGAGUACCAAGUCUUGAUUCUAAUCAACUCACUGGACCGCUUCCAAAGACCAUUUCUAAUCUCACUAAACUAGGGUUUCUUAACCUGAAAGAUAAUAAGUUUUCCGGCAAUAUCCCAAGUGACUUCUGGAAAACUUCUACAUCCUUAUAUUCCAUUGAUUUUUCCGACAACAACUUGUCUGGAAACAUUCCCAAGGAAUUUGAUGUUCACCCAAUUUUGGAAUGCAUCAAUUUAAGUGGAAACCAUUUUACAGGUCUGUUCUUUUCCUUAUUUUUCCUUUUUGUCUACAACUAUGCAGGUAAUCAGAUUAGUGAAUAUUGACUGAAGCUCCUCUGUUUAUACCAGGUAUGAUUCCCACAACAAUUUGCAACGCCACAUCCCUUCGGGUUCUUGUUCUGUCAAAUAAUGGAUUAAGUGGCACACUUCCAAAUUGUUUGCGAAAUCUUGCUGAUAAACUGCUUUCUAUUGAUCUUGGUAAUAAUCAAUUUCAAGGAAGAAUGCCAACCUUCUCCGAGGGAUGUCAGCUGACAUAUCUGAACAUGUACAACAAUUACUUUGACGGAGUGUUGCCUCAAUCUUUUGCUAACUGCAAGCAGUUAAAAGUUCUUGAUAUAGAAAACAACAAAAUAAGUGGUACAUUUCCCUCAUGGCUAUUUACUCUUGCAGAGCUAGAACUCCUUGUCUUGCGGUCGAAUAGACUUUAUGGUACAGUAAGUUUAAGAAGCACAACAGAUCCCUUUCCCAAGUUGCGCAUCAUGGAUCUCUCAAACAAUGACUUCACAGGCUAUUUGCCAAUUCAAUAUUUCAAAAAUAUGAAGCCGGUUGAUAAGGGGUAUGAUUAUCAUAAUUUCACAGCACCAUUUUAUUACUACUAUCAAGCAUCUAUCUCGUUAACUGUGAAAGGGACUGAGUACCAAGUGAGCAAGAUUCUUCAUAUUUACACAGCCAUUGAUCUGUCAUGCAACAAAUUUCAAGGAGAAGUCCCAAAGGUUAUCGGAGAACUUAAAUGGCUUGCAUUGCUCAACUUAUCUCAUAAUAGUCUUACCGGACCUAUCCCAUCACAGCUCGGAAAUAUGAAAGCACUCCAAUCUCUGGAUUUGUCUUCAAAUCAAUUCACAGGGGCUAUCCCAUACCCGUUAAUUGGUUUGACAUUUCUAGAGGUCCUGAACCUCUCAUAUAACCAUCUCACCGGAGAAAUUCCCCAAAAAGGACAACUGAGCACGUUCACUAAUGAUUCUUACCUAGGUAAUCUUGCCUUGUGUGGAUCUCCUUUAACAGAGAAAUGUGCACACGAAGAGUCACCACCACAAGAAGUCGGAUAUGAUGAAGAUGGUGCAGAUAAUAAAUUCCAAUGGAAAGUAGUCCUAAUGGGAUAUGUUAUCGGAUUAGUAUGUGGAUUGUCUUCAGGUUACAUUUUUCUCACAACUGGAAAGCCUUGGUGGUUUUUGAGAUACAUCGAACAACUGCAGCAAAAGUUGAUCAGAAGAAUCACGUAGAGUACUGUUUGAUUAAGAUGAGCAACUUGAAAAGAAUGUUUACUAGACCAGUGGUAUGUCGGGAACAUUAAUGUGUGGUGUCAUAUAAUAUUUGAAAUGCUAAUGUCAGCACUAGUUCUAGUUCGGGCCUGAUACCAGGGGCGGAUCUAGGAAGAGGCACGCGGGGACACGUGUCCCCCCUAAAUUUUCUUUUUACAUUUUUUCACCAUUAUAAAGUUUACAAAAUUAUAAAAGUGCCCCCAAAGAAUUUAAAAAUAUAUAGGUAUUUUCCGAAAAUUUGCUUCGUGCCCCCUAACAUUUGUGGGCUAGAUCCGCCCCUGCCUGAUACUGAUUUACUCGUCUCAGAGCUACAUAUUUCGUUCAAUGUUAAUGCAAAAGGAAAAAAACAUACUACACACUAAAUCAACUUUGUAUCAAGUCGAGUUUUGGAGAUGCCAUUAUCAAAAGAAAAACACGGUGAAUGAUAUUUAUUAAGAACACGACUUGAACCAUAAGUGCAUGAAAAUCGUCUUUCAAAGUAUGGCAGGGGGGUGAAUCGUGCACACCAUGGAUAGUCACCUGAAAGCUAACCAUUCUGAGGUUCGUGGAAGCUGAUUUCAUACUCUUNCUGAAAGCUAACCAUUCUGAGGUUCGUGGAAGCUGAUUUCAUACUCUUGAAAGCUAUCUUUAGGAGGUCGAAACUUUAAUUUGUGUUACAUAACAUUUCAUUAUGCAAGACGGAUGGUUUCAGGGAAACUGUACUAGAGAGCAAGUACCAAAUAGUAAGGUAAACUUUCGAUGAUGAAAUUCCUCCCUGAUUUUUACAUCAUUCCAUGUUUUAGACUUGACAGAACAAUCGGGCGAAUGUUCUGGUCAAUUUUUUCAUGGUUGGGCCAAAAGAAUUAUAGUACAAAUGGGUGAGAAAGUGAGAAAGUUAAUUUUAGCGAUCGCUUUUCAUUAUUUAUAAUGACGAUCAAUUUUAUCUGAUUACUUUUAAUUUUAUCUUUUAUGCUUAUUUUUUUUUUUUUGUAUGGUCUACAUAAUCGUAGAUGAAUUGUAUCGAAAUACAAUAAACCGCAACCGAGAUUUCUUUCUUUCAAGAAAGUUUAUUAUCUAACCGAAAGCCAUGCAAUCAUAACUCCGGACGUUUAGACAAUAAAAUUUAAAUGAAUGAGAAAAGAAUACCCAUACAGCUCGCUUCCACAGUAUCCUGAGAAAAAACAAUCAAACAAAAUAUAAAUUAAUAUACAAGAAAAUCUAAUAAAAACAAAAACAAAAGAGUUUAUAUAUAAAAAAAAUAGAGAGGAAAUAUAUAUAUAUAUAUAUAUAGGGUCAAGUUCGAGAUAGAACCACAUUAUACUUAGAACUUAGACCCUAUAAAUUACCAUUAGAUAUAAAUAGGAUGUGUGGUUAAGAUUAUCAUUGGUAUUAAUCACAUGUUAUAUAUUUAGGUGACAUUUAUAUGUAUGCACAUUUAAUAAAUGAGAGUUAAUAACCAGAUUUAUUACUUUCCAUGAUUAAUACAAAUCUCAAUUAAAUUUUAUGUAUAUAAAUCAGUAUAACAAAAUUAAAUAUAUCAAAUAUUUUGUUUUCAUACAUAACAAAUUUGUGUGAUUUAAUUCUAUAUGUGUAAAUGUAUAACAAAUUUACGUGAUACUGUUGCAGCACUUGUACUAAUAUAAAAGAUGGUGUUAUAAUGCAAUAUUUUUCUAAAAAGAUGGAAAUACUGCUAUAGUACAUCAAAUAUCAUACUUAUAUUAUUUAAUAAUUAUACCGAUACUAUUGCAAUACAUAGUUUUUUUUAAAAAAAAAUAAAUAUAAAAGUACUGCUAUAGUACAUCAAAUACUAAUAUAAAAGAUGGUGUUAUAAUGCAAUAUUUUUCUAAAAAAUAGAAAAUACUGCUAUAGUAUGUCAAAUANNNNNNNNNNNNNNNNNNNNNNNNNNNNNNNNNNNNNNNNNNNNNNNNNNNNNNNNNNNNNNNNNNNNNNNNNNNNNNNNNNNNNNNNNNNNNNNNNNNNNNNNNNNNNNNNNNNNNNNNNNNNNNNNNNNNNNNNNNNNNNNNNNNNNNNNNNNNNNNNNNNNNNNNNNNNNNNNNNNNNNNNNNNNNNNACUAAAUAUUCAUAAAUAAUAUUUAUUCAAUCACAAUUUAAAACGUAACCAAUACAAUUAAAAUUAAUAAAGAUAAAUAAUGAACAGCCAAUAAGAGAGAUCCCGUAAUUAAAGUCAGUCCAAAUUAAAAUUCAAUUAUUGCCUAAAAAUCAAACAAUCAUGAUAAAUUAUGAAUUCAUAAAAUUUAAAAUUUAAACCUUAAGAAGAUAAAUAAAGACCAUCAUAAAUGUUAUUAAAUAUUCAUAAAGAAUAUUUAUCAAGAUAUAUUCCUUUCCAAAAUUAACCGAAAAAAUUGAAUACUUGCAUUUUAAAAAAUUUGCACAUAAAUAUACAAACAAAUAUAAUAUAUAAAAGCAACGCCAUAAUUCAAAAUAAAUUGAUAUCGAAACACUCAACAAUAUUACAUGCACCUAAAAACAUGUUAAAAAACUAAAAAGAUUAAUCUAGAAGAUCAAAUCACACACUUAACAAACACAUACAAUCAAGAAUACCUAUCGAAAAUCUAUAUCGAGAAUCUAUAACAGACCUAAUUUCAAAUCGAUAUUCCGGUCAACCAUCACAAAUCCGGCUAAGAUAAAACAUGUCAGAAAAAGGGGGAAAAAUGGAUACAUAACUCGACUUGAUCUACAAAACUAAUCAAACAAAAUUCUAAAACAGAUACGAAUCCAUGAUUUCAAUCAACUCAAAAUUCUAUACACCUUAAAAUUAGAAGAGGAAAAGCAUAAAAUGAUUUCUAUGAUAUAGAUAUGUUAUCGUAAUUCAUAAGUUAUACAAAACAUAAAGAACAAGCAAAGAACACAUAACAAGCAUUUAUUUUGGAUCAUAACAAUAUAAUCAAAAGAAGAUGAAAGAAGCGUACCUUUUCAAAGAGACGGAGAUAUUUUGAAAAACUAUAAAAUUGAGAGAAUAAACAUACCGAAUCCGAAAAUAAAAUCCAUAAAUUGUCACGAGCAAAAUCAUCUUUUGAUCCAUCAAAAUCUUUUAAAUAUUACAUCACCUUGUUUUCUUUGGUCGCUCGGUACCUUCUUUCUUAUCUUUUAUGCUUAUUAAAAACACAGAAGAUCGUGUAAACAAAAUUAAUACAAAACGUACUUAUUCAUAGAAUAUGAUUUACUUCACUUAACUGCGCUUAAUUAUUUGAAAGGAAAGAAUACAACACAAAAUUAAAUAUAUAAGAUCUGUUAAUUUUGGAAAUGAGAAUUUUUUUAACAUAAUCAUUGAUAACAUAUUUUUCCAACUUAUUUAUAUCUGCCAGAAUUAAAUAAAAUAUGCCUCAAUAGGUUAUCAUUCUUAAUGUGAAACUGCAAAAUUAUAUAUAUUUUCAUUUAUGCCAUAUUCUUAGACAAAAAUUAAAAACAAAAUAAUGAUCCUGAUCAGCUUUAAAGGGUGUAAAACAAGUGUAAAAUAAGUAAAGUAAUUUAACUUUCACUUAUAUUAUUAAGACAAAAGUAAGCGGAAAUAAACAUAAUUUCAAUAGAUUUAACUUACUCUCCAGAAUCGAUAAGUUUGGAACACGUUGAUUGAGCACAAGACGAAGGCCACACAUGCGCAUCGUCUGAUGCAGCUAUGGUGCCUUUACAGUUGCUCAUACAUAUAGUGAAACAAUAAGGAUCAACUCCUCCAUUGUGCGUACACAUUUUCUAUCCUUAUUUUCAUACAAUAAGGAUAGAGUCUUUGCAAUCUCGUCAUGACCAGCUAUACAUCCGAUCAUGAUAAACUCUAGCAGGAUCAUCCAAGUAAUAAUUUUCAUAAUGAUAUUAAUUAUCAUUGUGAAUAGUUGCAUUGAGUUAUGUAUGUGUGUGUAUAUAUAUGCAAUGGAUUUUGUGGUUGAGAAUAUCUAUUAGAUUUUGUAUAUCCAUAACAAUUAUUAAAAUUUGAACAAUAAUAUCCAUUAUUGGUUGUGGUUGACUAUUGUAGUAGUCCAAGAAGUCUAUGCAAGUGAAAUCUAUAUUAUAUUUAAAAAGAUUAUACAUGAAAUACAAAAGGUUUUUUUAGGACUGCUGUUAAAAAUUGUUAUGUUGUACGAAAAAAUGCUGAUAAAAAAAGUGUUAUACGAAAAUUUAAAUGCUGAUAAAAAAAAUGUUGUAGAAAUCAGACAUGACAGCUUCCCACAAAAGCUGAAAAAACAAUUUUCCGUAAUAAUAUGGGAGGAGAAAAACUGUUUAUAGAUUUAUAGAACAAUUUUUCACAUAUUUUUUGAUAAAAAGCUGUUGUUGUCUUCAAGCUGAGUAAUGCCAAACAGUUCCGAAAUCAUUUUGCAGGUAGUUAAUCUCACUUCCAUAUAAUAUACUCCUAUAUAUUACCGAAAAAACAUGAAAUGAUGCAAAUCUCAUACUAUUGACAACAGGUAAACUCCUUGCAAUACUUUGAGCUGCAAAAUCCAUCAAAUUUGUUGAUAUAUCAAUGUAACUGUUUGACAGAGUACUUCCAAGCUAAGUAUCAAAAAUCACUACCUUACGAAAUAUAUCUCACCCUACCUUCUCUGCUUAACUGUUUCGAGUACUUUUACCAAGCAUAUUUUCCAUUAAGGUGAAAGGCACAGAAUAAUUAAGGAUCACCUAUCCCAUCAGUGCCGGGGAAUAUGGAACCAUCUUAUCAGUUAACUAGUUUAACAUUUCUCGCGGUCUUGAACCUCUCAGAAAACCAUCUUAUACUCAUGUGCGGACUUCCUUUGACGAAGAAAUGGUGAUGCUGAUGCUAAUGAUAAUGAACUCAACUGGGGAGUGAUCCUUAUGGGAUACGGAUGUGGAUUGAUAUGCGGAUUUUCUUUGGGGUUUAUAUUUUGUGGUUUGUGAGAUACAUUGAAGUACUGCAGCUGGAGUUGAUCAUUAUAAAGAACAUAGGCAAGUUAAUCGCUUAUUGAAAUUAGUAAUUGUCAAAAGUAAAAUGUUGAAAUUACUUUUUCCGAAUGAAAUCAUCGGCAAAAAGUCUCUGUCGAAUUUGAUCUGCCAAAAUUAUGUUUAAUAUCUACGGCCAAGAUUAUCUGUCGAAAAUAUUUCCCGACAAUUUUAAAAGACAAAUUUGUCGCGUCUCAGUUGUGAGCAGGAAUAGAUAUUUUCGACAGAAUUCCACUGAAAUUAGCUAAUUUCAACAUAAAUUUUCUAUCGAAAUUACUCGGGUUUUUUGUAGCGUAUCUGAUAGCCUUUGGGGACUGGGGUAUAUUGUUUUCACAAAGCCCUGGUGAUUUGUGAGAUGCAUCGAAGGACCGCAACUGAAGUCGAUAAGAACAUGCAGAAAGAAAACUGAUCCAUCUUGAUAAACUUGAAAAAUGUUGUCAUAUGGUGAUAUAUACUCCCUGGCCCCAGUCUCUUGGAAAGAACUUAGUUGAUUUUUUUUUUUCAGUAUCCAUCCCUAAUAGUUGCAGCAAAUUAAAAAAUAUAGUUAUAUCUUUUUAGCAAUGGUGCAAUUUGGAAAGCUUUCUCAUCAUCUUCUUCUUUUCUUUAUCUCAUUACUCUCAUUUAAUUCCACUGUCCUGCAACAAUUCGCCAAGGAGAAGCUCUAGUUGAAUGGAAGAACAGCCUAUCCCUGAAUUCGUUUCUUGGUUCUUGGUCACUAAUUAAUCUCACUUAUCUUUGUAAUUAAGUGGACUGGCAUUGUAUGCAACUCUCUGCAGGUUCAGUCAGUCAGAUUAAUCUUCAAGAACUCACAGGAACACUUGCUAACCUCGGUUUCUUUUCGUUUUCAAAUCUCACCAAUAUCAACAUUACACAUAACAACUUCACUGGUCCAAUACCACCCGAGAUUGGAAAUUUACGACGGAACAAUGUGUCAUAAGUUUCAGUUUUCCUCCAAAACUUACGACGGAUGUUCAUACAUAACUUCUGUCGCAAGUUCAACUUUUUUCAAAAGGAAAACCAGGACCCACAACAGACAUGCGAUAGAAACUUCCGUCGUAAGGUAGUUAACAUACGACGGACCGAGCAUCGUAAGAUAAAAUUUAUCCAGACAAGGAUCUGGGCCCCACAACAUACUUGCGACGGAAAGUUCCGUCGUAAAUUCUGUAACUUACGACGGUUUUAAUACUUACGACGCAUGUUUGGAAUUGUGAUGUAUUUUGCAACUUUCGACUUGACAAAAAAUGACGGAAAAAGUCCGUCGUAAAGUAAGAACUACUUCCAUCGUAAAAACCCAGUUUUGUUGUAGUGUCUGCAGGUUCAGUCAGUCAGAUUAAUCUUCAAGAACUCACAGGAACACUGGCUAACCUCGGUUUCUUUUCGUUUUUCUAAUCUCACCAAUCUCAACAUUACACAUAACAACUUCACUGGUCCAAUACCACCCGAGAUUGGAAAUUUAACAGACGUUCAGUACCUCGACUUUAGCUAUAAUAAUCUCAAUGGUAAUGGUACCCUUUCAUACCAGGUUAGCCACCUUCAGAGGUUGGUCGUCUUACGGCUGUCAUUUAAUCACCGAAAGCUCCGAGUUUGUCCAAUUUUUCCCCCAUACCUAAACUGGUUGGUCUCGGUCUUAGUGGUAAUAAGCUGGCGUCAAAUUUUCCAGAAUUCAUAUCUAAUUGCUAUAACAUAAUUAAUCUUGAUCUUUUAUUUAACGUGUUAACUGGCCUGGUGAUCCAAUGCCUGAAUCAGCAGAUGACAAUUUACGUAAUCUUGAAGAACUGUAUCUUGGUGCCAAUUCUUUCGAGGGGCCAUUUCCAACGAAUAUAUUCAAGCUUUCCAAAUUAAGGGUUCUUGACCUAUCUAUGAAUAAUUUUUCAGGUUCAAUUCCUGAUGGUAUAGGGAUGCUUCCUGAUCUUUGAAUAAUUCGUUUAUAUAAUUCAUUUGAAGGAAUUAUUCCUUCUUCAAUUAGUCUACUUAAGGAUCUUCAACACCUAGACUUCAGUGACAACCUUCUAGUUUCAAGUAUAAUGUCUUACGGGUCCAAUUUAACCGAUCAUUAUAGGCAACCCCAUUAGAGAUGCUCUUAAUAACAUUUUAACUAGAGAAUAUCUUACUUUCAGUUGCAUUUGUAUUAAAUCUGAUUUAGAUGAAGAGAAACAGAAUACAUAUGAUCCUGAGACAACAUUUUGUCAAUGUUUUCGUCUUGAUUAAACAGUCUUCUUCAUGCGUGUCCUUGUCAACUUCAGUUGCGGUAAUUCAAUGUAUCUCACGAACCACCUUGGCUUUCCCAUUUUGAAAACAAGUAUCCUGAAGAUAAUCCGCAUAUCAAUCCACAUCCGUAGCUCAGUUGAUUUAUUAAUUUAUUCAUGAAGUGGCGAACGACAUUCCUGCAAAAGUAAAAGUCAGUGGAAUUUGUAUGAUAGCAUGAUCCAUGAUGAAUAUUUAAAGUUUCAGCUAGAAUUUCACCAAGUAAUUUAUUUCUUGCUUAAGUCCCGGAUUGACGAAUUUUGCUGAUCACAUUUCUAAUCGACCAAUUCUGGUCGAAUAAAUUAAAUGGCACACUUCCUGAGUUGGUGGUGGGGGCGUUCUUCUUGUGUUUCUUUCUUUUCAUUAUUGACAUUGUUAUCCAGGUCCUUGCUUCUGGGCUUUUGUAAAGCACCCAUUUACUCCAUUGUCAUGAUCAUAGCUAGUCUUCCAUAUCCAAGAUACGCGCAUUAUAGUGGAUUUAUCUUUAUUAGUGAUUUCUGUGGAAAUGCAUAAUCUUUAUAAGCUCCAAUAUUAUAAAAUAAACCUAACUUAUUAGAGUUAACAGGGCAUUUGUGUUGAUAAUUUGCGCAAUGUUAUGGGGAUCGCUCCCAAGUCUUGGACGGACUCUUUCCAAGUCUUCUGAGGACCCAUCUGCACACUAAUUUGUCCGCCAACUAAAAAUUUAUAUAUAUUUUUCCAUAGAAUAUAAAUAGUUGGGGGUACUAACAGAACCUCUAGUAAAAUUAAUUAAUACCGUUAUGAUUUCGCAAACACAGCAGACAGCAGGCAUAAGGCUUAUAAAUAGAAGUGUCGUAUUUGGUUGAUGGUCAAGUUGAGUGGAAAUAUGGCACACUUUGUAAUGCCUUGUUAUCCUCUUCUCUUUGUUUUCUUUCUCUCAUUACUUCAAUCCAUUCUAACAACACAAGAGGGAGAAGCUCUUGUGAAAUGGAAGAAUAGCCUAGCCCCUUCUUCUUUUCUCGACUCUUGGUCACUCACCAAUCUCGAUAAUCUUUGCAACUGGACUGGCAUUACUUGUAACUCUGCAGGUUCAGUCUCUCUGAUUAACCUCUGUGAGAAACAACUUGAUGGAAUGCUGUCUGAGUUUGGUUUCACUUCAUUUCCAAAUCUCAACAAUCUCACCCUCGCAGUUAACAACUUCUCCGGUCCAAUACCAGCAGCCAUUGAGAAUUUAACAGAGCUUCGGUAUCUUGAUUUGAGCAAUAAUUAUCUAGAUGGUCCCAUUCCUUUCCAGGUUAGCCAUCUUCAGAGGUUGCUCAUCUUAAAUCUGUCACGGAAUGCAUUGCAAGCUCUAAAUUGGUCCAAUUUCUCUCCCAUGCCUUUUUUGCGCAUCCUCAAGCUCAGUAGAAAUCAUCUUGCGUCGAAAUUCCCAAAUUUUAUAUCCAAUUCUCAUAGCCUGACUCACCUUGACCUUUCAUAUAACAUGUUUACCGGUGAUCUAGCAUGUGAACCAAUAUUUGCCAACCUGCAUAAGCUUGAAGUGCUUAGUCUCGUUGACAAUUCUUUUGAGGGGCCAUUUCCGCCAAAUAUAUUCAAGCUUUCCAAAUUAAAACGUCUUGCCCUGUCAGGUAACAAAUUUUCAGGUCCAAUUCCCAAUGACAUAAGGUUGCUUUGUGAUCUUGAAUCCCUAUAUUUAGGUAACAAUUCCUUUGAAGGACCGCUUCCACCAAAUAUAUUCAAGCUUUCAAAAUUAAAAGAUCUUGUUCUUUGGCGUAAUAAGUUUUCAGGUUAUAUUCCCAAUAGUAUAAAUUUGCUUUCGGCGCUUGAAGCCCUCGAUCUUUAUUCUAAUUUUUUUGAGGGGCCGCUUCCACCAAAUAUAUUCAAGCUCUCAAAACUAAGGAUUCUUUCCCUUGGGAACAAUAACUUUUCAGGUUCUGUCUCUAAUAAUAUAGGUUUGCUUCCUGAGCUUGAAACCCUAUAUCUUGACUCUAAUUUGUUUGAGGGGCCGCUUCCCCCACAUAUAUUCAAGCUCUCUAAAUUAAGAUAUCUAGACCUCUCAAACAAUAGAAAUUUAUUUGAAAUUAGAAGUAUUCCUAUUGGAUUGGGACUCUUGACUAACCUCAACUAUUUAGAUCUACAUUGCAGUAAUCUCAGUGGCGAUAUUUCAUCUGCCAUUGGAAACCUGAAGCUACUAGUAUUUCUUGAUCUCAGUUUUAAUCAAUUGACCGGACCGCUUUCAAAGAUCGUUUCUAAUCUCACAAAUCUUAUAUAUCUUGAUGUAAGUCAUAAUAGUCUUAGUGGAAAUAUUAGUGACUUGUGGAAAUAUUAUCUGUCUGGGAACAUUCCUAAGGAAUAUAACGAUCAUCCAACUUUGGAAUACAUCAAUUUAAGUGGGAACCAUUUUACAGGUAUGUUUUCUCUAUAUAUCUUUUCCUUUUGUCAUAUUAACUAAGCUUGUAAUCUUUUUGUAGUUAUACCAAAGUUUUAACAAUCUUGACAGGUGAGCUUCCAACAACAAUUUGCAAUGUCACUUCCCUUUCAGUUCUUGAUUUGUCAAAUAAUGGAUUAAGUGGUGCACUUCCAAACUGUUUCGCGAAUCUUGCUGAUAGAUUGCUUUACAUGAAUCUUGCUAAUAAUCUGUUUCGCGGAACAAUACUAAUUACUUUAUCCAAAAGUUGUCAGCUGACAUAUCUAAACAUGGAUAAUAAUGAGUUUGAAGGAUUGGUGCCCCCAUCUUUGGCGAACUGUAAGCACUUGAAAAUUCUUGAUAUUGGCAAUAAUAAAAUAGGUGGUUCAUUCCCGUCAUGGCUUUAUGUACUUGGAGAGCUAGAAGUCCUUGUCUUGCGAUCAAAUAAACUCUAUGGUACAAUAACUGGAAGGAGCAUAGAAGAUCCCUUCCCCAAGUUGCGGAUUGUGGAUCUGUCCGAUAAUCAAUUCACAGGCCAUUUGCCAAUUCAAUACUUUAAGAAUAUGAAAUCAACUGAUAAUAUGUAUAAUUAUCUGAAUUCCACAGGAGGAAUAUAUUUCACUUAUGAAGCAGCAGUCUCACUAACUGUGAAGGGAACAGAGUAUGAAGUAGCAAAUAACCUUCAUAUUUACACAGCUAUUGAUCUGUCGUGCAACAAAUUUCAGGGUGAAAUUCCAAAAGUUAUUGGAGAGCUUAGAUGGCUUGCAUUGCUCAAUUUAUCGCAUAAUAGUCUGACAGGACAUAUCCCAUCAUUGCUGAGAAAUAUGAAAGAACUCCAAUAUUUAGAUCUGUCCUCAAAUCAACUGACAGGGGCUAUUCCACCUCAGUUAACUGCAUUGACAUUUCUAGAGGUCUUGAACCUCUCAGGAAACCAUCUUAGUGGAGGGAUUCCUCAGAAAGGACAGUUCAGCACAUUCAACAAUGAUUCUUAUCUAGGAAACUCCGCUUUAUGUGGAUCACCUUUGACGAAGAAAUGUGCAAACACAGCAUCACCUCCAAAAGAAGUCGGAAAUGGUGAUGAAGAAGAUGGUGGUGAUGAAUUGACAUGGGAAGCAAUCGUGAUGGGAUAUGGAUGUGGACUGAUAUGUGGCAUCAUCGGCAUACAUUGUUCUCAAACUAGGAAAGCCGUGGUGGUUUGUGAGAUGUAUCGAAGUACUGCAACUGAAGUUGAUGAAAAGAUAUGCAUGAAGAAUGGUACUCUGGUCGAUCAACACGAACUUGAAAGUUGUUGUCCUUGUGGACUAGCUGCCUAAGUAUUUGGUAUUAUGUAAUAAUCCGUUUGGUCGGGACUCAUAAUCAUGCAUUUUUCUUGCUUCAGGAGUAUUAAUAUAUAUUAACCUUGCUAUCUAAAAGAAUAAAAUUGCAAAUUAACCUUCUCAGAGAAAUCUUGCUGAUAAAAUGCAUUGCAUUGAUCUCGCUAAUAAUCAGUUCCGAGGACCAAUACCAACAACCUUCUCAGACAGUUGCCAGUUAAGAUAUCUAAACAUGUAUGACAAUCACUUAAAAGGACUAUUGCCCCGAUCUCUGUCAAACUGUAAGCACUUGAAAAUUCUUGACAUCGGGAACAACAAAAUGGGCGGUACAUUUCCUUCAUGGCUAUUUACUCUCGGAGAGCUGGAAGUCCUAGUCUUGCGAUCAAAUAGACUUUACGGUCCAGUAAGUGGAAGGAGCACAUCACAUCCAUUCCCCAAGUUGCGGAUUUUAGAUCUCUCCAACAACCAAUUCGCGGGCCAUUUUCCAAUUCAAUACAUUAAGAAUAUGAAACCAACUGCUGACAACGGGUAUAGUUAUCAAAAUAGAUCACAAGGACUAAUUAAUUACAUCUAUGAAGCAUCUAUCUCCUUAAAUGUGAAAGGAACAGAGUAUGAAGUGAAAAACAUUCUUCAUAUCUACACAACCAUUGAUCUGUCGUGCAACAAAUUUCAAGGAGAAGUUCCAAAGGUUACUGGAGAGCUUAAAUGGCUUGCAUUGCUCAAUCUAUCUCAUAAUAGUCCUACCGGACAUAUGUUCUGCAUUAUUAUUAUGCUUUCAUCAAUAUUUUUAAACACUUCUCAAUAUGUAUUUUCAAAGAAUUCUCAAGCACUUGAACAUUUGGACCGGUUCUUUCGAAGCCAAGAUGCCCAGGUUAUCAUGGCCAUGCACAAAAAUGCCCAAAAAUAAAUAAAUUAAGAGAGAUUGCUCAGGGUCUCCCCAAGCCUUCCAGGACACAUUCCAAGUCUUCGGAGGACCACUGCCUCGCCCUUUCAAAGAUGUGAUAGUAGCUCGAGAGUGAUAUAAAUUAUUUUCCCGACACUAAAAUAAAUAGGGUUUUGUUCCAGGACAAUCGAUUGUCAUGGAGGUCUUCCAUCAUAUCCGCAGAUAGGAACUUUCCCUAUCCGCGGAAAAUUAUAGCGGAUACUUAAAAAAAUGAAGUUUAAUCUGGACCCUUGAAAUAGAGAUCCGACGGCCAUGAAAGUGUGUGUUAACUUACUUGGCACUAAGAUUGAUAAAGACAGUAUAAUAAUUUAAUUGAUGAAAAGUCAAAGUUUUCUAAUAAAUCCAUAAAGAAUAUGAUAAUCAAAAUAACGAAAAUUAUAAUUGAAAAAUCAAAAUCAUUAGUCAUGUAUUAGAAUAGUGUUCACACACUUAUAUAUCAAAAUUUGUGGUCCCAAAAACUAUAGCACAAUAUCCUAAAUACACCACAUUAAAUACUAGUUCAAAAAUAUUCAAUAAAUAAUUGAUUUCAUUCAUAAUUUUGUUAUUUUAAAAACGAAUAAUUUGGUUGAUGUUGACCUAUAUUUUAAUAUAUAAUUAUAUUAUUUUUGUCUUAUUUUAUUUAACUAGAAACAAUAUUUUUAUAAUAUUUAUUACAUUAAUUAUAUUAAUAGAUAUAAUUUUAUUAAAAAAAUUGAAUAAAAUUAAGAGGAAAACUCUAUGCCACUCCAAGUCUACAAGACUCAUUUCAAGUCCACCGAGGACCACUACCUCAACCAUUGAGAGAUGUGAAAGUAGCUUGAGAGUGAUAUAAAUUAUUUUCCUGACAAUAAAAUUUAAUAUCUAAUAUAAAUUAAUUAAAUUAGUUAAUAAUAAAUCAAAAUUAAUCAUAAAUUAUGAUUAUAAUUAAAUUAUAUAAAUCAACUCCAAAUGAUACAAAUAACACUAAACCUUGGUUACUUUGUUGGUAAAUAAAUAUAAUAUAAUAAUCAAAUUGAUGAGAAAUCAAAAUCAUCUAAUAAAUUCACAAAAAAUAUAUGAUCAUUAGUAUAUUAUAUUAGUAUCCACACACUUAUAUUUCAAAAUCUAUCCUCCAAACUUAUCAUCUCUGUAAACUAGCCACAUAAAAUAAAAAAUUUCCACACUAAAUAACAAAAUAUCUUUAUCAAAUUAUUAUUUAUGAAUUAAAUAUUCAAGUUAUAAUUCCAGCAUGCAGCGUAUAAAUAGAAGUGUGCAGUAUGAUAUCAGAUUCAUAACCCAGUUGAGGAGAAACAUGGCACACUCUGUAAAGCCUUCUCACCUUCUUCUCUUUGUUUUCUUUCUCUCAUCACUUGAAUCCAUUCUUGCAACAACACGAGAAGGAGAAGCUCUUGUGAAGUGGAAGAAUAGCCUAGCCCCUUCUUCUUUUCUCGAUUCUUGGUCCCUCACCAAUCUCGAAAAUCUUUGUAACUGGACUGGCAUUACUUGUAACUCUGCAGGUUCAGUCUCUGAGAUUAACCUCUGUGAGAAACAACUUGAUGGAAUGAUGUCCGAGUUUGGUUUCACUUCAUUUCCAUAUCUCAACAAUCUCACCCUCGCAUACAACUUCUUCUCAGGUCCAAUACCAUCAGCCAUUGAGAAUUUAACACAGCUUCAAUUUCUUGAUUUGAGCAAUAAUAAUCUCGAUGGUCCCAUUCCGUUGCAGGUUAGCCAUCUUCAGAGGUUGCUCGUCGUAAACCUGUCACAGAAUGCAUUGCAAGCUUCAAAUUGGUCCAAUUUCUCUCCCAUGCCUUUUUUGCGCAUUCUCAACCUCAGUAGCAAUCAUCUUGUAUCGAAAUUCCCAGAAUUUAUAUCCAAUUCUCAUAGCUUGGCUAUCCUUGACCUUGGAUAUAACAACUUUACAGGUGAUCUUGUGCGUGAAUUUACCAAUCUACAAAAUCUUGAAACCCUCUACCUUGAUGAUAAUUCUUUUGAGGGGCCAUUUCCGCCAGAUAUAGUCCAGCUUUCCAAAUUAAAAGAUCUCACCCUGUCGACUAACAAAUUUUCAGGUUCAAUUCCCGAUGACAUAAGGUUGCUUUGUGAUCUUGAAUUCCUAUAUUUAGGCAACAAUUCUUUUGAAGGACCCCUUCCACCAAAUAUAUUCAAACUUUCAAAAUUAAAACAUCUUGUUCUUUGGAGUAAUAACUUUUCAGGUUCUGUUUCCAAUGAUAUAGGUUUGCUUUCUGAGCUUGAAAUUCUCAAUCUUCAUUCUAAUUUUUUUGAGGGGCCACUUCCGCCAAAUGUAUUCAAGCUCUCCAAACUAAAGUUACUUUCCCUUCACGAUAAUAACUUUUCAGGUUUUGUUUCCAAUGAUAUAGGUUUCCUUUCUGAGCUUGAACACCUACAUCUUGGCCAUAAUUUUUUUGAGGGGCCACUUCCGUCAAAUAUAUUCAAGCUCUCCAAAUUAAGAUAUCUAGGCCUAUCAAACAAUAGAAAUUUAUUUGAAGGAAGUAUUCCUAUUGGACUGGGACUCUUGACUAACCUCAGGUUCUUAGAUCUAUAUUCCAAUAAUCUCGGUGGCUAUAUUCCAUCUGACAUUGGAAACCUGAAGCUACUAGUUAAUCUUGAUCUCAGUUCUAAUCAAUUGACUGGACCGCUUCCGAAGAUCGUUUCUAAUCUCACAAAUCUUAUAUCUCUUGAUGUAAGUGAUAAUAGUCUUAUAGGAAAUAUUCAGAGUGACUUGUGGAAAUAUAACGAUCAUCGAAAUUUGGAAAACAUCAAUUUAAGUGGGAACCAUUUUACAGGUAUAUCUUUUCCUUUAGUCAUAUGUAACUAAGCUAGUAAUCUGAUUAUUGCAGUUUUACCAAAGUUUCAAAAAUCUUGACAGGUGAGCUUCCAACAACCAUUUGCAAUGCCACUUCCCUUUCGGUUCUUGAUUUGUCAAAUAAUGGAUUAAGUGGUGCACUUCCAAACUGUUUCGGGAAUCUUGCUGAUGGAUUGCAUUACAUUAAUCUUGCUAAUAAUCAGUUUCGAGGAAAAAUACCAACUACUUUCUCCAGGAGUUGUCAGCUGACAUAUCUAAACAUGGAUAAUAAUGAGUUUGAAGGAUUGUUGCCCCCAUCUUUGGCGAACUGUGAGCACUUGAAAAUUCUUGAUAUUGGCAAUAAUAAAAUAGGUGGUACAUUUCCGUCAUGGCUUUAUGCACUUGGAGAGCUAGAAGUCCUUGUCUUGCAAUCAAAUAAACUCUAUGGUACAAUAAGUGGAAGAAGCAUAAAAGAUCCCUUCCCCAAGUUGCGGAUUAUGGAUCUGUCCAACAAUCAAUUCACAGGCCAUUUGCCAAUUCAAUACUUUAAGAAUAUGAAAUCAACUGAUAAUUUGUAUAGUUAUCAGUAUUCCUCGGUAGUAUUAUACUUCUCUUAUGAAGCAGCAGUCUCAUUAACUGUGAAGGGAACAGAGUAUGAAGUAAGAAAUAAUCUUCAUAUUUACACAGCCAUUGAUCUGUCCUGCAACAAAUUUCAGGGAGAAAUUCCAAAGGUUACUGGAGAGCUUAUAUGGCUUGCAUUGCUCAACUUAUCUCAUAAUAGUCUAACAGGACAUAUCCCAUCAUUGCUGAGAAAUAUGAAAGAACUCCAAUCUUUAGAUUUGUCUUCAAAUCAACUGACAGGGGCUAUUCCACCUCAGCUAACUGCAUUGACAUUUCUAGAGGUCUUGAACCUCUCGAAAAACCAUCUUAGUGGAGAGAUUCCUCAGAAAGGACAGUUCAGCACAUUCAACAAUGAUUCUUAUCUAGGAAACUCCGCGUUAUGUGGAUCACCUUUGACGAAGAAAUGUGUAAACACCGGAUCACCUCCACAGGAAGUCGGAAAUGCUGAUGAAGAUGAUGCGGGUGAUAAAUUGAUAUGGGAAGCAAUCGUGAUGGGAUAUGGAUGUGGACUGAUAUGUGGAUGGUCAUCUGCGUACAUUGUUCUCAACCUAGGAAAGCCUUGGUGGUUUGUGAGAUAUAUCGAAGUACUGCAACUGAAGUUGAUGAAAAGAUAUGCAUGAAGAAUGGUACUGGUCGAUCAAGACGAACUUGAAAGUUGUUGUCCUGGUAGACAUUUCUGAACCAGUAGUGUACUAGCUACAUAAGUAUUUGGUAUUAUGUAAUAAUCUGUUUGGUCGGGACUCAUAAUGAUUUCUCUUGCUUCAGGGGUAUUAAUAUUAACCUUGCUAUCUUCAUCUGUGUUGAUGCAAAUGAAAAAGAAUGGAAAAACAAAAAAAUUGCAUCAAACCUGUUGUACCAAGAUCCAUUAAUCUGCUUUCAUCUCUUACGCAACAAUUUAACAGCACUUUCACACUGUUUGAAAGAUUAUCAUAAAUUCGAGUUUUCCUCGGCAGCACCAAAUCCAAAUAUACAAUCCGUCAAUCCCACACAUUCCAGUCUCAGCUUCAGCUCCCAGGCUAGCAUUAAUAACAGUUGGGGAUUUGAGUGAACGUGCCUUGGUCCUGCCUUCAAAUGUGUAACAUUAACAGUUGGAUAUGUCGACAAAAAAAUUGUUCCUCACACAGCGGAAUAAAUCCGACAGUUCUUUUCAUCCAGCAAUUUAAAGCUUAACAGACAGUCAUUAUUUCAGCAAUAUGUCUAGCAAAUAUGUAGGGCACUUGACACCAUACUUCCAACACAAGUAGUAAAAGGAGAGACCAUUGUUUCGAAUGCUCGGAAAUUUGAACUGGGUUUUUUCAGCGUGCCCCUGACUUUUGUACACAAACAGCUGAAGAAAAGCAGAAGUCGGAUUCUGGAAAAAAGAAGCACUUAUCUAUGCUAAUAUAUUAAAAAUGUCAUCUGUGUUUCUUAUGUUUGUGCAACAACCUGACAGAAAGGGAUGUAGGUGAAACCAGGGGCGUAAAAUGAAUCGGGACUAAAAUCUACUAAAAUGAUAAUUAUGUACUAUAUUUGGUCUGUUUUAAUAUACAUGUAAAAGGGGACGAAGUAGUUGGUUAUAGUUGCGAAUCCUAUAAAUGAAUGCGCGAUCAGGAUGUGUCACUAAGCACCUCCAACGCCGGGUAAGGGUGAGUAGUCUACUUCUGCUUCCUCUGUUUUUUGUAUUUGACGUUUUAAAUUUUGGCACACAAUUUUAAGUGUUUUGACCGUAUAGUUGAAAAUAUUAAUUUUAAUUUUUUUUUGAAUAAAAAUAUAUAAUCAAAAUUUUAAUUUAGAAAAAAGAUCAAUCAAAAAUAAUAUUUUUUACUAUUCGAUCAACCCACUUAACAAUAACAAUUAAAAGACUUUAGUGACGUUAUCUGACCAAGGGUCAUGGAAACUUCGACAUCGGAAUCUUGCGAGGCUACUAUUCUAAAGCACGCAUAAUCAUUGUAUCCAUUUUCCUCUAACACUGACAAAAAAUCUAUUUGAACAAAUGAAAUACAAACAACUCAGUGGAAUGCUAACUGAGUAAAGUUUCACUUCAUUUCCAAAUCUCAACAAUUUCACCAUCAAAUAUAAUGACUUCUGCUGUCCAAUACCACCAGCCUUUGAGAAUUUGGCACAGCUUCAAUUCCAUACCAGGUUAGUCAUCUUUGGAAAUUACACGUCUUAGACCUGUCAAACAUAAAUUUCAAUCUCCAAACUGGUCCGAUUUAUCUUCCAUGCUCUUUGUUGAGAACCGGUCCAUCUAAAACCUUAAGAUGUCAGAGGAAACUCAAAAUGGAUCUUCUACUAUAUUUUAACAUUUCUGAGUACAUUCAAUUAUAAGGUCACUUGUGCAUCGCUGUUCACACACUUAGACCCUGUUUGUGUGGGCUUUAAGUCCGGGCUCAAGCUAUUUCGACUUCAUCACUUCCAAGGACUUAUACCAACAACCUUCUCAAAGAGUUGCCAGUUAAGAUAUCUAAACAAGUGUGACAAUCAGUUAGAAGGACUAUUGCCCCGAUCUUUGUCAAACUGUAAGCACUUAAAAAUUCUUGACAUCGGGAACAAUAAAAUGGGCGGUACAUUCCCUUCAUGGCUAUUUAAUCUCGGAGAGCUAGAAGUCCAAGUCUUGCGAUCAAAUAGACUGUACGGUCCUGUAAGUGGAAGGAGCACAUCACAUCCAUUCCCCAAGUUGCGGAUUCUAGAUCUCUCCAACAAACAAUUCACGGGCUAUUUGCCAAUUCUAAACUUUAAGAAUAUGAAACCAGCUGCUGAUGAUAACGCGUAUAGUUAUAAAAAUAAGUCACAAGGACUAAUUAAUUACAUCUAUGAAGCAUCUAUCUCCUUAAAUGUGAAAGGAACAGAGUAUGAAGUGAAGAACAUUCUUCAUAUUUACACAGCCAUUGAUCUAUCGUGCAACAAAUUUCACGGAGAAGUUCCAAAGAGAGCUUAAAUGGCUUGCAUUGCUCAAUCUAUCUCAUAAUAGUCUUGCCGGACAUAUGUUCUGAAUUAUUAUUAUGCUUUCAUCAAUAUUUUCAAACAUUUCUCAAUAUGUAUUUUCAAAGAAUUCUCAAGCCCUGGAACAUUUGGACCGGUUCUUUCGAAGCUAAGAUGCCCAGGUUAUCAUGGCCAUGCACAAAAAUGAAUAAAUUAUUCCAAGUCUUCCAUGACUCAUUCCAAGUCUUCGGAGGAGACCCUGAGCACAAAGAUGCUCAGGGUCUCCCCAAGCCUUCCAGGACUCAUUCCAAGUCUUCGGAGCACGGCCUCGCCUCGCUCUUUCAAAGAUGUGAUAGUAGCUCGAGAGUGAUAUAAAUUAUUUUCCCGACACUAAAAAUAAAUAAUCAGAUCAAAUUAAUCAAUAAUAAAUUAAAGAUGAAAUCCAAAUUAAUCUUAAAUUUUGAUAAUAUAUAAAAAUUAUAAUUAUAAAUUAUAUACCAAAUCAGAAUUGAAUUAAUUCCUUGGCACUAAAAUUGAUAAAGAAAGUAUAAUAAUUUAAAUUUAAUUGAUGAAAAGUCAAAGUCUUCUAAUAAAUCCAUCGAAGAGCACUAAUUCCAUCUGCAGUGAUUUGGAAGAACAGGUCUCUUGCCACUCCAAUUCCUAAGAAAAUUUAGCCCAUAAAUAGAAGUGUGCCUUGCGCUAUGAGAUGUACAAUGUGACAGGAAACAUGUUGCACUUCCCAAAGCCUAAUUAUCACCUCAUUGUGCUAGUUUUCUUUCUCAUAUUGCUUUCAUCUACCCUCACAACAGUAUCUACGACAAGAGAAGGAGAAGCUCUGUUAAAAUGGAAGAACAGUCUACCACCAUCCUCUUCCCUAAAUUCUUGGUCACCCGUCAAUCUCAAUAAUUUGUGUAACUGGACUGGCAUUAUCUGUAACUCUGCAGGUUCAGUCUCAGAAAUAAACCUUUCACUAAAACAACUUAGUGGAACGCUUGCCAAUUUCAGUUUCACUUCAUUUCCAAAUCUUAAUAGUCUUGACAUUAGUGGCAACAACUUUACAGGUCCAAUACUACCUGCCAUUGAAAAGUUCACGCAGCUUCAGCAUCUUGAUUUUAGCUUUAACAAGCUCAAUGGUAUCAUUCCAAACCAAAUUUGGCAUCUUCAGAGAUUGCGCACCUUAGACCUGUCAGUUAAUUACUUGGAAGCUUCAGACUGGUCUAGUUCUUUCUCCAUGCCUUUUCUGACCAACCUCGACCUUAGUUUCAAUAAAAUUGGGGCAAGAUUCCCAGGCGUUACAUCCAAUUCUUGUAACCUAACAUGUCAAUUGUUGCCUGAGUCAUUAGUUAACAAUCUGCAUAAUCUGGAAGUCCUUUCUCUUCAUCACAAUUCUCUCGACGGGCCAUUUCCACCAAGCAUAUUCAAGCUUUCCAAAUUAAGAUAUCUCUCCCUAUCAAGUAAUCAUUUUUCAGGUUCUAUUCCGGAUGAUAAGGGAUGCUUGGUGAUCUUGAAUCCCUUUAUCUGGGUCACAAUUCUUUUGAGGGGCCCUUCCCACCAAAUAUUUUCGGUUUUUCCAAAUUAAUAAAUCUGUCUUUAUCAGGGAAUAGCUUUUCAGGUUCUGUUCCAGAUGAUAUAAGGAUGCUUAGUGAUCUUGAAUACCUUGAUCUUAGUCGGAAUUUUUUUGAGGGGCCUUUUCCACAAAAAAUAUUCAAGCUUUCCAAAUUAAAAGUUCUUGACCUAUCAAGAAACAAUUUUUCAGGUUCUAUUUCAGAUGAUAUACGGAUGCUUCAUAGUCUUGAGUUGCUCCAUCUUGAGUACAACUCUUUUCAGGGACCCUUUCCACCAAAUAUAUUGAAGCUUCCGAAUUUAAGAGUACUUGACCUAGCAGACAAUGACUUUUCAGGUUCUAUUCCCAGUGAUAUAAACAUGCUUCAUGAUCUGAAAAUACUUUCAUUGUUUUCUAAUUCAUUUGAAGGAACUAUUCCUUCUUCUAUAAGUCUACUCAAGGAGCUACGAUACCUUCACCUCGGGUCUAAUCAUCUCAAUUCCACUAUUCCUUCUGAGCUGGGGCUCUUGGCAAACCUUGACCGAUUAUAUCUUGAUUCCAAUAAUCUUACUGGCAAUAUCCCUCAUAUCUGAACAUGUACAACAAUUACUUUGACGGAGUGUUGCCUCAAUCUUUUGCCAACUGCAAGCAGUUAAAAGUUCUUGAUAUAGGAAACAACAAAAUAAGUGGUACAUUUCCCUCAUGGCUAUUUACUCUUGCAGAGCUAGAACUCCUUGUCUUGCGGUCCAAUAGACUUUAUGGUACAGUAAGUUUAAGAAGCACAACAGAUCCCUUUCCCAAGUUGCGCAUCAUGGAUCUCUCAAACAAUGACUUCACAGGCUAUUUGCCAAUUCAAUAUUUCAAAAAUAUGAAGCCGGUUGAUAAGGGGUAUGAUUAUCACAAUUUCACAGCACCAUUUUAUUACUACUAUCAAGCAUCUAUCUCGUUAACUGUGAAAGGGACCGAGUACCAAGUGAGUAAAAUUCUUCAUAUUUACACAGCCGUUGAUCUGUCAUGCAAUAAAUUUCAAGGAGAAGUCCCAAAGGUCAUUGGAGAACUUAAAGGGCUGGCAUUGCUCAAUUUAUCUCAUAAUAGUCUUACUGGACCUAUCCCAUCACAGCUCGGAAAUAUGAAAGCACUCCAAUCUCUGGAUUUGUCUUCAAAUCAAUUCACAGGGGCUAUCCCAUACCCGUUAAUUGGUUUGACAUUUCUAGAGGUCCUGAACCUCUCAUAUAACCAUCUCACCGGAGAAAUUCCCCAAAAAGGACAACUGAGCACGUUCAGUAAUGAUUCUUACCUAGGUAAUCUUGCCUUGUGUGGAUCUCCUUUAACAGAGAAAUGUGCACACGAAGAGUCACCACCACAAGAAGUCGGAUAUGAUGAAGAUGGUGCAGAUAAUAAAUUCCAAUGGAAAGUAGUCCUAAUGGGAUAUGUUAUCGGAUUAGUAUGUGGAUUGUCUUCAGGGUACAUUUUUCUCACAACUGGAAAGCCUUGGUGGUUUUUGAGAUACAUCGAACAACUGCAUAGCAAAAGUUGAUCAGAAGAUUCACGUAGAGUACUGUUUGAUUAAGAUGAGCAAGUUGAAAAGAAUGUUUACUAGACCAGUGGUAUGUCGGGAACAUUAAUGUGUGGUGUCAUAUAAUAUUUGAAAUGCUAAUGUCAGUGCUAGUUCUAGUUCGGGUCUGAUACUGAUUUACUCGUCUCAGAGAUACAUAUUUGUGUUCAAUGUUAAUACAAAACGGAAAAAACAUACUACACAUUAAAUCAACUUUGUAUCAAGUCGAGUUUUGGAGAUGCCAUGAUCAAAAGAAAAACACGGUGAAUGAUAUUUAUUAAGAACACGACUUGAACUAUAAGUGCAUGAAAAUCGUCUUUCAAAGUAUGGCAGGGGUGUGAAUCGUGCACACCAUGGAUAGUCACUUGAAAGCUAACCAUUCUGAGGUUCGUGGAAGCUGAUUUCAUACUCUUGAAAGCUAUCUUUAGGACGUCGAAACUUUAAUUUGUGUUGCAUAACAUUUCAUUAUGCAAGACAGAUGGUUUCAGGGAAACUAUACUGGAGAGCAAGUACCAAACAGUAAGGUAUACUUUGGAUGAUGAAAUUCCUCCCUGAUUUUUACAUCAUUUCUAGUUUUAAACGUGACAGAACAUUCGGGCGAAUGUUCUGGUCAAUUUUUUCAUGGUUGGGCCAAAAGAAUUAUAGUACAAAUGGGUGAGAAAGUUACAUUUUAGAGAUCGCUUCUCAUUAUUUAUAAUGACGAUCAAUUUUAUUUGAUUACUUUUAAUUUUAUCUUUUAUACUUAUUAAAAACACAGAAGAUCGUGUAAACAAAAUUAAUACAAAACGUACUUAUUCAUAGGAAAUGAUUUACCUCACUUAACUGCGCUUAAUUAUUUGAAAGGAAAGAAUACAACACAAAAUUAAAUAUAUAAAGAUCUGUUAUUUGUUAUUUGGAAAUGAGGAAUUUUUUUAACAUAAUCAUUGAUAACAUAUUUUUCCAACUUAUUUAUAUCUGCCAGAAUUAAAUAAAAUACGCCUCAAUAGGUUAUCAUUCUUAAUGUCAAAUUGCAAAAAUAUAUAUAUUUUUAUUUAUGUCAUAUUCUUAGAAAAAAAUUAAUAACAAGAUAAUAAUCCCUAGCUUUAAAGGGAGGAAAACAAGUGUAAAAUAAAUAAAGUAAUUUAACUUUCACUUAUAUUAUUAAGAUAAAAGUAAGCGGAAAUAAAUAUAAAUUCAACAUAUUUAACUUACCCUUCAGAAUCCAUAAGUUUGGAACAAGUAGAUUGAGCACAAGACGAAGGCCACACAUGCGCAUCAUCUGAUGCAGCUAUGGUGCCUUUACAGUUGCUCAUACAUAUAGUGAAACAAUAAGGAUCAACUCCUCCAUUGUGCGUACACAUUUUCAUACAAGCUAUAAAGCAUGGUGAUAGAGUCUUUGCAAUCUCAUCAUGACCAGCACAUCCGAUCAUGAUAAACUCUAGCAGGAUCAUCCAAGUAAUAAUUUUCUUAAUGAUAUUAAUUAUCAUUGUGAAUAGUUGUAUUGAGUUAUGCAUGUGUGUGUAUAUAUAUGCAAUGGAUUUUGUGGUUGAGAAUAUCUGUUAGAUUUUGUAUAUCCAUAACAAUUAUUAAAAUUUGAACAAUAAUAUCUAUUAUUGGUUGUGAUCGACUAUUGUAGUAGUCCAAAAAAUCUAUAUUACAUUUAAAAAGAUUAUACAUGAAAUACAAAAGCUUUUUAUUAGGACUGUUGUUAAAAAUUGCUAUGUUGUACGAAAAAAUGCUGAUAAAAAAUGUGUUACAGAAAAAAUGCUGAUAAAAAAUGUGUUACAGAAAAAAUGCUGAUAAAAAAAAUGUUGUAGAAAUCAGAUAUGACAGCUUCCCACAAAAGCUAAAAAAACAGUUUUUUUCCAUAAUAAUAUGGGAGGAGAAAAACUGUUUGUAGAAUUAUUGAACAAUUUUUCACAUAUUUUUCGAUAAAAAGCUGUUGUUAUUGUCUUCAGUAAUGCCAAACAGUGCCGAAAUCAUUUUGAAAUCAUUUUGCAGGUAGUUAAUCUCACUUCCAUAUAAUAUAGUACUCCUAUAUAUUAUCGAAAAAACAUGAAAUGAUGCAAAGCUCAUACUAUUGACAACAGGUAAACUCCUUGCAAUACUUUGAGCUGCAAAAUCCAUCAAAUUUUUUGAUUUAUCAACGUAACUGUUUGACAGAGUACUUCCAAGCUAAGCAUCAAAAGUCACUACCUUACGAAAUAUAUCUCACCCUACCUUCUCUGCUUAUAAGCUGUUUUGAGUACUUUUACCAAGCAUAUUUUCCAUUAAGCGUGAAAGGCACAGAAUAAUUAAGGAUCACCUAUCCCAUCAGUGCCGGGGAAUAUGGAACCAUCUCAUCAAUUAACUAGUUUAACAUUUCUCGCGGUCUUGAACCUCUCAGAAAACCAUCUUAUACUAAUGUGCCGACUUCCUUUGACGAAGAAAUGGUGAUGCUGAUGCUAAUGAUAAUGAACUUAACUGGGGAGUGAUCCUUAUGGGAUACGGAUGUGGAUUGAUAUGCGGAUUUUCUUUGGGGUUUAUGUUUUGUGGUUUGUGAGAUACAUUGAAGUACUGCAGCUGGAGUUGAUCAUUAUAAAGAACAUAGGCAAGUUAAUCGCUUAUUGAAAUUAGUAAUUGUCAAAAGUAAAAUGUUGAAAUUACUUUUUUCGAUUGAAAUCAUCGAAAAAAAGUCUCUGUCGAAAUUGAUCUGCCAAAAUUAUGUUUAAUAUCUACGGCCAGGAUUAUCUGUCGAAUAUAUUUCCCGACAAUUUUAAAAGACAAAUUUUUCGCCUCUCAGCUGUGAGCGGGAACAGAUAUCUUCGACAGAAUUCCAUUGAAAUUAGCUAAUUUCAACAUAAAUUUUCUAUCGAAAUUACUUGAGUUCUUUGUAGCUUGUUUUCACAAAUACGCUGAUAGCCUUUGGGGACGGGUAUAUUGUUUUCACAAAGCCCUGGUGGUAUGUGAGAUGCUUCGAAGGACUGCAACUGAAGUCGAUAAGAACAUGCAGAAAGAAAACCGAUCCAUCUUGAUGAACUUGAAAAAUGUUGUCAUAUGGUGAUAUAUACUCCCCUGGCCCCAGUCUCUUGAAAAAAACUUGGCUGAUUUUUUUUUUUUCAGUAUCUAUCCCUAAUAAUUGCAGCAAAUUAAAAAAUAUAGUUAUAUCUUUUUAGCAAUGGUGCAAUCUGGAAAGCUUUCUCAUCAUCUUCUUCUUUUCUUUAUCUCAUUACUCUCAUCUAACUUGACGAUCCUAUCUGCAACAUUUCGCCAAGGAGAAGCUCGUGUGGAAUGGAAGAACAGCCUAUCCCCGAAUUCGUUUCUUGGUUCACUAAUUAAUCUCACUUAUCUUUGAAAUUAAGUGGACUGGCAUUGUAUGCAACUCUGCAGGUUCAGUCAGUCAGAUUAAUCUUCAAGAACUCACAGGAACACUUGCUAACCUCGGUUUCUUUUCGUUUUCAAAUCUCACCAAUCUCAACAUUACACAUAACAACUUCACUGGUCCAAUACCACCCGAGAUUGGAAAUUUAACAGAUGUUCAGUACCUCGACUUUAGCUAUAAUAAUCUCAAUGGUACCAUUCCAUACCAGGUCAGCCAUCUUCAGAGGUCGGUCGUCUUCGGCCUCUAAUUUAAUCACUUGAAAGCUCUAAGCUUGUCCAAUUUUUCCCCCAUGCCUAUACUGGUUGGUCGCGGUCUUGGUGGUAAUAAGCUGGCGUCAAUUUUUCCAGAAUUCAUAUCUAAUUGCUAUAACAUGAUUAACCUUGAUCUUUCAUUUAACAUGUUAACUGGUAAUCCCUUCAACAACUUGCGAAUCUUGGAUCUCUCGGACAAUGAAUUCACUGGUUACUUGCCAAUCCAAUAUUUUAAUAAUAUGAAACCAGUUGAUACUGUGAUUGAUUAUUACAACCUCUGUUCUAAAAGUCGGUGAUUAAUCACGAUUAAUUAAUCACUGAUUAAUCUAUGUUCCGUAGCUCGCCAAACUGAUUAAAUAUCCGAUUAUUCUAAUUAAUCCCCGAUUAAUCACCGAUCAAUGUAAUUAAUCUCCAAUUAAUCUUUAUUCCGAAACUUCACCGAUUAAACUCGAUUCCCACUUUUUACAACACUGAUUACAACAUAACAGGGAAUCAUGAUUAUCAAGCAUCUGUCUUGUUAACAUUGAAACAAAGAGAGCAUGAAGUGAAAGGAAUCCUUUAUAUUUACGAUGUCAACAGCCCUACUGUCAAAAUUCCUUUCAAGUCGGGGCUUUUUACGAUUAUUUGGUAAUUCAGUGUUGAACUCCGCUCAACUUAUAAUUAGAUAAUCGAACUCAAAAAUCUUGCAAUCAACAAAUAAAUUAUUGAAAACUUGCAAUUGAAUAAUGGCCGUCAAGUCACUUAACAAUACUAACCGAAAACGAACGUGACGGGCUGAUGUGUUUAAAAAAAUGCAUGAUGACUAUAUACGUGAUGUUUACGACCCUGACUAAUAUAUCCAACAAAUAAUACAUUCAACCUGAUCUAAUAAUGUAAUACAUCUACUUAAAUAUAUUUUCAUGCCAAAUAUUUAUAGAUUUGUUUUUACAAAAAUGAUUAGAGACUUUUGCAUAUAUAAAAAUUGAGAAUUAUUGCUUGACUAGACAAAAAUAGGUGAGUUGUGAUUAUAAUAAAUAUUUAUUUCUACGAUGUAGUUUUUAUUAGUUAUAUAUAAAAAAAAUCUUGCUCUAUUUUGAUACUAGUGCAAUGAUUACUUCAAUUUAUUUUUUAUACGAGUUAGUAAGAUAUAUGACUAACUCAUCUUGCACUCGUAUUAAUUGUCUUAUAUAAUAUUAAUAACAAAAAUAUGAGGCGGUGCUUAGUCAGAUGAUUUUAGUUGUUAAAAUAUUUUUUUGUUAUUUAUAGAUAGUGAAACUUGUCUCAUAUUUUAUCUAUUUUGUUUCGUUUCUUGAGAUUUCCAAAUAUUUAUUAGGACAUUGUACCAUGGUGUAUUUCAAGAUAUUAUUGUUAUUUAGAUAAUUAGUCAUAUUCAAUGAAUUUUGAGGACAAAAUUUAAAUAAGAGGAGAACAAUGUCAUAUCUCACGUAUUAGCAGUUUUAAUUAUUUUAUAUUUUUAUUUUAAAGAUAAGAUAAAGUUUAUUUAUUUAAUUGUUUUUAUCUUAAAAGCGAUUUUGAGUUGUUUGAGUUAGAUAUAUACUCCUACUGUGGUUCAACUAGUUUUGCCGUAAGUGAAUAAUUUCCGGUCAAUAUUUUGAAAUUUGUUGUUAUCUUCUAAUUAAGAUAAUUAAGGGGUUAAAUAGCUUUUGAAAAAUGUGAAAAAAAUCAAAAAAAUUGGGAAACCAAAAGUGGCAAGCUUUUUUUUUUUUGUUCUUUUUAAAUUUUCUAAAAUCUGGGGAAAAAAGAACUUGCCACCUAAUUUUUUCCAAAUUUUUUCAAAUUCUUUUCAGAUUUUUGAAUUUUUUCCCCAAUUUUUCCUCACUUUUUUCUGAUUUUUUUUGAAUUUAUUAAGAUUUUUUUUGUUUUUUCUGCUUAUUCUGAAUUUUUUAAGAUUUAUUCGCAUUUUUUUCAUAUUUUUAAAAAAUAUUUUUGAAUUUUCCGUUAAGUAAUUAAUGGAACUGACGGAGAGUGAUGCUUUUGAAAGUUUUUAAUUACUUGAUAAUGCGUUUGAAAAUUUUUUCAACAACAUGACCCAGUUGCAAGUUUCCGGCGAGGUUAGUGAUGAAUUAGUUAUUUAACUCUUAAUAAAAAUCUAUCUAAACAAUAUUAUAAAUAUAAUGUUAUGGGUUCGAUGAGUCGUGUAAAACAUGGAAGAAGUUUAGGUGGGGUAAAAAGAGCCUAGCUGUGUGAUUUCCAUUCUGUUAUACGUGAUAUACUGUAGUUGAUCAUCUCCUUUGUCCGCUUCAUCCUGUGCAACCUUAACCUUUAAGGAAAAACUUAUGAGAUUCUCUACUGCAUCUAAAUUCUUGUGUGAAGAAUGUGAAGAAAAAUGUUAGUCUCAGAUUAUUUUUCCUAAAAUGCUUGCAUGUUACAUUUUAUAUGUAUGUCCUGACUUUAAGUAUAAUUUAGCAUUUUUAUUUAGUAUUGUGUAAAAAUAAUAUAUUUUAUUCAGUCUUAUUAAAAAUAUAAUCAUGUUAUACUGUAAAAGUAUUUGUGAAUUUCUUUGUUACAUAUGUGUUUAAAUUAUUUUAUUUAUAUAUGUUUUACAAUUUUUUACAAAUAUAUAAGUUGAGUAUUGCAUAGGAAUAUAAUUACACGUUAGCAAAUAUGAUUAUGUGUAAACUGUUCUGCGUGCAUGUAUAUUGCUGCUAAGUUUUAAACUUCUUACUAACCGGAAUAAUUUUGACAGAUGUGUGGAACUUGAUUAAUUUAGUUGCACUAUAAGAGAAAGCGUUUUUGUCAAUAAAAAUUGUUAAGGAAAUUAGUCCGUUGGUAGUUCUCAACGGAUUUGUAACAAUUUGACUGGUCAAUGUUCUGUCAACCAAUUAGUAAUGAAAUACCCACACUUAUUUACCAACGAGAUGUUCUAUUAGGAAAUAUAGCCACACAAUGGAAUAGUAACAAAAGACCAAGGAAUGAGCAACAUACUAGCAACGAAAGUAUCUGUUAUUAAAUAUUCCCUUGAUAAAUACUAGACUUUUUAGCACUUUGGUGCAGUGGCGGAGCCAGCCAUAAACUUUAAUGGGGGCCAAAAAUAACUUUUUAAGACAUCAUAAAAGAUGAUAGUUUAUAAUCAAGCAUCUCCCAUUAUAUUUUGAAGUAUACUUUUAAUAAGAUUAAUAGUUUGAAAAACUCUUUCAACAUUGUCUGUUGCAACAUCAAAAUUAACUUACAUUAGUUAUAUGAAUUCAAAUAUCCAUAUCAAAUUUCGAGAUAUCGAAGAAAAGAAUAGAAAACGUGCAUGUUCUACUUUUUGAAUAGAAAGAAAAUAAAGGAAUAAUAGUGAACAACCAAGAAGGCAAGAAGUAAUCGAUGAUAACCAUAAAGCCCAGAAGAGGUGGAUGAUAGAAUGUCGUCCCAGCUAAUGUAUGUCUAUAUAUUAAUAUUAAAAACUAUAAAAUCUCUAGUGGGGUCCAGUGCCCCCACAUGCCUCUACAUGCCUCCACCACUGCUUUGGUGGCUUGUACUAUUUCAAAUUUGCACGUUAGUGGCCCACCUUUAAAAGUCAUCAAUUGUGUUGCUGAACUUAUUUUUUUUUAACACAUUAGGGGCUCUGCAUCAUAUCCGUUAAAUCGAAGUAACGGCGUCAAAUGAUCAAUACAUAUCUCCUCCUCCUCUUAUUUCCCUCCAAAUUAAAAACGAAACGGCUACCCCCUUUUCCGAAGCAAGAACGACGACGAAUUCCUGCUUACAGAGAUGAGUUGGUUCCGGCGUCUUAAAGAGGAUGCUGAUGUGUAUCAGCCUCGACAGUGCCCCGAUUACUGUGGUAAGCUCUUCAACUUUUCUUCUUUGUAGCAUAUGAAAUGAGUUUAAUUGACCAUUAUUUCAGUGUUUGUUGUUGUUAGUGGCUAGUUGUUUAGUAUUAUGGACCUGCAAUUGCUUUAUACUAUUAAAAUGGAAGAUUCUGCUUGUGGGUUUUUAAAAAUUAGGGCUUUUACAUAGUCCAAGAUUCGGUCAUUAUAAAAUCAAUUUAUGCCUGUUUUAGUAUAAUGCUUGUUGUUAGUGGCUAUUUGUUAAGUAUAGUGUUGUUUAUUGUAAAUAAAACUGUUGCUUUGCACUCUACAUUUGCAGAACCUGGUGAUUUUACCCUAAAAAUAUAUCAUGGGGCCGAUUGGGUAGAUAACCCUAGGGCAUAUGUGGGAGGUACAGUAGAUUUCUUUGACUUCUGUAAUGCUGAUCAGAUCAGCAUAAUUGAGAUAUAUAGUAUGUUGAAAGAGGUUGAUGAGUUUGGGUUUCACCAACUGUGGUAUAAGCUACCUGGCACUACAUUCGAUAGAGCUUUUGUACUAAAUAAUGAUGAGGAGCUAAUGACCAUGUGUGAGCUUAUAUCUGAUGUGGAUAAGUAUAUGGAGAUUUAUGUCACCACUAUGGCACAUCUAAGUACAGUGCCCUAUAGAGAUUUAGAGGUUGAAUUUGUUGAACCAACUCCUAAAGAAGCACCUGAAAAGAACAAUCCAUCACCUGAAAAGAUCAAUCCAGCACCUGAAAAGAUCAAUCCAGCACCUGCAAAGAUGUAUCCAGCACCUGCAAAGAGCAUUCCAACUGUGGGAAAUGAUGAUGAUCAGGAAGAGUUUGAGUUUGAUUUUGACAAUUGAUAGAAUAUAUUUUUGUAUAUAUUCUAUAUGAUUUUAUUCCCAUAUUUAAUUAUAUUUUGCACUGAUUUGGAUAUUUAUUUAAUAUAUUUUCAUGUUUUAUUGUAGGGAAUAAAGAAUUCCAAGUUGAGAAGGAUUUGAAGAUAAAUUAGCUAUUUUGGAGUUAAAUUCUAAAGAAAUUCGGAUUUAUUGGGUUUUACCCGAUUUCUGCACUGUUUGAGCCAUAUCUUGAGUUCCGGAUGUCGGAAUUGGACGUUCUUACAGCUCACGCGAAGCCCUUGAUAUUUCCUUUAAUUUAGAAGUGGCCCAGCAAGAAAAGUCCAACUGGAAAAGCCCGAAAACUGGACAGAACAGAAAGCUACGAAUUUUGAGACUAAAUCCUACUUGGUUUUGGAGUUUUAUUCAUAUAUUAGUUUUAAAUAUUAAAAGAGGUAUAUUAUUAGAGAUAGGAUUAGUUUUUAUCAUUGUACAAUAUUAGAGUAGGUUAGGGUUAGAGAGAAACUUAGAGGAGAGGCCAUUACUCUUUUUUGGAUGACAACAAUGAAGGUUUAUAAAGGUUUUCUUCUAUAGUUUUCUUCUCUUUACUUGUUAGUUUAAUUAUGUCUUUUAAUUAUUCUAGUUGUUUAAUUAGUAUCGAGUAGUGUGUUCUAGGGUUUAAGGGGAAGCCAUGUUUGCGUUAUGAUGUUGGCAUGAUUUAACAGUGAUUUGAUUGAUUGGUUAAUUCUAAUUGAUAUGUUUUAAUAUUGAUUUAUGUAAUCGGCCGAUAUCAUGAAUUGAUUCUAUGCGAAUAGGAGUAUGAUCGAGAGAUAUACGACUAGAGGCACACAUACAAUUAGCAGAAUUGAAUUUGAGUGCGAGAGCAUCAUUGAAUUUCUGAAAGCGUUAAUACUCGAGAGAGAUUAACAUUGCUUUAAUUAUCUGAUUAAUUGGAUUACUAAAAGUGAUUAUUUGUGUAAGCAUGUUUCGAGAGUGUUGAUACUUGAGAGAGAUUAACAAACUCUAGUUUCAUGACCGCUUUAAUUGCUUUAGCUUAGAGCCAGUCAUUGUCUAAGCAUGGUGGACCUGAUUGCCCUGGAUUUUUAACAUAUUAUUUUAGUGUCUAUUUAGUUAGUGUUAAUAUAAUAAUGUUUAUUUAGUUAAAAAUAUUUCUUUCGAUCAUCGUUGAUUUGGGAACAAUUGAAUGUAACUUAAUAAAAUUGAUAGCAUCUGUCUCCUCGAGGAUACGACCCGCAUUUGCCAGUCUACACUACAAUAGACACCGUGCGCUUGCGGUAGUUAUAAUUUAACACAUCAAGUUUUUGGCGCCGCUGCCGGGGAGACGGCUAGUUUCUAUUAGUUUUGUUUGGUUAUCUAGAUUGUUUCCUUUGCCUCGUUGGAACCCUUGUUCCAAUUGAGGCGGAUUUUACUCUGUUUUCUUGGCUGUGUUGUGUUUUUCAGGUUUACAAUGGACGGAGUUGAUAACUUUGCACGUCUAUCUUCCCUGAUCGAGGCAUAUACUCGUGAAAAUGCCUCAUUGAAUGCUACAGAGCCCACUACACGUCCACUGAGUAUCAACGAGAUGUCACAAGCUGCCCCGAAGACUUAUAACUUCUGUCAAGUUUGUGGUGUUCAGGGUCACUAUGGUUAUGAAUGUUCUUACAAUGUAUUUAAUUCUCAGAAUGCUCAGUUGGGACAUGUGAAUGAUUAUCAAGAAAGAUAUGAGUACAAUCACUAUUCUAAUUCUUGUGAUCAACAAUGGAUGGGUCAACCAGAUUUCUCUUACAUGGACAAUGAAUUUCAAAAUUUCUCAUAUCAUGAUCAACAACAAUUUCAGCAACAUCGUUAUGAAGAACCACCACUACAGCAAUAUGAUCAGUUUGAGCAGGAAUAUCAUCAACCUCAAUAUGAGCAACCUCAGUUUCAGCAGUAUCACUAUUCUCCACUUCAACAAGAGCUACAGGUUCCUUUAACCAAUGUAGAUGUGCCAUCGUAUCAGACGAAUGAGGUAUGUGAUAUGUUGAUAUAUAUGACCAAGAGUUUUGAGGAUGGUAUCAUGAACUUCCAGAAAUGCAUUGAUGAGAGUACCAUGAUGAUUAAAGAAUUAAAAGCUGAACAACUGAUGAUGGAAGGUCAAAUUGCACAAUUGUCUAGUUCUUCUUCUACAUGUCAAACCGAAUCCUCUCCACCUCCAUGUCUUCAAGUUGAAGAUGACAUAAAUACUAUCAUUCUUGCAAGUGAUAAAGACAGUGAUAGUUUUUCGAUCUGUGAUGAUGAUGCGCCUAUUGGUAAAGGGGAGGAUCAUGUCAUUGCCAAUGAAAUUGAUGAUGUUGUUGAUGUUGUGGACCAUGUGCGUGAUGAUGAGCUAAGUGAAGAAAGCAAUAUCGAGUUGGUAGUAGUUUCUCCUCCGCCUUGUGUGCUUAAAUUACCAUUCUUGAAAGGAAUCAACUUAAUCAAGGUGGAUCAACAAUUUGAUAUGAAAAACUUUGCUUUUACUCGAACCUCAGCUCCAAUAUUUGAGAGCACAUGUUUUAAAGUUGAUGUGAUGAUUGUCCAAGAUGAGAUUUCUCAGAAUAUUUCCUAUGAUCCAUUUCAAAAGGCUCUUACACCUCAAGUCUUGGAAGAAGGUGUUUGCAAUAUUGACUUUUUAUUCAUUGAAGCAAGAAGAAGCCAAGAGAUUCAACUAGCUCCUGCGAAAGUGAGGAGUUCUGAAAAACCACCACCGGAGCCUCCACCUCAUGUGAAUAUCAAGGGAGUUCAAUCUUUUGAUGGAUGUGAAUUCUAUCGUUGCUUUAUCAUAAAGUUCUCCAAAUCUAUGAAAUAUAUUGAUCAGUUGUUAUAUCUUGAUGCGACAAUUAAUUUUAUUAAUGCUUGUUUGGAGACUUUCUGCAGGAUAAAGACAACAUUUGAUGUUAAGGAUUUUAUUUUUGGUGGUGAGAUCAUGUUUGAGAAAGCGGAAACUCCGCCUUUUACAUAUUCUUUUUGGAGGUAAAAAGUCAAGCUAAUGACUCUAAAAGAGCGCUACUUGGGAGGCAACCCAAGGUCUCUAUUAGUUUAUUUAUAUAAUAUAUUUUUGUAUUUUUUUAGGAGCUUAAAAUUUUUAUUUUCAUUUUUUUUACUCCCAUAAGAUGCCUUGAUGAAUUUGUGUGAAGUGUUUUCAGAUAUUAUAUCCAAUCACUCAUGCGGCUCCUUUUUAAAGUUCNNNNNNNNNNNNNNNNNNNNNNNNNNNNNNNNNNNNNNNNNNNNNNNNNNNNNNNNNNNNNNNNNNNNNNNNNNNNNNNNNNNNNNNNNNNNNNNNNNNNNNNNNNNNNNNNNNNNNNNNNNNNNNNNNNNNNNNNNNNNNNNNNNNNNNNNNNNNNNNNNNNNNNNNNNNNNNNNNNNNNNNNNNNNNNNNNNNNNNNNNNNNNNNNNNNNNNNNNNNNNNNNNNNNNNNNNNNNNNNNNNNNNNNNNNNNNNNNNNNNNCAUAUCUUCUGUNCUUUUAGUAAACAGUAGAAGAAGAGCUGUGGUGCUACGAUGUCUAGCUGCGGCUCCGGAGCUUCUGCCAAGCACAAUUUGUUCGCGCUAGUUUUUCACAAUCUACUUGAUAACUUGAAGCAGAGCUCCUAACUCCCAAGAUCAUCUGUUCCCUGUUCUGCUACAUGGAGUCCACGCACCCAGCCCAUUCAAGUCCAGAAGCCCAUGCACGGAGCCUGUUCUCAAUUCAGCCCAUGCUCCAAGCCCAAGACCACACCACCUGGGCCCAGUACAGGGGGUGCAUCUCAGCAACAGAGGCCCAGCCCACCAGUUGAUCCUCGAAGUCCAGCUGCUUCAGUCCAGUAAAAGUCUGCGUGUGUAUGCCUACAAAAAAGAACUGUUGCUGGUAGGAAUCGAAGACGGGUCAAUUACAAAGCAGAUCUCAGGAGCCACCUACCAACCACUGGGCCAACUGAUUCUUUUGUUGAGGAAACGCAUCCAGUUUAACAAAAACUUGAGAAGUCAAGAGCCAAUUCAACACUCAACAGCAUUUCAGGGGAGUAUUCCUUUUAACCACUAUUGUGUAAUUAUAUUAUUAUAUUUAUAUAUUUCUAUCAUAUUUGUUCAUUGAGGACAAUGAACCACUUUAGUGUGGGGAUGGUUUCUCAAUGAUAAAAAAUUAUAUAUCAUAAAAUUCAAAAAAAUAGAAAAAUUAAAAAAAAAUUGUAUAUUGCCAUGUCUUAAAUUAGGAAAUUCAUGUUAGUUGCAUUAUAUUAGAGCUAGUUACUUAAUUUUGUAUGCCAUUUUUUAGUAGAUUUUUUUCUUCUUCUUUCUUUUAGGUUACAUAAUUCAUGAAAGUAUAUAAUACCGAGUUAAUUUCUCAUGAUGAGUUUAUUUGCAUAAUUAUUUGGCUAGUAGUCUUGAUCAUAUGUGAUGUCUUGCAUGCUUAGAAAUUGCUUGUGCGGAAAUUUUAAAUACACUAUAAAAUGCUCUAGAGACAAGACUGAGACUAACUUAAUUCUUGAGUUUUAUCUAUGAGUUGAGUGUAGAAUUUUGACUAUUCCCUUUUAAGCUUAGAGUAUGUAAAUCUUAAGUUUAGGGGAGUUUUAGGAUGUAUAUGCCUUUCUAGAAAAAUGAAAAAAAAAAUAGAAUAUUGCAAAUAAAGUAUCGAGUACUCCUUUGAGAUCAACGGGUGGUAAUAUUUGAAAGGGACGAUCCAUGUACUUGUGCUGGUAUUAAGUGCAAUUGUACUAGAAAUAAAUUUUCUUGGUGACUUUUCACAACCCUUGGUUACUGGAGAAUUACUUGACUUAAAAAAAAUAGAGAAAAAAAAUGAGCUAGCAAAGUCUUAUGGUGGUCGUAACUCACUUACCAUGAGAAGCUUCCCAACCUUUGACUGAGCAUGAAAAAAAAAAGUAGAAAAUAUAAGAGAGGCAUAGAAAUUCCUUUGCGACCCUGAGCUGUAGUUGACUCUAAUGUAACGAAGCGUUUAAGCAUUAUUCUGAUAAACGACUCAUGGUUAAGACUCUGUUGAACUUUGUUGGUGUCUGUUUUGUUUCAUUAGAGAGCAUGUUGAACACACACGAUUCACUCCGUACUUGCAGCGGAAAAGUUGCAUGACUAAUGUGUGAGAUAGAUGAAUGCCUUGAAUGUUGCUUAUUCUGAAGAUUAUUUGUUAACGAGGUUGAUGCUUUCAUGAUUGUAUUAUAUGCAUUUUCAUUUAGAUUGCAUUCAUAGUAGUUGCAUGUUUAAGACCGGUAGAAAAUAAUGAAUUUUGUGGGUAGAUUCGCUAUAAACCCUCACGAGACAAAACUCGUCCUACUAGGGCUGCCUAGAGGUUUAACGGCUUGUUGCAUGCGCUCAAUGCAAUCGUGUCAUCUACGAAAGUGGUGUUAGUUAGUUAGUUAGGAUAUUUUUAUUUCUUUUAUUUGCCCGAGGACGUGCAAAAGUUAAGUGUGGCGGAUGUUUGAUAGGGUAUAUAUUUACAUAUAUUCUAGAUGAUUUUAUUCUCAUAUUUAAUUGUAUUUUGCAUUGAAUUGGAUAUUUAUUUAAUAGAUUUUAAUGUUUUAUUGCAGGAAGCAAGGAGUUCCUAAACUUGGAGGAAAUUGGAAUAAAAAGCUUAAUUUGAAGAUUAAUUAGAAGGAAAUUCGGAUUUGUUGAAUUGCUUGCACUUGAAUCACUGUUUGGGCCAUAUCUUGAGUUCUAGAAAUCAGAAUUGGGUGAUCUUACAGCCCACGCGAAGCUUAGAGAAUUUUCUUUAAUUCAGAGAUGGUCCAAUAUCCAAAAUCCAACAGAAUCAGCCCAGGAAUAGGCAGAAAACAGAGCUACGAAUUUUCUUGAAGAAACCUAUUCUGUUUAGGAAACUGUUUUGUAUUUUCUUGUAAGUAUUAAAAUCAAAUAUAUUAGAGAGAGGGAUGGGUNNNNNNNNNNNNNNNNNNNNNNNNNNNNNNNNNNNNNNNNNNNNNNNNNNNNNNNNNNNNNNNNNNNNNNNNNNNNNNNNNNNNNNNNNNNNNNNNNNNNNNNNNNNNNNNNNNNNNNNNNNNNNNNNNNNNNNNNNNNNNNNNNNNNNNNNNNNNNNNNNNNNNNNNNNNNNNNNNNNNNNNNNNNNNNNNNNNNNNNNNNNNNNNNNNNNNNNNNNNNNNNNNNNNNNNNNNNNNNNNNNNNNNNNNNNNNNNNNNNNNNNNNNNNNNNNNNNNNNNNNNNNNNNNNNNNNNNNNNNNNNNNNNNNNNNNNNNNNNNNNNNNNNNNNNNNNNNNNNNNNNNNNNNNNNNNNNNNNNNNNNNNNNNNNNNNNNNNNNNNNNNNNNNNNNNNNNNNNNNNNNNNNNNNNNNNNNNNNNNNNNNNNNNNNNNNNNNNNNNNNNNNNNNNNNNNNNNNNNNNNNNNNNNNNNNNNNNNNNNNNNNNNNNNNNNNNNNNNNNNNNNNNNNNNNNNNNNNNNNNNNNNNNNNNNNNNNNNNNNNNNNNNNNNNNNNNNNNNNNNNNNNNNNNNNNNNNNNNNNNNNNNNNNNNNNNNNNNNNNNNNNNNNNNNNNNNNNNNNNNNNNNNNNNNNNNNNNNNNNNNNNNNNNNNNNNNNNNNNNNNNNNNNNNNNNNNNNNNNNNNNNNNNNNNNNNNNNNNNNNNNNNNNNNNNNNNNNNNNNNNNNNNNNNNNNNNNNNNNNNNNNNNNNNNNNNNNNNNNNNNNNNNNNNNNNNNNNNNNNNNNNNNNNNNNNNNNNNNNNNNNNNNNNNNNNNNNNNNNNNNNNNNNNNNNNNNNNNNNNNNNNNNNNNNNNNNNNNNNNNNNNNNNNNNNNNNNNNNNNNNNNNNNNNNNNNNNNNNNNNNNNNNNNNNNNNNNNNNNNNNNNNNNNNNNNNNNNNNNNNNNNNNNNNNNNNNNNNNNNNNNNNNNNNNNNNNNNNNNNNNNNNNNNNNNNNNNNNNNNNNNNNNNNNNNNNNNNNNNNNNNNNNNNNNNNNNNNNNNNNNNNNNNNNNNNNNNNNNNNNNNNNNNNNNNNNNNNNNNNNNNNNNNNNNNNNNNNNNNNNNNNNNNNNNNNNNNNNNNNNNNNNNNNNNNNNNNNNNNNNNNNNNNNNNNNNNNNNNNNNNNNNNNNNNNNNNNNNNNNNNNNNNNNNNNNNNNNNNNNNNNNNNNNNNNNNNNNNNNNNNNNNNNNNNNNNNNNNNNNNNNNNNNNNNNNNNNNNNNNNNNNNNNNNNNNNNNNNNNNNNNNNNNNNNNNNNNNNNNNNNNNNNNNNNNNNNNNNNNNNNNNNNNNNNNNNNNNNNNNNNNNNNNNNNNNNNNNNNNNNNNNNNNNNNNNNNNNNNNNNNNNNNNNNNNNNNNNNNNNNNNNNNNNNNNNNNNNNNNNNNNNNNNNNNNNNNNNNNNNNNNNNNNNNNNNNNNNNNNNNNNNNNNNNNNNNNNNNNNNNNNNNNNNNNNNNNNNNNNNNNNNNNNNNNNNNNNNNNNNNNNNNNNNNNNNNNNNNNNNNNNNNNNNNNNNNNNNNNNNNNNNNNNNNNNNNNNNNNNNNNNNNNNNNNNNNNNNNNNNNNNNNNNNNNNNNNNNNNNNNNNNNNNNNNNNNNNNNNNNNNNNNNNNNNNNNNNNNNNNNNNNNNNNNNNNNNNNNNNNNNNNNNNNNNNNNNNNNNNNNNNNNNNNNNNNNNNNNNNNNNNNNNNNNNNNNNNNNNNNNNNNNNNNNNNNNNNNNNNNNNNNNNNNNNNNNNNNNNNNNNNNNNNNNNNNNNNNNNNNNNNNNNNNNNNNNNNNNNNNNNNNNNNNNNNNNNNNNNNNNNNNNNNNNNNNNNNNNNNNNNNNNNNNNNNNNNNNNNNNNNNNNNNNNNNNNNNNNNNNNNNNNNNNNNNNNNNNNNNNNNNNNNNNNNNNNNNNNNNNNNNNNNNNNNNNNNNNNNNNNNNNNNNNNNNNNNNNNNNNNNNNNNNNNNNNNNNNNNNNNNNNNNNNNNNNNNNNNNNNNNNNNNNNNNNNNNNNNNNNNNNNNNNNNNNNNNNNNNNNNNNNNNNNNNNNNNNNNNNNNNNNNNNNNNNNNNNNNNNNNNNNNNNNNNNNNNNNNNNNNNNNNNNNNNNNNNNNNNNNNNNNNNNNNNNNNNNNNNNNNNNNNNNNNNNNNNNNNNNNNNNNNNNNNNNNNNNNNNNNNNNNNNNNNNNNNNNNNNNNNNNNNNNNNNNNNNNNNNNNNNNNNNNNNNNNNNNNNNNNNNNNNNNNNNNNNNNNNNNNNNNNNNNNNNNNNNNNNNNNNNNNNNNNNNNNNNNNNNNNNNNNNNNNNNNNNNNNNNNNNNNNNNNNNNNNNNNNNNNNNNNNNNNNNNNNNNNNNNNNNNNNNNNNNNNNNNNNNNNNNNNNNNNNNNNNNNNNNNNNNNNNNNNNNNNNNNNNNNNNNNNNNNNNNNNNNNNNNNNNNNNNNNNNNNNNNNNNNNNNNNNNNNNNNNNNNNNNNNNNNNNNNNNNNNNNNNNNNNNNNNNNNNNNNNNNNNNNNNNNNNNNNNNNNNNNNNNNNNNNNNNNNNNNNNNNNNNNNNNNNNNNNNNNNNNNNNNNNNNNNNNNNNNNNNNNNNNNNNNNNNNNNNNNNNNNNNNNNNNNNNAUGAUGUCAAAUUACUUAGUCUUUAAUGGUAUAUUUAUUAGAAUUAUGAAACUUAUUUUAAAAAAUUAUUUUGGACGAUCCAAACUGUAUGAAUGUUAUUUUAACAUGUUAAUAUUGAUUAAAAUUGUUUUUAAAAAAAAAUUAGUUGUAUUUUAUGUGUGAAUUUUUAGUCAAAUACGAUAAAAUAUUUAUUUAGCUUGUAAUGAAAUAUUAAAACCCUACUUCAAAAGAAACUUGUCUAAAACUACCUAUAAGUGUUAGAGAAUCAUCGAUUUAGUUAUCAAAUUAGUUAUCAUAAGGGUUUUACUCCGCUUUUCUCUGGUAUGAUGUUGAUUUUUGGGGUUUGAUUGGUCGAUUUUCAUGUUUUAUAAGUUAUGUGAGUUCGAUUUUGAUGUUUUUACAAUUAGGUUUAUGUAUGUUCUUAUACAGGUUUCAUGUUCAUGUUUUGAUUUGUUGAUUUCCUAUUUUUCAUAUUUUGUUGAUUAGUUAUUUGUGUGGGUUUUGAACUUUGAUGAGUGUGUAUGUAAUCUCCUGUUUUUUUUUCAUUUUUCUGGUUCGAACACUUCGAUUAGUAGCUGGAAAAACAGCUGAUGCGGCAGUAGCGGCUAGCGAGAUGGAUAACAAGAAAAGGAUGAUUUCGAGGUCAUCUCGUGCAAGUCUUCAGAUAUAGUUUUGUUCCUUUAUGUUUUUAAUUGACAUAAAUUUUCACAUUUGAUGAUUAUAUUAUGGGGGAUUCUGGGUAUACUUGUAUAUAAUCUAGCAAGUUAUUAUAAUUCUGGACGGGGGGCUUAUUGUGAAAUUAAAUUGAGGGAUAAGUUGUGUUAUUGGUUCUAGUGGAUUAAAUUUAUGUUGACACUUGAUAUAUGCAUUGAUGUCGUAAAAUAAGUUGCACAUCAAACUAUUUGGCUUGUUUAAGUUGUAUGGAGUAAGGCUGUACGCGGAUCGGAUCGGUUCGGUUGGAGGGUAAUAACCAAACCAAACCGCAACUUACGGUUUUCUAAAAUCUCAAACCGCGACCAUACUGUUGGUUAAAAAAACCCAACCAAAUCCAUCCACGUAAUUGCGGUUGGUUGCGGUUCAACCGCUAAAAUAGUUAUAACAAAGAAAAUAUAUAAGUUAUCGCUUAAAAUCUUGCAUAAAGUACAGGCUUUAACUCAAAAAUAUAUAAUUUAUCACUUAAAAUCUUGAAUAAAGUUAAUACAAUAAAUCUGAUUACAUAUUACAAAAGCAAACUAAUCCGGAAAUAUAUAACUUGAAGCAGAGCUUCAAGUUAAUGGUUAUUAAAAAUUUCAUCCGCGACCGCCCACAUUUUACGGUUAUCCAUAAUACACGGAUCGGUUGCAGGUGGUUGUUGCGGUUAAUGCGGUUGAGCGGAUUCAACGUACAGAGCCCUAUGAAGUAUGGUUGCCAAGCAUUGAUUGGUUGUACACGUAUAAACAAAAUGAUAUUUUAAUAUUUAAACAAAACAAUACAGUCAUAAACAGAUCGUGUCGGGCUGGACUGAUUGUGAUUUUCCUUUUUGGAACUCGUACUCGGCAUCUUCCAAGCGAAUGAUAUUUAGAAGUUUGUUGCUAGUAUACUCCAUGUCAUAAUAAGAGUUCUUUAGAUUUUUUAUAUGUAAUUCGAAGUAUAAAAAACAUAUUUUAACAUAUUAUUUUUAAAUUUUUUAUACAUAAAAAUAUAACAUCUAUAUUUUUAUUUAAAAAAAAAUUUGAAAUAUAAUAUAUGGAUGCAUGUCUUUUUUAUACGUGAAAUUACAUGUAAAAAAUUAAAAGACUCUUAUUUUGAGUAAGAGAGAAUAUGAUGUACCAUAAAGUCAUCGAUCUUUUGUUAUCAAAUAAAUGUGAUAUUUAAUUAUUUAAGAGCAAGUCCAAAAGUAUCUUAGUUAAAGUCCUAAAUAUAAUAUAAAAUAUUACGUUCCGGUGAUUUAGGAUAUAUUUUACUAACUUGGACUCCAACAAUGUGUCUUAUUCUCAUAAGAAGUUUAAUAUUUUAUUAUUAAAAACUCUCUUUCAUCAUUAAAGCAUAAUAUAAAAGUAGAGAGAGAAAAAAAGUGUUGAUAAGAAUUAAUAAUAAAAUAUGGGAUAGGGUAAGGAGAGAUGUGCCUCAAAAAUAGGGCUUGAGGAGGUUGUCCUAGUGAUAUAAGGGCAAGGAGAUCAACUUUUUACAUCAAAUGCCUUAAAUAACAAUUUAGGACAUAAUAUUGGGCAUCUGCUGGACUUGCUCUAAGUUGUUACUCCUUUAUUAGGUGUGGACACGGAGACGAAGAAGUAAAAGAUGAGUACAGUUAAAUGAAGAUGUGGUAAAAUAAUGUGACCCAUUUAUAUUUAAUAAUACAUUUGAAAUAGUGGAGGAAAGUAACGAGUGUAAUAACGUUUAUAUUAUUAUAGCAUAUAGAUAGCAGAAGAAAGCAAUGGGUAUAAAAGUGUAUUAUAUUAUUAAAAUUACUAUUUUUGAAAUGUUUAGAAAUAAUGGGGCAAUCAAAAAGAAAACUGUAUAAAAAUGGACGAGAGAAUACAAUUCAAGAAGUAAUAUAUCUCAAUUCAAACUAGGUAAUAUAUUUAUGAAUUAUAUUAAAAAAAAUUUGACAUUCAAAUAUAAAAAUUUAUUUUAUCAUCUUAACAAUGGAAUAUUCGAUUAUUAACUUUCGUAAAUAACAUUAAUUUUUCAUUAUAAUAUACUCUAAACUUUUAUUUUAUGUGCCUGUUUGUUUACAAGAAGCUGGAGUCCUACUUCUCUUGACUCGUUUGUGUAAAAACGUAAAAAGUGCUUUUAAAAAGUACUGAGAAGGAAAUGGAAGUAGAAAAUGCUAGUUUUUCUUUAUAAUAUCUAUUUCUUUUCUAGACACUUUAAUAAUUUAUAUAUAUUAAUUUAUUUCUCACUUAUACUCCAUUUUUUUAUAGAGAACUUCUUUUAAACUAAUCGGCUCCUAUAAUCAGUAGUUUCUCAAUUUUAACAGGAAUAAGAGCAUGUUUAUCUGAGCUUAAAGCCCGGGGUUUAUAUCAUCUCUGGCUUUAAGCUGAAAAAUGUAUGUUUGUGUAUUAAGUCGGAAGUCGGCUUAAAGUCGGAAAUAAGUCAAAAAUUGACCUAAAACCAGAAGUUAGUUUGAGAUACUUUUCUCGGUGACUAAUUUUUUUUUUAGCCAUUUUUUGAUAAAAAUUAUUCUUAAAUCACAAAUUACUCAUAAAUCACUUUUAUUAUUAUUAUUACUAUAUUUUUAAUAACUUAUAAGUUAUUAAUAAAUCAAAAUUAAUCAAACAAAUAUUUUAAGUUCUCAUAAGAGUUUAUGAGAUAAGUAACGUUAAGUCAUGAAUCAACUGAACGGGAUGUAAGUCUUCUUCUCCCCGAGUCAUCAGCAGACUUUUUCCAUGUCUUCUGAGCCCCCAUUGGCUCACAAUUGGCCCAAAAAAUAUUUGGUUAUGCAUUGCUAUUCACACACUUAGACAUCAAAAUUUAUCAUCCGACAGGCGACAGCUAACUGCACACUAUUUUUCCCACAAGCUGAAAAAUCAACGAUCAAUUAAUUUUUCUUAUCAAUUAAUAAAGUUAUGAUUUCACGUACACGGCAGGCAAAAUGCUAAUAAAUAGACGAGUGCAGUAUAGUAUGGGUUCAUGAUCACCUUGAGAUUUAAUUGAAAAAUAUUAUGGUGAUAUAGAUUAAAUUAAAUUAUAAUAUCUUGAAAAGUUAUAAAUAAUUUUAAUUACUAAUAAUAUUUAUUUGUACAUUUAAAUAUUUUUAUAAAAACACAAAAAUAGCAUUAUACUCAUUUAAGUUUCUCGUAUCCGCCUCUCUUCUUGGAGAUUGUGGAUUUGCGAUAUUUAUAUUGAUUAUUAUAGGAAAAUGUUAUUUCCAGAGCAAACAUUUUUAUUUCCGGAGCAAAUUCAAACAAAUUUUUCCAAAUUGUUCUGGAAAUUAAAAUAUUGAUAUGGAUAUAACAAUUCCCUUAUUAUAUCCUAUGUAUAUUACAUUAAUGCAAUUAACAUGGUUGAUUGUUUUAGUAUAUAAUCAUAUUACUGUGACCUUUUAGUAUAUAAUUAUAUUAUUUUUGUUAUAUUUUAUGCAUCUAGAAACAAUUUUUUUAUGAUAUUUAUUAUAUUAAUUAUAGUAAAAGAUAUAAUUUUGUUUAAAAAAUUGAAUAAAACUAAGAGGGAUAGCCUACGUCUCUCCGAGUCUUCGAGGACUCAUUCCAAGUCCGAGAGGACCACAGCCUCAACCUUUAAGAGAUGUGAAAGUAGCUUGAGAGUGAUAUAAAUUUAUUUUUGACAAUAAAAUUUAAUAAUCAAAUAAAUUAAAUUAAAUUAAACUAGUUUAUAAUCGAUUAAAAAUAUAUAAAUCAAAAUUAUUCCCGAAUUAUGAUAACAAUUAAAAUCAUUUUAAAAGUUGCAUAAAUCAAAUCCAAAUCGAACAAAUUCCCCUAACACUAAAAUGUAGUUGCUUUAUUGUAGAUAAAAACAGUAUAAUAAUAGUAUUGAUGAAAAAUCAAAUUCAUCAAAUAAGUUUAUAAAAAAUACAUGAUUUUAAUUUUAAAAAAAAAACAUGAUUUUAGUGUGUUGUAUUAGUAGUGUGUCCACGCAUUUAUAUAUUAAAAUCUAUCCUCUAAAAACUAUCGAUCUAUUUACACAACUAUUGAUCUGUCGUGCAACAAAUUCCAGGGCGAAGUUCCAAAGAGAGCUUAAAUGGCUUGCAUUGCUCAAUCUAUCUCAUAAUAGUCUUAACGACAUAUGUUUUGAAUUAUUAUUAUGAUUUCAACAAUAUUUUCAAACAUUUCUUAAUAUGUAUUUUCAAAGAAUUCUCAAGCACUUGAACAUUUGGACCGGUUCUUUCGAAGCCAGGCAAUGCACAAAAAUGUCCAAAAAUGAAUAAAUUAAGAGAGAGUAGCUCACCCUUUCAAAGCCUUCCAGGACUCAUUCCAAGUCUUCGGAGGACCACUGCCUCCCCCUUUCAAAGAUGUGAUAGUAGCUCGAGAGUGAUAUAAAUUAUUUUCCCGACAUUAAAAAUAAAAAAUCAGAUUAAAUUAAUCAAUAAUAACUUAAGGAUGAAAUCCAAAUUAAUCCUAAAUUUUGAUAAUAUAUAAAAAUUAUAAUUAUAAAUUAUAUAACCAAAUCAGAAUUGAAUUAACUUACUUGGCACUAGAAUUGCUAAAGACAGUAUAAUAAUUUAAUUGAUGAAAAGUCAAAGUCUUCUAAUAAAUCCAUAAAGAAUAUGAUAAUAUGAAAAUUAUAAUUGAAAAAUCAAAAUCAAUAGUGUAUUGGAAUAGUGUUCACACACUUAUAUAUCAAAAUUUGUGGUCCAAAAACUAUAGCACAAUAUCCUAAAUACAUCACAUUAAAUAAUAGCACAAAAAUAUUCAAUAAAUAAUUGAUUUCAUUCAUAAAUUUGUUAUUUUAAAAACUAAUAAUUUGGUUGAUGUUAACCUAUAUUUUAUAUAUAAUUUCGUCUUAUUUUAUUUUACUAGAAACAAUAUUUUUAUAAUAUUUAUUACAUUAAAUAUAUUAAAAGAUAUAAUUUUAUUAAAAAAAUUGAAUAAAAUUAAAAGGAUAAGUCUCGGCCUCUCCAAGUCUACAAGACUCAUUUCACUACAAGAAAAAUGCAUAAAAGCGACCACCUAAAUGCGUGAAUGAAAAAAUAAUUUUAGAAAAACGAAAAUAAUCAUUCGUGACAAGACUAGUUAAAAAUAAUUGUUUAAUUUUUUUGACCAUUAUGAGAAGACACUAUUAAGUCGUUAUUUUUUAUUUCUUCACAUAAUUAAAAUCAACACAUAUUAAGAUAUUUAUGAUUGAAUGGUGAAAAAAAUAAAUCAAAUAUCAUAGAUCACAAGACUAGUUAUUUAAAAUUUUUUAAUUAAUCUUUACUAUUAUAAAAAUAUAUAAAUAAAUAUUUAUUUUUAUUUCUCCACAUCACAAAAAUAAACUCAUGUUAACAUUUAUGUGUGACUCGUGAACUUUUUUAUAAAAAUCAUAAAAUAAUUAAUACUGGCAAAAGCGACCGGCUAUAAAAUGGUAGCUUUUGUUUUUAUAUUUUUUUACUUCUCUUAGGCGGGAAAAUUCCCGCUCAAACACAUGAAAGUUAAAAGCGACCGCUAGACUUAGCCGGUUGCUUUUAUAUUUAAAAGCCACCAAACAAAAGCGACCCCUCGUAAAAGCCACCAAACAAAAGCGACCGCCAAUAAAAGCUACCAAACACGGUCGCUUUUGUUUAUCAGUCAAAUCAAAUUUCUAUUUUGAGUAAAAGCCACCGCUUUCGGUGGCUUUUAUACUUGGUCGCUUUUGUUUGGUGGCUUUUAGUGUUUUUUCUUGUAGUGUUUCAAGUCCACCGAGGGCCUCAACCAUUGAGAGAUGUGAAAGUAGCUUGAGAGUGAUAUAAAUUAUUUUCAUGACAAUAUAAUUUAAUAUCCAAUAUAAAUUAAUUAAAUUAGUUAAUAAUGAAUCAAGACUAAUCAUGAAUUAUGAUAAUAAUUAAAUAAAUUAUAAAAUUAAAUUAUACAAAUAACACUAAACCUUAGUUACUUUAUUGGUAAAAUAAAUAUAAUAUAAUAAUUAAAUUGAUGAAAAAUCAAAAUCAUCUAAUAAAUUCACAAAAAAUAUAUGAUCAUUAGUAUAUUAUAUUAGUAUCCACACACUUAUAUUUCAAAAUCUAUCCUACAAAAUUAUCAUCUCUGUAAACUAGCCACAAAAAAUAAAAAUUUAAAGAUAUUAGAUAUUUAGUUAUUUUCAUUAUAUAAUUUUUCCACACUAAAUAACAAAAUAUCUUUAUCAAAUUAUUAUUUAUGAAUUAAAUAUUCAAGUUAUAAAUUGAAGUGUGCAGUAUGAUAUCAGAUUCACAUAACCCAGUUGAUCAGGAGAAACAUGGCCUACUCUGCAAAGCCUUCUCACCUUCUUCUCUUUGUUUUCUUUCUCUCAUCACUUGAAUGCAUUCUUGCAACAACACGAGAAGGAGAAGCUCUUGUGAAGUGGAAGAAUAGCCUAGCCCCUUCUUCUUUUCUCGACUCUUGGUCACUCACCAAUCUCGAUAAUCUUUGUAAUUGGACUGGCAUUACUUGUAACUCUGCAGGUUCAGUCUCUAAGAUUAACCUUUUUGAGAAACAACUUGAUGGAAUGUUGUCCGAGUUUGGUUUCACUUCAUUUCCAAAUCUCAACAAUCUCACCCUUGCAAACAACUUCUUCUCGGGUCCAAUACCGCCAGCCAUUGAGAAUUUAACACAGCUUCAAUAUCUUGAUUUGAGAAAUAAUUAUCUAGAUGGUCCCAUUCCGUUCCAGGUUAGCCAUCUUCAGAGCUUGCUCAUCUUAAACCUGUCACAGAAUGCAUUGCAAGCUCCAAAUUGGUCCCAUUUCUCUCCCAUGCCUUUCUUGCGCAUCCUCAACCUCAGUUACAAUCCUCUUGCGUCGAAAUUCCCAUAUUUUAUAUCCAAUUCUCAUAGCCUGACUCACCUUAGCCUUAAUUAUAACGAGUUUACUGGUGAUUUAGUACGUGAAUCAGUAUUUGCCAAUCUGCAUAAUCUUGAAGUCCUCAGUCUUGUUGGCAAUUCUUUUGAGGGGUCAUUUCCGCCAGAUAUAUUCAAGCUUUCCAAAUUAAAACGUCUUGCCCUGUCAAGUAACAAAUUUUCAGGUUCAAUUCCCAAUGACUUAAGGUUGCUUCAUGAUCUUGAAUCCCUGUAUUUAGGCAACAAUUCCUUUGAAGGACCGCUUCCACCAAAUAUAUUCAAGCUUUCAAAAUUAAAAAAUCUUGUUAUUUGGAGUAAUAAGUUUUCAGGUUCUGUUUCCAAUGAUAUAGGUUUGCUUUCUGAGCUUGAAACCCUCGAUCUUAACUCUAAUUUUUUUGAGGGGCCGCUUCCGCCAAAUGUAUUCAAGCUCUCCAAACUAAGGUUUCUUCACCUCUGGGGUAAUAACUUUUCAGGUUCUAUUUCCAAUAAUAUAGGUUUGCUUUCUGAGCUUGAAACCCUCGAUCUUAACUCUAAUUUUUUUGAGGGGCCGCUUCCGCCAAAUGUAUUCAAGCUCUCCAAACUAAAGUUUUUUGCCCUUCGUGAGAAUAACUUUUCAGGUUUUAUUUCUAAGGAUAUAGGUUUGCUUUCCCAACUUGAAAGCCUCUAUCUUGGCUCUAAUUUUUUUGAGGGGCCGCUUCCCCCACAUAUAUUUAGGCUCUCCAAAUUAAGAGAUCUGGACCUCUCAGACAAUAGAAAUUUAUUUGAAGGAAGUAUUCCUAUUGGACUGGGACUCUUGACUAAUUUCAGCUUCUUAGAUCUAAAUUCCAAUAAUCUCGGUGGCUAUAUUCCAUCUGACAUUGGAAACCUGAAGCUACUAGUAUAUCUUGAUCUCAGUUCUAAUCAAUUGACUGGACAGCUUUCAAAGAUCAUUUCUAAUCUCACAAAUCUUAUAAGUCUUGAUGUAAGUUAUAAUAGUUUUAGUGGAAAUAUUCAGAGUGACUUGUGGAACUUCCCUAAGGAAUAUAACAAUCAUCCAACUUUGGAAUACAUCGCUUUUAAGUGGGAACCAUUUUACAGGUAUAUUUUCUCUAUAUAUCUUUUCCUUUUCUCAUAUGUAACUAAGCUAGUAAUCUGAUUAUUGCUGUUUUACCAAAUUUUAACAAUCUUGACAGGUGAGCUUCCAACAACAAUUUGCAAUGUCACUUCCCUUUCAAUUCUUGAUUUGUCAAAUAAUGAAUUAAGUGGUGAACUUCCAAACUGUUUCGGGAAUCUUGCUGAUGGAUUGCUUUACAUUAAUCUUGCUAAUAAUCAGUUUCGAGGAACAAUACCAACUACUUUCUCCAGGAGUUGUCAGCUGACAUGCAUAUCUAAACAUGGAUAAUAAUGAGUUUGAAGGAUUGAUGCCCCCAUCUUUGGCGAACUGUAAGCACUUGAAAAUUCUUGAUAUAGGCAAUAAUAAAAUAGGUGGUACAUUUCCGUCAUGGCUUUAUGCACUUGGAGAGCUAGAAGUUCUUGUCUUGCGAUCAAAUAAACUCUAUGGUACAAUAAGUGGAAGGAGCACAGAAGAUCCCUUCCCCAAGUUGCGGAUUAUGGAUUUGUCCAACAAUCAAUUCACAGGCCAUUUGCCAAUUCAAUACUUUAAGAAUAUGAAAUCAACUGAUAAUUUGUAUCGUUUUCAGAAUGUGACAGCAGUUUUUACUAUCCAUUAUGAAGCAGCAGUCUCAUUAACUGUGAAGGGAACAGAGUAUGAAGUGACAAAUAACCUUCAUAUUUACACAGCUAUUGAUCUGUCGUGCAACAAAUUUCAGGGUGAAAUUCCAAAAGUUAUUGGAGAGCUUAGAUGGCUUGCAUUGCUCAACUUAUCGCAUAAUAGUCUGACAGGACAUAUCCCGUCAUUGCUGAGAAAUAUGAAAGAACUCCAAUCUUUAGAUUUGUCCUCAAAUCAACUGACAGGGGCUAUUCCACCUCAGUUAACUGCACUGACAUUUCUAGAAGUCUUAAACCUCUCGGGAAACCAUCUUAGUGGAGAGAUUCCUCAGAAAGGACAAUUCAGCACAUUCAACAAUGAUUCUUAUCUAGGAAACUCCGCAUUAUGUGGAUCACCAUUGAUGAAGAAAUGUGCAAACACAGCAUCACCUCCACAAGAAGUCGGAAAUGGUGAUGAAGAUGAUGCUGGAGAUGAAUUGACAUGGGAAGCAAUCGUGAUGGGAUAUGGAUGUGGACUGAUAUGUGGAUUGUCAUCUGCAUACAUUGUUCUCAAACUAGGAAAGCCUUGGUGGUUUGUGAGAUAUAUCGAAGUGCUGCAACUGAAGUUGAUGAAAAGAUAUGCAUGAAGAAUGGUACUGGCCAAUCAAGACCAACUUGAAAGUUGUUGGACAUUUCUGAACCAGUAGUGUACUAUUCUCUUUGUGGCUGCAUAAGUUUUUGGUAUUGGUGUAAUAUUUUGUUUGGUCUUGAAUCAUAAUGAUUUUUCUUUUUUCAGGGGUAUUAAUAUAAACCUUGGUAUUGUGUAAUAUUCUGUUUGAUCAAUGUUUAUAUCAGUAAUUAUAUGCUCCUCACUGCAUCAUGCAGCUCUCAUAAUAUUAUUAUUAUUAUUAUUAUUAUUAUUAUUAUUAUUAUUAUUAUUAUUAUUAUUAUUAUUAUUAUUAUUAUUAUUAUUAAUUGAUUACACACUCACACGUGGGGAGUCGACCUCCCGACCUCCAGCAAAGGGGUAAAAGAGCUCUCAUAUUAUCUUCAUAUGUGUAUUAUUUGGAUAUCAAAGUUGCAGGGACAUAUGGAUAUGUGUUAACAGGGACUGCUCGGUCUUGGACGGACUCUUUCCAAGUCCUCUGGGGUCCUAUCGAUUCAAAUUAGUCUAUUAUCUGCAUACUAGCUAAUUUGUCCAACUCGGGCUUCAAUAGUAAAGAUAAUAGGUGCGAGUUGAGUUUCUCAAAGUAUGAGUACAAUAUCGUUUUUUAAUGAUAGUUAGGGGGUGUGAUAUGCAAUUACCUCAAAAAUAUAUGAUCAUUAGUAUAUUAUAUUAGUAUCCACACACUUAUAUCUCAAAAUCUAUCCUCCAAAAUUAUCAUCUCUAUAGGCUAGCCACAUAAAAUAAAAAUUUAAAGAUAUUAGAUAUUUAGUUAUUUUCAUCAUAUAAUUUUUCCAUGCAAAAUAACAAAAUAUCUUUAUCAACUUAUUAUUUAUGAGUUAAAUAUUCAAGUUAUAUAAUUCGGGCAUGCUGGGUAUAAAUAGAAGUGUAACGCCUAAUUUCCGGGGUCUGGGAGUAGUUGGCGGGGUAUGAGAGAGCAGGCUAUUCAGAAGUCUUGGUCAUGAAAACUUCCAAGCUAACUUCGACAACGGAAUCUUCUGAGGCUACUAUUCUAAAGCACGCAUAAUCAUUGUAUUCAUAUUCCUCUCACACUGACAAAAAGUCUAUUUAAGCAAAUGAAAUACAAACAACUGAGUGGAAUGCUGACCGAAAAUCUUUUUGGCUGAGCUUAUGAGUUAUUAGUACAUGAUUAAUAUGAUAAGCUAAGCUGAGAGCAUAAGAUAUCGUUUGUAUAAUUUUGUGUUUAUUAAUGACUUAUAAAUUAUUAAAAAUAUAAUAAGAAAAAUAAAAAUGUUUUAUAACUAAUUUAUGUUUCAUGAGUAAUUUUUAUUAGAAAAAAGUUUUAAAAAAUUAUUUCACUGGAAAAAAACCUCCAACUAACUUUUGGCUCUAAAGUCAGUUUGUGACUUAUUUCUGACUUUAAAUCGGCUUCUCACUUUUACACAAACAAAAAUUUUUCAGCUUAAAGUUAAAAACAACUUUAAGCUCCGGUUUUAAACCUCGACAAACAUGCUCUGAGUUUGGUUUCACUUCAUUUACAAACCUCAACAAUUUCACCAUCAAACACAAUGACUUCUCCAAUCUCCGGUCAAGUACCACCAGCCAUUGAGAAUUUGGCACAACUUCAAUUCCAUACCAGGUUAGUCAUCUUCGGAGAUUACACGUCUUAGACCUGUCAAAUACAAAUUUCAAUCUCCAAACUGGUCCGACUUAUCUUCUAUGCUUUUUGUUGAGUCCGGCUCAUCUAAAGCCUUAAGAUGUUAGAAGAAGCCCCCAAUGAAUCUUAUAUAUGCUAUAUUUUAACAAUUCUGAGCACACUCAACCUUGGUAUUAAUAAUAUUGUGUCGAAAAUUCCAGAAUUUAUAUCUAAUUCUCAUAGCCUAACUUUCCUUGACCUUUCCAUAUAACAAAUUUACAGUUAAUCCUGUGCUUGAAUCAGUAUUUGCAACCAAAAUUAUGCAAUUAUAGUGCAGGUAGUCUUCCAGUUCUUCCUACUCUAUGCUAUAAUUUCAUUUGAUACCAAUAAUUUUACGCUCUACACUCCAGGAUGAGCUCGCAUAUUAUUGACAGCUAUAAUCCUUCCAACAAUUUGCGAUGCAAAGCAGGGGGGCGCCUGUAUUUUCAUAUGUCUAUAUUAUUGGAGAUUAAAGUUGUAUGGACAAUUGUGUUGAUAAUUUGCCCAAUGUUAACAGGGAUAGGUUGGCUUAAUUUGCCCAAUGUUAACAGGGAUAGGUUGGCUUAAUUUGCCCAAUGUUAACAGGGAGAUUAAAUGGCUUGCAUUGCUCAACGUAUAUCUCAUAAUAGUCUUACCGGACAUAUGUUAUGCAUUAUUAUUAUGCUUUCAUCACUAUUUUCAAACAUUUCUCAAUAUAUAUUUUCAAAGAAUUCUCAAGCACUUGAACAUUUGGACCGGUUCUUUCGAAGCCAAGAUGCCCAGGGUAUCAUGGCCAUGCACAAAAAUGAAUAAAUUAAGAGAGAUUGCUCAGGGUCUCCCCAAGCCUUUCAGGACUCAUUCCAAGUCUUCGAGGACCACUGCCUCACUCUUUCAAAGAUGUGAUAGUAGCUCGAGAGCGAUAUAAAUGAUUUUCCUGACACUAAAAAUAAAAAAAUCAGAUCAAAUUAAUCAAUAAUAAAUUAAAGAUGCAAUCCAAAUUAAUCCUAAAUUUUGAUGAUAUAUAAAAAUUAUAAUUAUAAAUUAUAUAACCAAAUCAGAAUUGAAUUAACUUACUUGGUACUAAAAUUGAUAAAAACAGUAUAAUAAUUUAAUUGAUGAAAAUUCAAAGUCUUCUAAUAAAUCCAUAAAAAAUUUGAUAAUCAAAAUAACGAAAAUUAUAAUUGAAAAAUCAAAAUCAAUAGUGUAUUGGAAUAUUGUUCACACACUUAUAUAUCAAAAUUUGUGGUCCAAAAACUAUAGCACAAUAUCCUAAAUACACCACAUUAAAUAAUAGUUCAAAAAUAUUCAAUAGAUAAUUGAUUUCAUUCAUAAUUUUGUUAUUUUAAAAACUAAUAAUUUGGUUGAUGUUAACCUAUAUUUUAAUAUAUAAUUAUAUUAUUUUCAUCUUAUUUUAUUUAACCAGAAACAAUAUUUUUAUAAUAUUUAUUACAUUAUUUAUAUUAAAAAAUAUAAUUUCAUUAAAAAAAUUGAAUAAAAUUAAGAGGAUAACUCUAUGCCUCUCCAAGUCUACAAGACUCAUUUCAAGUCUACCUCGGACCACUACCUCAACCAUUCAGAGAUGUGAAAGUAGUUUGAGAGUGACAUAAAUUAUUUUCGUGACAAUAAAAUUUAAUAUCUAAUAUAAAUUAAUUAAAUUAGAUAAUAAUAAAUCAAAACUAAUUAUGAAUUAUGAUAAUAAUUAAAUAAAUUAUAAUUAAAUUAUAUAAAUCAACUCCAAAUGAUACAAAUAACACUAAACCUUGGUUACUUUGUUGGUAAAUAAAUAUAAUAUAAUAAUCAAAUUGAUGAGAAAUGAAAAUCAUCUAAUAAAUUCACAAAAAAUAUAUGAUCAUUAGUAUAUUAUAUUAGUAUCCACACACUUAUAUUUCAAAAUCUAUCCUCCAAACUUAUCAUCUCCGUAAACUAGCCACAUAAAAUAUAAAUUUAAAGAUAUUAGAUAUUUAGUUAUUUUCAUUAUAUAAUUUUUCCACACUAAACAACAAAAUAUUUUUAUCAAAAUUAUUAUUUAUGAGUUAAAUAUUCAAGUUAUAAUUCCAGCAUGCAGCGUAUAAAUAGAAGUGUGCAGUAUGAUAUCAGAUUCAUAACCCAGUUGAUCAGAAGAAACAUGGCCUACUCUGCAAAGCCUUCUCACCUUCUUCUCUUUGUUUUCUUUCUCUCAUCACUUGAAUCCAUUCUUGCAACAACACGAGAGGGAGAAGCUCUUGUGAAGUGGAAGAAUAGCCUAGCCCCUUCUUCUUUUCUCGACUCUUGGUCACUCACCAAUCUCGAAAAUCUUUGUAACUGGACUGGCAUUACUUGUAACUCUGCAGGUUCAGUCUCUGAGAUUAACCUUUUUGAGAAACAACUUAAUGGAAUGCUGUCCGAGUUCGGUUUCACUUCAUUUCCAAAUCUCAACAAUCUCACCCUCGCAUACAACUUCUUCUCGGGUCCAAUACCACCAGCCAUUGAGAAUUUAACACAGCUUCAAUAUCUUGAUUUAAGCAUGAAUAGUCUUAAUGGUCCCAUUCCGUUCCAGGUUAGCCAUCUUCAGAGUUUGCUCAUAUUAAACCUGUCACAGAAUGCAUUGCAAGCUCCAAAUUGGUCCCAUUUCUCUCCCAUGCCUGUUUUGCGCUUCCUCAAGCUCAGUAGAAAUCCUCUUGUGUCGAAAUUCCCAAAUUUUAUAUCCAAUUCUCAUAGCCUGACUUAUCUCAACCUUUCACAUAACAAGUUUAGUGGUGAUCUUGUACGUGAAUCAGUAUUUACCAAUCUGCAUCAUCUUGAAGUCCUCAGUCUUGUUGGCAACUCUUUUGAGGGGUCAUUUCCGCCAGAUAUAUUCAAGCUUUCCAAAUUAACACGUCUUGCCCUGUCAAGUAACAAAUUUUCAGGUUCAGUUCCCAACGACAUAAGGUUGCUUUGUGGUCUUGAAUACCUAUAUUUAGCUGACAAUUCCUUUGAAGGACCGCUUCCACCAGAUAUAUUCAAGCUUUCAAGAUUAAAACAUCUUGUUCUUUGGAGUAAUAAGUUUUCAGGUUCUGUUUCCAAUGAUAUAGGUUUGCUUUCUGAGCUUGAAGCCCUCAAUCUUGACUCUAAUUUUUUUGAGGGGCCGCUUCCCCUAAAUUUAUUCAAGCUCUCCAAACUAAAAUUUCUCACCCUGACAAGUAACAAAUUUUUAGGUUCAAUUCCCAAUGACAUAAGGUUACUUUGUGAUCUUGAAUACCUAUAUUUAGGCAACAAUUCCUUUGAAGGACCGCUUCCACCAAAUAUAUUCAAACUUUCAAAAUUAAAAGAUCUUGUUCUUUGGGGUAAUAAGUUUUCGGGUUCUGUUUCCAAUGAUAUAGGUUUGCUUUAUGAGCUUGAAACCCUCGAUCUUAACUCUAAUUUUUUUGAGGGGCCGCUUCCGCCAAAUUUAUUCAAGCUCUCCAAACUAAAGAUUCUUUCCCUUUAUAAGAAUAACUUUUCAGGUUUUAUUUCUAAGGAUAUAGGUUUGCUUUUCGAACUUGAAAGCCUCUAUCUUGGCUCUAAUUUUUUUGAGGGGCUGCUUCCCCCACAUGUAUUUAGGCUCUCCAAAUUAAGAGAUCUGGGUCUCUCAGACAAUAGAAAUUUAUUUGAAGGAAGUAUUCCUAUUGGACUGGGACUCUUGACUAACCUCAGGUACUUAGAUCUACAUUCCAAUAAUCUCGGUGGCUAUAUUCCAUCUGACAUUGGAAACCUGAAGCUACUAGUACUUCUUGAUCUCAAUUCUAACCAAUUGACUGGACCGCUUUUAAAGAUCGUUUCUAAUCUCACAAAUCUUAUGUUUCUUGAUGUAAGUGAUAAUAGUCUUAGUGGAAAUAUUCAGAGAGACUUGUGGAACUAUAACGAUCAUCCAACUUUGGAAUUCAUCAAUUUAAGUGGGAACCAUUUUACGGGUAUAGUUUUUCUCUAUAGAUCUUUCCUUUUGUCAUAUGUAACUAAGCUAGUAAUCUGAUUAAUUGCAGUUUUACCAAAGUUUCAACAAUCUUGACAGGUGAGCUUCCAACAACAAUUUGCAAUGUCACUUCCCUUUCGGUUCUUGAUUUGUCAAAUAAUGCAUUAAGUGGUGCACUUCCAAACUGUUUCGGGAAUCUUGCUGAUGGAUUGCUUUACAUUAAUCUUGCUAAUAAUCAGUUUCGAGGAACAAUACCAACUACUUUCUCCAGGAGUUGUCAGCUGACAUAUCUGAACAUGGAUGAUAAUCAGUUUGAAGGAUUGUUACCCCCAUCUUUAGCGAACUGUAAGCACUUGAGAAUCCUUGAUAUGGGCAACAAUAAAAUAGGUGAUACAUUUCCGUCAUGGCUUUAUGUACUUGGAGCGCUAGAAGUCCUUGUCUUGCGAUCAAAUAAACUCUAUGGUACAAUAAGGGCAAGGAGCAUAGAAGAUCCCUUCCCCAAGUUGCGGAUUGUGGAUCUGUCCAACAAUCAAUUCAUGGGCCAUUUGCCAAUUCAAUACUUUAAGAAUAUGAAAUCAAAUGAUAAUUUGUAUCGUUAUCUGAAUUCCACAGGAGAAAUAGAUAUCUCUUAUGAAGCAGCAGUCUCAUUAACUGUGAAGGGAACAGAGUAUGAAGUAGCAAAUAACCUUCAUAUUUACACAGCCAUUGAUCUGUCGUGCAACAAAUUUCAGGGAGAAAUUCCAAAGGUUGCCGGAGAGCUUAGAUGGCUUGCAUUGCUCAAUUUAUCUCAUAAUAGUCUAACAGGACCUAUCCCAUCAUUGCUGAGAAAUAUGAAAGAACUCCAAUCUUUAGAUUUGUCCUCAAAUCAACUGACAGGGGCUAUUCCACCUCAGUUAACUGCAUUGACAUUUCUAGAGGUCUUAAAUCUCUCGAACAACGAUCUCAGUGGAGAGAUUCCUCAGAAAGGACAGUUCAGCACAUUCAACAAUGAUUCUUAUCUAGGAAACUCCGCGUUAUGUGGAUCACCAUUGACGAAGAAAUGCGCAAACACAGCAUCACCUCCACAAGAAGUCAGAAAUGGUGAUGAAGAUGAUGCUGGUGAUGAAUGGACAUGGGAAGCAAUCGUGAUGGGAUAUGGAUGUGGACUGAUAUGUGGAUUGUCAUCUGCGUACAUUGUUCUCAAACUAGGAAGGCCUUGGUGGUUUGUGAGAUAUGUCGAAGUAUUGCAACUGAAGUUGAUGAAAAGAUAUGCUUGAAGAAUGGUAUUUGGUCUUGUACUAGCUGCAUAAGUAUUUGGCAUUGUGUAGUAUUCUGUUUGGUCUUGAAUUAUAAUGAUUUUUCUUGCUUCAGGGGUAUUAAUAUAAACCUUGCUAUCUUGCUCAGUGUUAAUGCAAAUUAAGAUGAAUGAAUAAACAAAAAAUAUGCAUCAAAUUAAGAAUUCAGAAAUGGUGAUACUCAUGCAGUGUCACCAACUCAAGAAUUCAGAAAUGGUGAUACUCAUGAAGAUGACGAUGCUGAUGAUGAACUUUGAUGUGGGACUUGGGUUGACCACUUGUUGGGCCGCACAACACCUGUUAAGCAUUAGUAUGACGUUGUCCGCUCUGGAUCGUGACCAAGCCCGCACGGAUUUGUUUUCGAGCUCCUCUCAAAAGGUCUAAAACUAAUGGAGUUGUUUGGCUGCUUAUAUUCAAGAUAAAUCUUUUUGAUGUGGGAUUUGGGUUGACACCCACACAACAAGACGUGAGGAAAUAUUGUUGUCUUGAGAUGACAUAUGUUCUGAAUUAUUAUUAUGCUUUCAACAAUAUUUUCAAACAUUUUUCAAUAUGUAUUUUUAAAGAAUUCUCAAGCACUCGUGACCCCUAUAAUUUUUUCUCAGGCAACGCCUAUAGUUUCAAAGAAUUCCCAGGCACUUAAACAUUUGGACCGGUUCUUUGGAAGCCAAGAUGCCCAGGUUAUCAUGGCCAUGCACAAAAUGCAGUACCAAAGAAAAAAAAUAAUAAAUUAAGAGAGAUUGCUCUGGGUCACCCCAAGCCUUCGAGGACUCAUUCCAAGCCUCGCCCUUUCAAAGAAGUGAUAGUAGCCGGAAAGUGAUAUAAAUUAUUCUCCGGACACUAAAACUAAAUAAUCAGAUCAAAUUAAUCAAUAAUAAAUUAAAGAUAUGAAAUCAAAAUUAAUCCUAAAUUUUGAUAAUAUACAAAAAUUAUAAUUAUAAAUUUUAUUAUCAAAUCAAGAUUAAAUUAACUUACAUGGCCGUUAAAAUUGAUAAACGCAAUAUAAUAGGGUUAAAAAUGGGGCGGGUUCGGGACGGGUACUUCAUUUCCCAGCCUCGUCCCAUAUAUAUUUUUCCUGCCCCGUCUCCGCCCCAUUCUCCACGAAGAUUUAUUUUUAAUCCCCAUUGCCGCCCGCCCCACCGGGGAUUGAAUAUAAUUUCGCCCCGCCCCGCUGCUAUAAUAUUACACUUUAAUUAAUUACCUUAAAAUUUAAUAAUCAGAAUUUAAUAAAAAUAUACGAGACAUGUAUAUUAAAAGCAAAAAACUAAAUAUAAUAGAAAUCAAAGAGACAUGUUAUACAUUGUAAAAUUAUAGUUUUAUGUAUUAUAUAAUAGAUAAUAUUAAAUAUAUUAUAUUAAAUAUAAUUAUUUAUUUUUAUUAAAUAUAUGCGGGGCGGGGUGGGGAAUCCCCGCGGGAAUUCAACAAAUACCAUGCUUGCCCCAUAUUUUAGCGGGGCAGAUAAUCAUUCUCCGUCACUACCCCAUUCCCCAUAGAGUAGUGCUAGAUGCACAAAAUUGGAUACAUAAUUUUACACAAAAUGACAUGGCAAUCUAGGUGGAGAGCUUUAAUUGGUAUUAUUAAUGCAUGUGCAGGGGCUCAUUCCAAUCACAAAUUGACACAUACUCAUUCUGUGAAUAUUUCUGUACUCAAUUCUGUGCAGGUAGCAUUUUUCUUCCCCAUAUUAGCGGGGCGCAUCGGCUCCAUUCGGGGCGGGUUCCCCAUUUUCCCCACCCAAUUUUUAACCCUACAAUAGUAAUCAAAUUGAUGAAAAGUCAAAGUCCUCUAAUAAAUCCAUAAAGAAUAUGAUAAUCAAAACUACAAAAAUUAUAAUUGAAAAAUCAAAAUCAUCCUAAUAAGUUCAUAGAAUAUAUAUGAUCAGUAGAGCAUUAGAAUAGUGUUCACACACUUAUAUGUCAAAAUUUGUGGUCCAAAGACUAUGACACAAUAUCCUAAAUACACCCCCAUUGAAUAGUAGUUCAAAAUAUUUAAUAUAUAAUUGUUUUCAUUCAUAAUUUUGUUAUUAUUUAAAAAAUAAUAAUUUAAUUGCUGUUAACCUUUAUUUUAAUAUAUAAUCAUAUCGUUUCCUUACAAUUUAAUUAUCUAGAAACAAUAUUUUUGUUAUAAUCAUUACAUUAAUUAUAUUAAAAAAUAUAAUUUUGUUAAAACAUUGAAUGAAAUUAAGAGUAUUAAUCUACGUCUCUCCAAGUCUACAGGACUCAUUCCAAGUCUGCGUGAGACCACUGCCACCACCUUUGAGAGAUGUGGAAGUGGAAGUAGCUUCAGAUUGACCUAAAUUAUUUCCUGACAAUAAAUUUAAUAUCCGAAAUAAAUUAAAUUAAACUAGUUUUUUGAAACAAUUAAAUUAAACUAGUUAAUAAUAAAUUAAGAAUAUAUAAAAUCAAAACUAAUCAUGAAUUAUGAUAAUAAUUAAAUAAAUUAUAAUUAAGCUAUAUAAAUCAACUCCAAAUGACACCAACAGCACCAAACCUUAGUUACUUUAAUAUUGGUAAAUAAAUAUAAUAUAAUAAUCAAUUGAUGAAAAAUCAAAUCAUCUAAUAAAUUCACAAAAAAUAUAUGAUCAUUAGUAUAUUAUAUUAGUAUCCACACACUUAUAUUUCAAAAUCUAUCCUCCAAAAUUAUCAUCUCGAUAAACUAGCCACAUAAAAUAAAAAUUUAAAGAUAUUAGAUAUUUAGUUAUUUUCAUUAUAUAAUUUUUCCACACUAAAUAACAAAAUAUUUUUAUCAAAUUAUUAUUUAUGAGUUAAAUAUUCAAGUUAUAAAUCCAGCAUGCAGCGUAUAAAUAGAAGUGUGCAGUAUGAUAUCAGAAUCAUAACCCAGUUGAUCAGGAGAAACAUGGCAUACUCUGCAAAGCCUUCUCACCUUCUUCUCUUUGUUUUCUUUCUCUCAUCACUUGAAUCCAUUCUAACAACACGAGAGGGAGAAGCUCUUGUGAAGUGGAAGAAUAGCCUAGCCCCGUCUUCUUUUCUCGACUCUUGGUCACUCACCAAUCUCGAUAAUCUUUGUAACUGGACUGGCAUUACUUGUAACUCUGCAGGUUCAGUUUCUGAGAUUAACCUCUGUGAGAAACAACUUGAUGGAAUGCUGUCCGAGUUCGGUUUCACUUCAUUUCCAAAUCUCAAGAAUCUCACCCUGGCAGACAACUUCUUCUCGGGUCCAAUACCACCAGCCAUUGAGAAUUUAACACAGCUUCAAUAUCUUGAUUUAAGCAUGAAUAGUCUUAAUGGUCCCAUUCCGUUCCAGGUUAGCCAUCUUCAGAGUUUGCUCAUAUUAAACCUGUCACAGAAUGCAUUGCAAGCUCCAAAUUGGUCCCAUUUCUCUCCCAUGCCUGUUUUGCGCUUCCUCAAGCUCAGUAGAAAUCCUCUUGUGUCGAAAUUCCCAAAUUUUAUAUCCAAUUCUCAUAGCCUGACUUAUCUCAACCUUUCACAUAACAAGUUUAGUGGUGAUCUUGUACGUGAAUCAGUAUUUAUACCAAUCUGCAUCAUCUUGAAGUCCUCAGUUUUUCACCGAAGAGUUGUGUGAGCCUAUUUUAGACAAUGGAUUCUCUUACAAUGGUAUAACCUCUGUAACAGUUGUGUCAUUUUUAAUGACACAACAUAUGUGCGUAUAAAAACCGUUGUCUAUUAGACACUACAGGACAAAAUUUACCUUUUUACAAUAAGACAAAAUUUACCUUUGACUGUUAUUGUUAAAAAAACAUACAUAAUAAACGUAAAAAAUUUUGAAUUUUUUUAUGUAUGAUUAAUAUUGUUAAUUCUCGAGAUCCGUACGGUCAGAUCAUCGAAAAAAAUAUUUAUAAAUUAAUACAGAGUUAAUCGUAUACAUAACAAAGAUUCUAUUGAGUACUUUCUAAAUUGUAACCAUAAAACAAAUACUAAUAUCCACAUCCGAACUACAAAAUUAUCUUCAUUGUACAAAUGAACAAUAUAUAUUUGCAUAUAUGCAUAAUAUAAAUAUAUGUUUUAAGAUAAACUGUGCAAAAAUUAGAAUUUAUCAAGGAAUAGAGAAUUUUUAACUUUUAAAAAGAAAAAUUAAUCAUAAAACAGUUUCAUUGCCAUAAAUAAUUAAUAAUUAAUUCAAUUGUAACCCCUAAAAUAAUUACUAAUUAAUAAUUAAUACAGUGCUAAUCGUAUAUAUAACAAAAAUUCUAUUAUGUACUUCCUAAAUUAUAACUUUAAACACAUACUAAUACUAUUAUAUAAUAUUUUUCAAUUAUUAAUAUUAUAAUAUAUAUUAUAAUACAACUAAUUCUUUUAAAUUUUCAAUUAAAUUUUAAUAUUCUAUAAUAUAUAGAUAUAUGAAUUUAAGUAAUAUAACUUUUAAUUAUAUUACACAUAUUUCUUCUUGUUUUUAAUAAAUUAUUUAAAUUAAGAUAAUAUUAAUUAUUUUCUUGACGCAAAAACAAUUUUAAUUAUUAAUUAAAGAAUUAAAAGGAAAAAAAAGUAGAUCUGCCCAAUGUACAGGUGAAAGUGAGAAGCGGCAAAGUUCCCCCCAAAACUAAAAACCACUGCCGAGUAAAAACCCCUAACCUGUACUCUCAAAAAACUUCUCACUCACAAACACUCUCCCUGGAUCUAUGUAUCUAUCAACACUCGGGGGGUUUGUUAUGUUUAAAUGGAAGCAAAACAAUGCUAUAGUCAUUUUCAGUAUCCAUGUGGUCCUCUUGCAUCUCGGUUUGCUCUGCUUUUCACAUGUUUGUGGCCAACAUGAAUCUUAUAUCUUGUUUAUGAGUUUAAUUUUGUUUAUUUGUAUUUGAGUGGCUUGAUUUUGUAUUUCUUCACUACUAAUUGUUAUUUUCUAAAUUAUCCAUGUGAUUAGGGCUCAUUUUUAGGGGAACUUUGAAUUAGGUCAUUAAAUUACAGUUUUGGUGAAUUGGGGCUUUCAUUGUAUAUAUUUGAUUACAUACAACUGUUAAUAUUUGAGCAGCCAAGGCUCAAGAGCUCAAAAGAUGACAUAUCGAUGGGGUGACAUGUAUGGCUAACAAUCGGAGUAAUUUGAAAGGAUUAUUUUUUCGUUGGGCUGACAGAGGUAUAUUGUUCUUGACACUGGUUUUUAACUUGCUGUCUUUAGUUUAGUUGUGAAUAAUGAGAUGGUUGGAUAUUCUAUUUCGUAUUGUUGUAUGUGGUCGUUAGCAGAAGCUCAUUAAGUCUGCUAUGGUUUAUAGAUUUUAUAACAUUGAUAAGUAUGGUUUGGGUGUCUAGGCUAGUUUUGUUUGUGUGUGUAAUGGAUGUGUUUUGAUUUUUCUGAUUUUUCUGAUUUUUCGAUCAUCUACUUCUUUUUUGUUGCGGGGUUGUUAUUUGUUUACUCUUGUUCCCUGCAAAGAAAUAAGUGUGGAUAGUUAUGCAUUGGAAUCAUAAGUAGCAAUUAAGUGUUAAUUUCCAAUUCAACGAGUUCAAUGCACGCCUGUCUUCAACUAGAUCCGUUUCUUAAUGAAUUUACAAGCAUGUUUGAGCACAAUACUGAGCAGGGUUGUGUGUAGGUCACUUUAUAUAUUUUAGUAUCAAGAGACGUAUUAUGUUGAUAUGUGCUGUAUAAAAUAUUUAAUUGAAGCUAGGUUUAUGUGUAACUGUUACUCAUCUGGCUAUGGAAUACAUUCCCAGAUUAAAAAAUUUGAUAAUGAUUGAUACUGUCUUGUCACUCCAUUAAACAUGACGUAACAUCUGUAUUCAACUUUGGACUUCAUUAAUUGGUGUUAGUCGUGCAAUAUGUUUAAAUUAAAAAAGUUAUGUUUCUUUUAUAUGUUCGAAUUUACUCCAAAUUGCAUGUGGGCGUUUCACUUCUUAUGAGCAGGCUGUGCUUUGGGAAGUUUAGGCAUGCUUUGAGAAUAGAUAUUUUAAUCAAACUGUGCACUUUAGAUAUAAAAAAUCUUGCUGUUCUGAUGGAUUGUAUGGUGUGGAACAAGAGCUGUGUUCCAAGUUAUGCUCAAGACUGUGGGUUUUUUUUGUUUUUAACACCCUUCCAUAACUUCUCCAUCUUAGUUAUUAAACUCUUUCAUUCUGUAUUCCUAACUAUACCAUUCUUUUUUCCACAUAAACCAAGCCAUAAUAAGAAACUGACUUUCUCAAGGAACAAAGGACUAUCACCACAUGGCAGGAUUGUGCAUAGGCGUGCAUAUGCUUGAGUAAGUACACUUUUGGACUUAUGUUGUGAAGUAUUAUUUUUACAAAUGUCAUCCUUCUGGUCAUAUGACAAAUCUUUUCCCUAUCAUUUCUGUAAUUUGUUUUAAAGGUUAGAGCAAGAGUGGAGAUGUCCCAAAUUGAUGCAGUUGCUUACAACAUUGGCAUGGCUUUGUGGAAAGUUUUUGGUGGAGCUUCUAGCACAAUAAAACAGAUAUAAUAGUUUAGUUUCCGAGCUACACCAUUUCCCGGCUCAUUUUGUCGGCUUCUAUCGACUCUAUACAGGCUCUUGCCAGUUGUGUGAAACAUUACAAGAUUUUACAUUUUUAUAUGUGGUUGUACGUUGAUACUAUAGUUGGUAAUGAAAAUUUUUGUUACUAAUUUAUGGCUUGUUAAUUAUAUUCUCCAGCAUAGUUUAAUUAGAUUAUGUAAAACCAUUGUCUGACAUAACUAAACACAAAAGGAAAAGAAAAAGAAAACAGUUGUCCCAAGACUUACAAACAACACAAUUUUAAAAAUAAAAUCGUUGUCUAAGACAUAUACAAAUAAGUAAAUAGUAGUAACAAACCAUUGUCUAAAUCAGUAUUAUUCAAGCAUUUUGAACAAAAACUGUUGUAGAAGAGCUUUCACACAAUUGUUUCAUUAUAUAAACUAUUGUUAUACGGAGCUUCACAGAAGUGACCACUGCUCUAAGCCCGUUGUACAAGGUAGUAAAACACGAGCCUCUAAAACGCAAACAAUCUUGUCUGAUACUCUUAUUAACAAGUAAAUAUAUCCACAAACUGUUGUGGAUAGUCCUAAUAACAACACAAAUUCCAAAUAUGACUGUUGUUAUAAAAUGUUUAUAACAACACUUUGUUAAACUAAUCUGUUGUUGUUUGUGGGUGUAACACAACACGCUGUUAAAUAUAAACCGUUGUGUUUCUUGAUCUCACACAACGGUACGUACCGUUGUCUGAGGCGCGUAUCAGACGGCAUCGCAAUAGACCACGGUUUUCUUGGGUAUCAGACAACGGGCAAAAACCGUUGUCUGAUGCUGUUUUUGUUGUAGUGACAAUUCCUUUGAAGGACCGCUUCCACCAGGUAUAUUCAAGCUUUCAAAAUUAAAACAUCUUUUUCUUUGGGGUAAUAAGUUUUCAGGUUCUGUUUCCAAUGAUAUAUGUUUGCUUUCUGAGCUUGAAAGCCUCGAUCUUAACUCUAAUUUUUUUGAGGGGCCGCUUCCGCCAAAUGUAUUCAAGCUCUCCAAAUUAAAGUUACUUUCCCUUCAGAAGAAUAACUUUUCAGGUUUUGUUUCCAAUGAUAUAGGUUUGCUUUCUGAGGUUGAAACUCUCGAUCUUCACUCUAAUUUUUUUGAGGGGCAGCUUCCGCCAAAUAUAUUCAAGCUCUCGAAACUAAGAUUUCUUGCCCUUUGGCAGAAUAACUUUUCAGGUUCUGUUUCCAAUGAUAUAGGUUUGCUUUCUAAGCUUGAAACCCUCGAACUUGACUCCAAUUUUUUUGAGGGGCCGCUUCCGCCAAAUAUAUUCAAGCUUUCCAAAUUAAGAGUUCUUUCCCUUGACAAUAAUAACUUUUCAGGUUGUGUUUCCAAUGAUAUAGGUUUGCUUUCUGAGCUUGAAACCCUCCGUCUUGGCUUCAAUUCUUUUGAAGGACCGGUUCCACCAAAUAUAUUCAAGUUUUCCAAAUUAACAGGUCUUGACCUCUCAGGCUAUAGAAAUUUAUUUGAAGGUAGUAUCCCUAUUGGACUGGGACUCUUGACUAACCUCAGCUACUUAGAUCUAAGUUCCAAUAAUCUCAGUGGCUAUAUUCCAUCUGAACUUGGAAACCUUAAGCUACUAGUAUUUCUUGAUCUCAGUUCUAACCAAUUGACUGGACCGCUUUUAAAGAUCGUUUCUAAUCUCACAAAUCUUAUAUAUCUCCAUGUACAAGAUAAUAGUCUUAGUGGGAAUAUUCGCAGUGACUUGUGGAAAAACUCUUUAUCCUUACGUUACAUUGAUCUUGAAAAUAAUUAUUUGUCUGGGAACAUUCCUAAGGAAUAUAACGAUCAUCCAACUUUGGAAUACAUCAAUUUAGGUGGGAACCAUUUUACAGGUAUAUUUUUCUCUAUAUAUCUUUUCCUUUUGUCAUAUGUAACUAAGCUAGUAAUCUGAUUGAUGCAGUUUUACCAAAGUUUCAACAAUCUUGACAGGUGAGCUUCCANNNNNNNNNNNNNNNNNNNNNNNNNNNNNNNNNNNNNNNNNNNNNNNNNNNNNNNNNNNNNNNNNNNNNNNNNNNNNNNNNNNNNNNNNNNNNNNNNNNNNNNNNNNNNNNNNNNNNNNNNNNNNNNNNNNNNNNNNNNNNNNNNNNNNNNNNNNNNNNNNNNNNNNNNNNNNNNNNNNNNNNNNNNNNNNNNNNNNNNNNNNNNNNNNNNNNNNNNNNNNNNNNNNNNNNNNNNNNNNNNNNNNNNNNNNNNNNNNNNNNNNNNNNNNNNNNNNNNNNNNNNNNNNNNNNNNNNNNNNNNNNNNNNNNNNNNNNNNNNNNNNNNNNNNNNNNNNNNNNNNNNNNNNNNNNNNNNNNNNNNNNNNNNNNNNNNNNNNNNNNNNNNNNNNNNNNNNNNNNNNNNNNNNNNNNNNNNNNNNNNNNNNNNNNNNNNNNNNNNNNNNNNNNNNNNNNNNNNNNNNNNNNNNNNNNNNNNNNNNNNNNNNNNNNNNNNNNNNNNNNNNNNNNNNNNNNNNNNNNNNNNNNNNNNNNNNNNNNNNNNNNNNNNNNNNNNNNNNNNNNNNNNNNNNNNNNNNNNNNNNNNNNNNNNNNNNNNNNNNNNNNNNNNNNNNNNNNNNNNNNNNNNNNNNNNNNNNNNNNNNNNNNNNNNNNNNNNNNNNNNNNNNNNNNNNNNNNNNNNNNNNNNNNNNNNNNNNNNNNNNNNNNNNNNNNNNNNNNNNNNNNNNNNNNNNNNNNNNNNNNNNNNNNNNNNNNNNNNNNNNNNNNNNNNNNNNNNNNNNNNNNNNNNNNNNNNNNNNNNNNNNNNNNNNNNNNNNNNNNNNNNNNNNNNNNNNNNNNNNNNNNNNNNNNNNNNNNNNNNNNNNNNNNNNNNNNNNNNNNNNNNNNNNNNNNNNNNNNNNNNNNNNNNNNNNNNNNNNNNNNNNNNNNNNNNNNNNNNNNNNNNNNNNNNNNNNNNNNNNNNNNNNNNNNNNNNNNNNNNNNNNNNNNNNNNNNNNNNNNNAAACCUGUCAGAGAAUGAACUGCAAGCUCCAAAUUGGUCCAAUUUUUCCCCCAUGCCUUUUUUGACCAUCCUCGACCUUUAUAAAAAUAAUCUUUUGUCAGAAUUUCCCGAAUUUAUAUCUAACUCGUGUAACCUUACGUACCUUGACCUCUCAUCCAACAAGUUUAGAGGGGAUCUUGCGCGAGAAUCAGUAUUAACCAAUCUAGGUGAUCUUGAAACCCUCUAUCUUAUUAGAAAUUCUUUCAAGGGGUCAUUUCCGUCAGAUUUAUUCAAGCUUUCUAAAUUAAAACGUCUUCACCUGUCGAGCAACAAAUUUUCAGGUUCAAUUCCUAAUGCCAUAAGGUUGCUUUGUGAUCUUGAAUUCCUAUAUUUAGGCAACAANNNNNNNNNNNNNNNNNNNNNNNNNNNNNNNNNNNNNNNNNNNNNNNNNNNNNNNNNNNNNNNNNNNNNNNNNNNNNNNNNNNNNNNNNNNNNNNNNNNNNNNNNNNNNNNNNNNNNNNNNNNNNNNNNNNNNNNNNNNNNNNNNNNNNNNNNNNNNNNNNNNNNNNNNNNNNNNNNNNNNNNNNNNNNNNNNNNNNNNNNNNNNNNNNNNNNNNNNNNNNNNNNNNNNNNNNNNNNNNNNNNNNNNNNNNNNNNNNNNNNNNNNNNNNNNNNNNNNNNNNNNNNNNNNNNNNNNNNNNNNNNNNNNNNNNNNNNNNNNNNNNNNNNNNNNNNNNNNNNNNNNNNNNNNNNNNNNNNNNNNNNNNNNNNNNNNNNNNNNNNNNNNNNNNNNNNNNNNNNNNNNNNNNNNNNNNNNNNNNNNNNNNNNNNNNNNNNNNNNNNNNNNNNNNNNNNNNNNNNNNNNNNNNNNNNNNNNNNNNNNNNNNNNNNNNNNNNNNNNNNNNNNNNNNNNNNNNNNNNNNNNNNNNNNNNNNNNNNNNNNNNNNNNNNNNNNNNNNNNNNNNNNNNNNNNNNNNNNNNNNNNNNNNNNNNNNNNNNNNNNNNNNNNNNNNNNNNNNNNNNNNNNNNNNNNNNNNNNNNNNNNNNNNNNNNNNNNNNNNNNNNNNNNNNNNNNNNNNNNNNNNNNNNNNNNNNNNNNNNNNNNNNNNNNNNNNNNNNNNNNNNNNNNNNNNNNNNNNNNNNNNNNNNNNNNNNNNNNNNNNNNNNNNNNNNNNNNNNNNNNNNNNNNNNNNNNNNNNNNNNNNNNNNNNNNNNNNNNNNNNNNNNNNNNNNNNNNNNNNNNNNNNNNNNNNNNNNNNNNNNNNNNNNNNNNNNNNNNNNNNNNNNNNNNNNNNNNNNNNNNNNNNNNNNNNNNNNNNNNNNNNNNNNNNNNNNNNNNNNNNNNNNNNNNNNNNNNNNNNNNNNNNNNNNNNNNNNNNNNNNNNNNNNNNNNNNNNNNNNNAAAACCAUUGAUAAGGAUGGUAAAUUCGACUCUAAAUCUUAUGAAGCUAUAUUCUUGGGUUAUUCUUUAACAAGUCGUGCUUAUAGAGUGUAUAAUCUUGCUAAACAUACUGUUGAAGAGUCUAUUGAUGUUUCAUUUCAAGAGUCUACUGAUGAUCUUGCAAGGGAUGAGGAAGAAUGUGCAGGUACAGGUACUAGCAGCAAGCUGACAGUGAAGGAAACUGGAAAUCAGCAAGCUGACAAGUCAACUGCCACAACUUCAGAAGGCAAUAAAGCUACUGAAUCCACUCCAUCUCUUGAAGAAACUUUGGAUAAGAUGUCUAAGCUCACAUUGGAUGAAUCCAGAGGUCAAACUUCAUCAGCAAGCCAAAAUGUUGUUGAUCAGACUCCUCCUAGGCAGACUACAAGGAAUGAAGAGGUCAUAGCUCAACAUAAUCUACCAAAAUCAACUAGAACAGUGAAGAAUCAUCCUCCUCAGUUGAUCAUUGGAGAUAAAUCAGCUGGAAUCAAGACAAGGAAAGCUCAAGCCAACAUUUGUGCUUAUGCUGCCUUCAUAGCUCAAGAGGAACCAAAGAAUGUUCAAGAAGCUUUACAAGAUGAAAAUUGGAUCAUGGCAAUGCAAGAAGAACUCAACCAAUUCGAAAGAUGUGAUGUUUGGGAACUUGUAGAUCCACCAGAGGAUGCUUCAAUUGUUGGAACCAAAUGGGUGUUCAAGAAUAAAGUUGAUGAAUUUGGUACUAUCACUCGGAACAAAGCUAGACUUGUUGCACAAGGAUACAAUCAGCAAGAAGGAAUUGAUUUUGAUCAAACAUAUGCUCCGGUUGCAAGAUUGGAAUCUAUUAGGAUGCUAUUAUCAUUUGCAUGCUACAAGAAGUUCAAGCUACAUCAAAUGGACGUCAAAAGUGCAUUCUUAAAUGGAUAUCUAAAGGAAGAAGUCUAUGUCAAGCAACCACCAGGAUUCGAGGAUGAAAAAUAUCCCAACCGUGUCUACAAGCUCAAGAAGGCACUAUAUGGAUUAAGGCAAGCACCUCGAUCAUGGUAUGAAAGGUUAAGUGAAUUUUUGAUCAAAAAUGGUUUCAUUAGAGGUAAAAUUGAUCCUACUUUGUUUACUAUCUUUAAAGGUCAAGAUAUAUUAGUUGUUCAAAUAUAUGUAGAUGAUAUUAUAUUUGGAUCUACUAAUGAUUCUUUGUGUAAGUGGUUUUCAAAGUGCAUGCAUAGUGAGUUUGACAUGAGCAUGAUGGGAGAGCUCAAUUAUUUCUUGGGGCUCCAAAUUAAGCAAACUCCAGAAGGAAUUUAUGUGCAUCAAUCCAAGUAUAUCAAGAAUCUACUCAAAAGAUUUGGAUAUGAGAAUAUCAAGGCGAAAUCAACACCAAUGAGCGUUGUCAGCAAGCUGACAGCAGAUGAAAAUGGUAAAGAUGUUGAUAUUCGAAUGUAUAGAGGUAUGAUUGGUAGUUUACUUUAUCUUACAGCCUCUAGACCUGAUAUUAUGUAUAGUGUUUGUGUUUGUGCUAGAUUUCAAGCAAAACCAAAGGAUUCUCACUUACAAGCUGUUAAAAGAAUAUUUAAAUAUUUAAGUGGAACCAUUACUUUGGGCUUAUUCUAUCCUAUCACAAAUGCUUUUGAUCUUGUUGGGUAUAGUGAUGCAGAUUAUGCAGGUAGUCAAACUGAUAGAAAAAGUACAAGUGGUGUUUGUGCAUUUUUGGGUCAAAGCUUAGUUUCUUGGUUAAGCAAGAAGCAAACUUCAGUUGCUCUAUCUACGGCUGAGGGGGAGUAUUUAGCAGCUGGUAGCUGUUGCUCUCAAAUGCUAUGGAUGAGACAACAAUUGAAGGACUUUGGAAUCAAAUGCAAGCAAACUCCUAUCUUUUGUGACAACACAAGUACAAUCAACAUUUCAGAAAAUCCAGUCAAUCAUUCAAGGACAAAGCAUAUUGAUGUUCGACAUCAUUUUCUGAGAGACAAUGUUGCAAAGGGUGCUGUCAAGCUGAUUUUUGUGGCUACAGCAGAUCAGCUAGCUGACAUCUUCACAAAACCUCUUCCUGAAGAACGAUAUGUCAUGCUGAGAAGGGAAUUGGGCAUGUGUGAUGUGCAGUCAGCAAGCUAAUAAGCUUGGUCCGGGUACUAUCAGCUUACUCUCAGUUAUUAUGACCAUUAUGUGCUGAUUUGGAUAAUUGUUGUGAUCUCGAUGACGAUGCUUGAUUUUCUACCCUUUUGAUGAUUAAGGGGGAGAAAAUUUAGGAACUUGGUUUGUGUUGUGAAUGUUGUGUUGUGAAUGUUAUAUUUGUUGUAUAGUUUAAUGUUAUAAGAUUGCUAUAUUCAGGGGGAGUAUUAUUACUUUUCCUAAAUAUAGUGUAAUCAUCAAAAAGGGGGAGAUUGAUACUCUCGAGAUUUUGAUGAUCACACUAACAGCAACUUGAUAACAUAAAACUGUACUCUGGUAGCUAGCUGAGAACGAGAUUAUAACUGUGCUAACAGCUAAUGUCUUUUGAAGUUAUCAUUGUUCUGUCAGCAAGCUUACAGGAAUAUUGACAGACUAUCAGCAAGCUCACAGCGUACUGACAGGAUGCUUAUCGGAUAAAGAUCAAGUCCUAUUUUCAAGGAGAUUUGUUAGGGAACGUUUUGUGAGGACUCUAAUACAUAUAUAUACAGUAUAUAAAUAUUAGAGCUCAUCUUUUAUCAAAGAGUUUUAUUCAAAAUCGUUUUCCUAAAAUAUAGGAGUUGAUUUCAAACCUUGUUUAUCCUUUUAGACUCCUACUUCUAUUCAAACUGUUUUGUUUUAUAAACAAACGUUUACUGAGUUGUUUCAAACGUCUUUAUGCUUUUACUCAGUAAAAAUACAUUGUUCAAACGUUCAUUAUUCAAGCAAAUUAAACGUGAGGUUGUUGGGCCAAGAACGUUGGAUAGUUUGUUGAGUUAUGACCGUUUGGAAUGAUGGUAUAUAAACUUGAGUGUGGUUUCCGUUUUGGUAGAGAACAAGAACACACUUCAAGCUUCUGAAAUACAACACACUUACAUUGCAAAAUCUUUACUUGAGCUCUAGUACUUAUAUUUGAUUAUAUAUCUAUAUUGAGUUCAUAGUUUCGGUUGUAUUACACUCAUACAUUGUAUUGUUCAAAGUGUAAAGGUUUGUUGCUGUGUAUCGAGCUUGUGAAACAAGGGAACAAGGGGACUAGUUAGCUAGAAGAGUAUACUUGGGAAGUAUAGGUCUUGGAGAGCUUUUGGUUCGUGGUUCAGGGGUUUCAGCAAGCUGAUAACAGGAACAAGGGAUAAAGGGAGUUAUAUUAUUGAAUCAUUGUAAUCGUUAACAUUAUUGAUUAAUAAUAUAAUCUCUUACCAGUUGGUAGGGGACCAGGACGUAGACCAUUAGGGUUAGGGGUCGAACCUGGCUAAAAUUCUCUGUGUUGCUAGCUUACUGAUUAUAUCUGUUUUGCAUUGCAUCUGCAUUGUUAGCUAGCUGACUGUUUACUCUGAAAUUAACAGCAAGCUGUCUGUGACAGUUUAACUAUUCGGUAACAAUUAAAAAUCGGUCAUAUUAGCCAUAACACCUAUUCACCCCCCUCUAGGUGUGUAAUUUCAGUUUCUUUUCGUUUUCAAAUCUCACCAAUCUCAUCAUUACACAUAACAACUUCACUGGUCCAAUACCACCCGAAAUUGGAAAUUUAACAGAUGUUCAGUACCUCGACUUUAGCUAUAGUAAUCUCAAUGGUACCAUUCCAUACCAGGUUAGCCAUCUUCAGAGGUCGGUCGUCUUAGGCCUCUCAUUUAAUCACUUGAAAGCUCCGAGCUUGUCCAAUUUUUCCCCCAUGCCUAUACUGGUUGGUCGCGGUCUUAGUGGUAAUAAGCUGGCAUCAAAAUUUCCAGAAUUGAUAUCUAAUUGCUAUAACAUGAUUAACCUUGAUCUUUCAUUUAACAUGUUAACUGGUAAACCUCUGUUCUAAAAGUCGGUGAUUAAUCACCGAUUAAUCCAUGUUUCCUAGCUCGCCAAACUGAUUAAAUAUCCGAUUAUUUUAAUUAAUGUCCGAUUAAUCACCGAUCAAUGCAAUUAAUCUACAAUUAAUCCUUAUUCUGGGACUUCACCGAUUAAGCUCGAUUCCCAUUUUUUACAACGACAUAACAGUGAAUCAUGAUUAUCAAGCAUCUGUCUUGUUAACAUUGAAACGAAGAGAGCAUGAAGUGAAAGGAAUCCUUUAUAUUUACGAUGUCAACAGCCCUACUGUCAAAAUUCCUUUCAAGUCGGGGCUUUUUACGAAUAAUUGGUAAUUCAGUGUUGAACUCCGCUCAACUUAUAAUUAGAUAAUCGAAAUCAAAAAUCUUGCAAUCAACAAAUAAAUUAUUAAGAACUUGCAAUUGAGUAAUGGCCGUCAAGUCACUUAACAAUACUAACCGGAAACUAACGUGACGGGCUGAUAUGUUUAAAAAAAUGCAUGAUGACUAUAUACUUGAUGUUUACGACCCUAACUAAAAUAUCCAACAAAUAAUACAUACAACCUGAUCUAAUAAUGUAAUACCUCUACUUAAGUAUAUUUUUAUGCCAAAUAUUUAUAGAUUUGUUUUUACAAAAAUGAUUAGAGACUUUGUAUAUACAAAAAUUGAGAAUUAUUGCUUGACUAGACGAAAAUAGGUGAGUUAUGAUUAUAAUAAAUAUUUAUUUCUACGAUGUAGUUUUUAUUAGUUAUAUAUAAAAAAAAUCUUGCUAUAUUUUGAUACUAGUGCAAUGAUUACUUCAAUUUAUUUUUUAUGAGAGUUACUAAGAUAUAUGACCAACUCAUCUUGCACUCGUAUUAAUUGUCUUAUAUAAUAAUAAUAAGAAAAAUAUGAGGCGGUGCUUAGUCAGAUGAUUUUAGUUGUUAAAAUAUUUUUUUGUUAUUUAUAGAUAGUGAAACAUGUCUAAUAUUUUAUCAAUUUUGUUUCGUUUCUUGAGAUUUCCAAAUAUUUAUUAGGACAUUGUACCAUGGUGUAUUUCAAGAUAUUAUUGUUAUUUAGAUAAUUAGUCAUAUUCAAUGAAUUUUGAGGACAAAAUUUAAAUAAGAGGAGAACAAUGUCAUAUCUCACAUAUUAGCAGUUUUAAUUAUUUUAUAUUUUUAUUUUAAAGAUAAGAUAAAGUUUAUUUAUUUAUUUGUUUUUAUCUUAAAAGCGAUUUUGAGUACUUUGUUUGAGUUAGAUAUAUACUUCUACUGUGGUUCAACUAGUUUUGCCGUCAGUGAAUAAUUUCCGGUCAAUAUUUUGAAAUUUGUUGUUAUCUUCUAAUUAAGAUAAGGGGUUAAAUAGCUUUUGAAAAAUGUGAAAAAAAUCAAAAAAAUUGGGAAACCAAAAGUGGCAAGCUUUUUUUUGUUCUUUUCAAAUUUUCUAAAAUCUGGGGAAAAAAGAACUUGCCACCUAAUUUUUUCCAAAUUUUUUCAAAUUCUUUUCAGAUGUUUGAAUUUUUUCCCAAUUUUUUCCUUUUUUUUUGAAUUUAUUAAGAUUUUUUUUGUUUUUUCUGCUUAUUCUGAAUUUUUUAAGAUUUAUUCGCAUUUUUUUUCAUAUUUUUAAAAAAUAUUUUUGAAAUUUCCGUUAAGUAAUUAAUGGAACUGACAGAGAGUGAUGCUUUUGAAAGUUUUUAAUUAUUUGAUGAUGCAUCUGAAAAUUUUUCAACAACAUGAUUCAGUUGCAAAUUUCCGGCGAGGUUAGUGAUAAAUUAGCUAUUUAACUCUUAAUAAAAUCUAUCUUAACAAUAUUAUAAAUAUUAUUGUUAUGGGUUCGAUGAGUCGUGUAAAACAUGGAAGAAGUUUAGGUGGGGUAAAAAGAGCCUAGCUGGGUGAUUUCCAUUCUGUUAUACGUGAUAUACUGUAGUUGAUCAUCUCCUUUGUCCGCUUCAUCCUGUGCAACCUUAACCUUUAAGGUAAAACUUAUGAGAUUCUCUGGAGCAUCUAAGGGGCCGUUUGGACAAACUUAAAAGAAGUGACUUCUUGCUUAAACUAGAGAAGUGGAGUAGAAGUGAGAAGUAAAUUAGUUAAUAAAGUGUUUGGAAAAAAAGCAGAAGCCAGAAGCAUCUUCGGCUUCUGUCAAACAAACAGGGCCUAAAUUUUUGUGUGAAAAAUGUUAGUCUCAAAUUAUUUUUCCUAAAAUGCUUACAUGUUACAUUUUAUAUGUAUGUCCUGUCUUUAAGUAUAAUUUAGCAUUUGUAUUUAGUAUUGUGUAAAAGUAAUUCAUUUUAUUCCGUCUUAUUAAAAAUAUAAUCAUGUUAUGCUGUAAAAGUAUUUGUGAAUUUCUUUGUUGCAUAUGUGUUUAAAUUAUUUUAUUUAUAUAUGUUUUACAAUUUUUACAAAUGUAUAGGUUGAGUAUUGCAUAAGAAUAUAAUUACACUCACAACUGUUAUGCGUGCAUGUAUAUUGCCGCUAAGUUUUAAACUUCUUACGAACCGGAAUAAUUUUGACAGAUGUGUGGAACUUGAUUAAUUUAGUUGCACUACAAGAGAAAGCGUUUUUACCAAUAGAAAUUGCUAAGGGAAAUUAGUCCGUCGGUAAUUUCCAACGAAUUUGUAACAAUUUGACUGGUCAAUGUUCUGCCAAUCAAUUCGCAACGAAAUACCCACGCUUAUUUACCAACGAGAUGUUCUGUUAGGAAAUAUAGCCACAUAAUGGAAUAAUAACAACAGCCCAAAGAAUGAGCAACAGACUAGCAACGAAAGCAUCUGUUACUACGUUCGUUGAUAUUCCGUUUAUAAAUACUAACAGUUCCGUUAGUAGUUAUUAGUUUUACAUUGGCAAUUGAUAUACACCAGAUGAGCACAUACACGGAUACAAUGCCAGUCUCUUAGUUGAAAUGUGUGUAAUGCUAAAGCCCAAUGAGCUUUAGUUGAUUAAAUUGAUUUGAGUUGUAGAAAAAAGCUAAUAAUAUAAUGGAUUUUGAUAUAUGUAUUGUAAAUAUUAAGUAAUUCUCUUGAAUUUAUAUAUGUAACAUAAUUGUUAAUUGGUUCAUCCUUGACUAGAAAUUUUAUAUUACAUUCUUAACUACAAAUUUUGUAUUUAAAAUUGUUUUAAAAAAUCAACUUUUAUUUGGCAUGUGGAUUUUGUAGUCAAAUGCGGUCAAUUUACUUAGCCUUUGAUCGAAUACCAACCUGAAACAUAAAAAUAUUUUUUAAUCAUUUAUUUUCGACGAUCCAACUAUAUUCUAUAAUUGUAAUGUGAUAAUAUUGAUUACAAAAUUUAAAAAAAAAAAUUAACCUUUUAUUUGGUAUGUGCAUUUUGUAGUCAAAUGCAAUUAAAUUACUUAGUCUUUAGUGAAAUCUUUACUCGAAACAUAAAACUUUUUCUUAAAAAAAAAUUGGACGAUCCAACCGUACAAAUGUUAUUGCAACGUGUUAAUAUUGGUUAAAAUAAAUUUUAAGAAAAUAUGUCUUUUAUUUGGUGUGUGGAUUUUGCGGUCAAAUAACUUAGCCUUUAAUUGAAUACUUACCCAAAACAUGAAACUAUUUUUUUUAAAUCAUUUCGGACGAUCCAACCGUACGGGUGUUAUUCUAACAUGAUAAUAUUGAUUAUUUUUUUUAAAGAAAAAAUAUAGCCUUUUAUUUGGUGUGUGGAUUUUGUAGUCAAAUGCAGUCAAAUUACUUAACCUUUAAUGAAAUGCUUACAUUAAACAUGAAAUUAUUUUUUUUAAAAUCAUUUGGAUGAUCCAAUCGUACGGAUGUUAUUAUGACAUGUUAAUUGAUUAAAAAAAAUAUUUAAAAAAUUGCUUUUUAUUUAGUGUGUGGAUUUUGUAGUUAAAUGCUACUUGGCCUUUAAUCGAAUACUUAACCGAAACAUGAAACUAUUUUUUUAAAAACCAUUUUGGACAAUCCAACCGUACGGAUGUUAUUGUAACAUGACAAUAUUGAUUGUUUUUUUAUAUAAUAACUUUUAUUUGGUGUGUGGAUUUGUAGUCAAAUUACUUAGCCUUUAAUCGAAUACUUACCUGAAACAUGAAACUAUUUCUUAGAAAAUUAUUUUAGAUGAUUCAACCAUACAGAUGCUAUUAUAACGUGAUAAUAUUGAUUAUUUUUUUUAAAAAAAUUAGUCUUUAAUUUGGUGUAUGAAUUUUAUAGUAAAAUGAUGUCAAAUUACUUAGUCUUUAAUGGUAUAUUUAUUAGAAUUAUGAAACUAAUUUUAAAAAUUUAGUUUGGACGAUCCAAACUGUAUGAAUGUUAUUUUAACAUGUUAAUAUUGAUUAAAAUUGUUUAAAAAAAUUUAGUGUUCUUUUAUGUGUGAAUUUUUAGUCAAAUAUGAUAAAAUAUUUAUUUAGCCUUUAAUGAAAUAUUAAAAAUCCCUACUUUAAAAGAAACUUGUCUAAAACUACCUAUACGCGUUAGAGAUUCAUCGAUUUAGUUAUCAAAUUAGUUAUAAUUAGGGUUUUACUCCGCUUUUCUCUGGUAUGAUGUUGAUUUUUGGGGUUCGAUUGGUCGACUUUCAUGUUUUAUAAGUUAUGUGAGUUCGAUUUUGAUGUUUUUACAAUUAGGUUUAUGUAUGUUUUUAUACGGGUUUUCAUGUUCAUGUUUUGAUUUGUUGAUUUCCUAUUUUUCCUAUUUGUUGAUUAGUUAUUUGUGUGGGUUUUGGAUUUUGAUGUGUGUGUAUGUAAUCUCCUGUAUUUUUUUUCAUUUUUUCUGGUUCGAACUCUUCGAUUAGUAGAUGAAAAAAACUGAUGCGGCAGUAGCGGCUAGCAAGGAGAUGGAUAACAAGAAAAGGACGAUUUUGAGGUCCUCUCGUGCAAGUCUUCAGGUAUAAUUUUGUUCCUUUAUGUUUUUAAUUAACAUAAAUUUUCACAUUUGCUGAUUAUAUUAUGGGGGAUUCUGGGUAUACUUGUAUAUAAUCUAGCAAGUAAUUAUAGUUCUGAAUGGGAAGCUUAUUGUGAAAUUAAAUUGAGGAAUAAGUUGUGUUAUUGGUUCUGGUGGAUUAAAUUUAUGUUAACACUUGAUAUAUGCAUUGAUGUCGUAAAAUAAGUUGUACAUCGAACUAUUUGGCUUGUUUAAGUUGUAUGGAGUAUGGUUGCCAAGCAUUGGUUGGUUGUACACGUAUAAACAAAAUGAUAUUUUAAUAUUUGAACAAAACAAUACAGAGCCCGUUUGGCUGAACUUGUAACUCAUAAAUUAACGUGAUUUAUGAUUUAACGUGACUUAUCUAAUAAGCUGAGAGUUUUAAAAUGUCUGUUUGGAUAAUUUUGACUUAUCAACGAUUUAUGGGUCAUUAAAAAUAUAAAAAUAAAAAUUAAAGUGUUUUAUGAGUAGGUUAUGAUUUAUGGAUAAUUUUUAUAUAAAAAAAAGUUCAAAAAAAUUAAGUUACUGGAAAAAUACCUCAAACUAAUUUCAGGCUUUAAGUCAGCUUCUGAUUUAUUAGUUUUUAAGUUUAAGCCGGCUUCUGACUUAUUAAAGCCAUCAGAAUAAUUUUAAACCGCAGCUCUAAGCUACGACAAACGGGCUCACAGUCAUAAACAGAUCGUGUCGGGCUGGACUGAUUGUGAUUUUCCUUUUUGGAACUCGUACUCGGCAUGUUCCACGCGAAUGAUAUUUAGAAGUAUACUCCAUGUCAUAAUAAGAGUUCUUUAAAUUUUUUAUAUGUAAUUUGAAGUAUAAAAAAAAUAUUUUAACAUAAUAUUUUUAAUUUUUUAUACAUAAAAAUAUAACAUCUAUAUUUUUAUUUAGAAAAAAAAAUUUGAAAAAUAAUAUAUAGAUGCAUGUUUUUUUUAUACGUGAAAUUACAUGUAAAAAUCAAAAGACUUUUAUUUUGAGUAAGAGAGAAUAUGAUGUACCAUAAAGUCAUCGAUUUUUUGUUAUCAAAUGAAUGUGAUAGUUAACUAUUUAAGAGCAAGUCCAAAAGUGUUCUAGUUCAUGCUCUAAAUAUAAUAUAAAAUAUUAUGUCCUAGUGAUUUGGGACAUAUUUUACUAACUUGGACUUCAACAAUGAGUCUUAAGGCUCAUUUGUUUUGAGCUUAACAUUGCUGAACGGAUUCCAGCUUACUGAUUAAUGCGAGUUCAGAUUGUUUGGCGACCAUAUUUUAUAAGCUUACCGAUUAAUGCGAGUUUAGAUUGUUUGACGAUCAUAUUUUAUAUUCUGAAUUGUUCAUAUACAGCUGAGCGGAUCAGUCUAAAGUGGGUGAAAGAAUCAUUCAGCGCCAUCCUUAUUAGCUUAUAAUACUGUAUGUCAACUUCAAUCUUAUAAAAAUAUAUUUUAUUUGUUUACUAUAUUUUAUAUAUAUGUUGAUUUUAUCCCAAGUUUUGUUCGUAUCAACUGAAAAUAAUAACUCUUUCAAAAAAUUAAAAAUAAUAUAAUAAUAAUCGAUAUAAUUUUUAACUUUAUAAUUAUUUUGAAUAAUAAUAUGUGAAUUUUUUUUAUAUGUCUAAAUAAGUUUUCAUCUUAUUAAAAAUCAAGUGAUAUAUAUUUUAUUCAAGUGAUAUAUAUUGUUUUAGUGAUAAAAAAGUUCACUAAAACAAUUUAUCAUAUUUAUAAUAUAUUAUUCAGAUAUUUCAAAUAUUAUUCAUCAAACAAUAUUAUUCAUUCAGAAUUCAGAUGAUUCAUCCGUUAAGAUCAUUCAGGUAUAUUAAUCAUUCAAUUCAGAUUUGCCAAAUGACCCCUUAUUCUCACACGAUGUUUAAUAUUUUAUUAUUAGAGAGAGAAAAGGAGUGUUGAUAAGAAUUAAUAACAAAAUAUGGACAGGGUAAGGAAAGAUGUACCUCAAAAAUAGGACUUGAGAAGGUUGUCCCAGUGAUAUAAGGCAUCACUAGGACAUUGUUGGAUCAAUUUUUUACAUCAAAUGCCUUAAAUAACAACUUAGGACGACAUAUAUGGAAAUUGUUGGACUUGCUCUAAGUUGUUACUCCUUCCAAGUAUAAAAGAUGAGUAAAGUUAAAUGAAGACGUGGUAAAAUAAUGUGACCUAUUUAUAUUUAAUAAUACAUUUGAAAUAGUGGAGGAAAGUAACAUGUGUAAUAACGUUUAUAUUAUUAUUGCAUAUAGAUAAGAAGAAAGCAAUGGGUAUAAAAGUGUAUUAUAUUAUUAAAAUUAUUAUUUUUAAAAUGUUUAGAAAUAAUGGGGCAUCCAAAAAGAAAACUGUAUAGAAAUGAAAAAGGAAAUACAAUUCAAAAAGUCAUAUAUCUAAAUUCAAACUAGGUAAUAUAUUUAUGAAUUAUAUUAAAAAAAAUAUUUGACAUUCAAAUAUAAAAAUUUAUUUUAUCAUCUCAACAAUGAAUAUUCGAUUAUUAACUUUCGUAAAUAACAUUAAUUUUUCAUUAUAAUAUACUCUAAACUUUUAUUUUAUGUGCCUGUUUGUUUACGAGAAGCUGGAAUUUACUUCUCUUGACUCGUUUGUGUAAAAAAGUAAAAGGUGCUUUUAAAAAGUACUGAGAACGAAAUGGAAGUAGAAAAUGCUAGCUUUUCUUUAUAAUAUCUAUUUCUUUUCCAGACAUUUUAAUAAUUUAUAAUUAUUAAUUUAUUUGUCAUUUCUACUUAUUUUUUUUAGAGAACUUUUUUUAAACUAACCGGCUCCUAUAACUAGUAAUUACUUCUAAAUCACAAAUUACUGAUAAAUCAUCACUUUUAUUAUUAUUAUUAUUAUUAUAUUUUUAAUAACUCAUAAAUUAUUAAUAAGUCAAAAUUAGUCAAACAGAUAUUUUUAAGUUGAGCUUAUGAGAUAACUAACGUUAAGUCUUCUGAGCCCCCAUUGGCUCACAAUUGGCCCAAAAAAUAUUUGGUUAUGCAUUGCUAUUCACACACUUAGACAUCAAAAUUUAUCAUCCGACAGCUAACUGCACACUAUUUUUCCCACAAGCUCAAAAAUCAACGAUCAAUUAAUUUUUUCUUAUCAAUUACUAAUAAAGUUAUGAUUUCACGUACACGGCAGGCAAAAUGCUAAUAAAUAGACGAGUGCAGUAUAGUAUGGGUUCAUGAUCCCCUUGAGAUUUAAUUGAAAAAUAUUAUGGUGAUAUAGAUUAAAUUAAAUUAUAAUAUUUUGAAAAGUUAUAAAUAAUUUUAAUUACUAAUAAUAUUUAUUUGUACAUUUAAAUAUUUUUAUAAAAACACAAUAAUAGCAUUAUACUCAUUUAAGUUUCUCGUAUCCGCCUCCUCUUCUUGGAGAUUGUGGAUUUGCGAUAUUUGUAUUGAUUAUUAUAGGAAAAUGUUAUUUUCAGAGCAAACAUUUUUAUUUCUGGAGCAAAUUCAAUUCCCACUUCCUUGUCCUUGUAGCUACAUAAAUCAUACAACUUCAAUACAAACUUUUCCAAAUUGUUCUGGAAAUUAAAAAAUUGAUAUGGAUAUAACAAUUCCCUUAUUAUAUCCUAUGUAUAUUACAUUAAUGCAAUUAACAUGGUUGGUUGUUUUAGUAUAUAAUUAUAUUAGUGUGGCCUUUUAGUAUAUAAUUAUAUUAUUUUUGUUAUAUUUUAUGCAUCUAGAAACAAUUUUUUUAUGAUAUUUAUUAUAUUAAUUAUAGUAAAAGAUAUAAUUUUGUUUAAAAAAUUGAAUAAAACUAAGAGGGAUAGCCUACGUCUCUCCGAGUCUUCGAGGACUCAUUCCAAGUCCGCAGAGGACCACCGCCUCAACCUUUAAGAGAUGUGAAAGUAGCUUGAGAGAGACAUAAAUUAAUGUUUGAUAAUAAAAUUUAAUAAUCAAAUAAAUUAAAUUAAAUUAAACUAGUUUAUAGUAAUCGAUUAAAAAUAUAUAAAUCAAAAUUAUUCCUGAAUUAUGAUAACAAUUAAAAUCAUAUUAAAAGUUGCAAAAAUCAAACCCAAAUCGAACAAAUUCCCCUAACACUAAAAUGUAGUUGCUUUAUUGUAGAUAAAAACAGUAUAAUAAUCGUAUUGAUGAAAAAUCAAAUUCAUCAAAUAAGUUUAUAAAAAAUACAUGAUUUUAGUGUGUUGUAUUAGUAGUGUGUCCACGCAUUUAUAUAUUAAAAUCUAUCCUCUAAAAACUAUCGAUCUAUUUACACAACUAUUGAUCUGUCGUGCAACAAAUUCCACGGAGAAGUUCCAAAGAGAGCUUAAAUGGCUUGCAUUGCUCAAUCUAUCUCAUAAUAGUCUUAACGACAUAUGUUCUGAAUUAUUAUUAUGCUUUCAACAAUAUUUUCAAACAUUUCUUAAUAUGUAUUUUCAAAGAAUUAAGAGAAUGCACAAAAAUUAAGAGAGAUUGCUCUGGGUCUCCCCAAGCCUUUCAGGACUCAUUCCAAGUCUUCCUAGGACCACUGCCUCACCCUUUCAAAGAUGUGAUAAUAGCUCGAGAGUAAUAUAAAUUAAUUUACGGACACUAAAAAUAAAAAAUCAGAUCAAAUUAAUCAAUAAUAAAUUAAGGAUGAAAUCCAAAUUAAUCCUAAAUUUUGAUAAUAUAUAAAUAUUAUAAUUAUAAAUUAUAUAACCAAAUCAGAAUUGAAUUAACUUACUUGGCACUAAAAUUGAUAAAGACAGAAUAAUAAUUUAAUCGAUGAAAAGUCAAAGUCUUCUAAUAAAUCCAUAAAAGAUAUGAUAAUCCAAAUAACACACUUAUAUAUCAAAAUUUAUGGUCCAAAAACUAUAGCAAAAUAUCCUAAAUACACCACAUUAAAUAAUAGUUCAAAAAUAUUCAAUAAACAAUUGUUUUCAUUCAUAAUUUUGUUAUUUUAAAAACUAAUAAUUUGGUUGAUGUUAACCUAUAUUUUAAUAUAUAAUUAUAUUAUUUUCAUCUUAUUUUAUUUAACCAGAAACAAUAUUUUUAUAAUAUUUAUUACUUUAUUUAUAUUAAAAUAUAUAAUUUCAUUAAAAAAAUUGAAUAAAAUUAAGAGAAUAACUCUAUGCCUCUCUAAGUCUACAAGACUCAUUUCAAGUCUACCGAGGACUACUACCUCAACCAUCGAGAGAUGUGAAAGUAUAGUUUGAGAGUGACAUAAAUUAUUUUCCUGACAAUAAAAUUUAAUAUCUAAUAUAAAUUAAUUAAAUUAGAUAAUAAUAAAUCAAAACUAAUUAUGAAUUAUGAUAAUAAUUAAAUAAAUUAUAAUUAAAUUAUAUAAAUCAACUCCAAAUGUACAAAUAACACUAAACCUUGGUUACUUUGUUGGUAAAUAAAUAUAAUAUAAUAAUCAAAUUGAUGAGAAAUCAAAAUCAUCUAAUAAAUUCACAAAAAAUAUAUAAUCAGUAUAUUAUAUUAGUAUCCACACACUUAUAUUUCAAAAUCUAUCCUCCGAACUUAUCAUCUCUGUAAACUACCCACAUAAAAUAAAAAUUUAAAGAUAUUAGAUAUUUAGUUAUUUUCAUUAUAUAUAAUUUUUCCACACUAAAUAACAAAAUAUCUUUAUCAAAUUAUUAUUUAUAAGUUUUUUGAAUAUCAGAUUCAUAACCCAGUUGAUCAGGAGAAACAUGGCCUACUCUGCAAAGCCUUCUCACCUUCUUCUCUUUGUUUUCUUUCUCUCAUCACUUGAAUCCAUUCUUGCAACAACACAAGAGGGAGAAGCUCUUGUGAAGUGGAAGAAUAGCCUAGCCCCUUCUUCUUUUCUCGACUCUUGGUCACUCACCAAUCUCGAAAAUCUUUGUAACUGGACUGGCAUUACUUGUAACUCUGCAGGUUCAGUCUCGGAGAUUAACCUUUGUGAGAAACAACUUGAUGGAAUGCUGUCCGAGUUUGGUUUCACUUCAUUUCCAAAUCUCAACAAUCUCAUCCUCGCAGAUAACUUCUUCUCGGGUCCCAUACCACCGGCCAUUGAGAAUUUAACACAGCUUCGAUUUCUUGAUUUAAGCUUUAAUUCUCUCCAUGGUCCCAUUCCGUUCCAGGUUAGCCAUCUUCAGAGCUUGCUCAUCUUAAACCUGUCACAGAAUGCAUUGCAAGCUCCAAAUUGGUCCCAUUUCUCUCCCAUGCCUUUCUUGCGCAUCCUCAACCUCAGUUACAAUCCUCUUGCGUCGAAAUUCCCAUAUUUUAUAUCCAAUUCUCAUAGCCUGACUCACCUUAGCCUUAAUUAUAACGAGUUUACUGGUGAUUUAGUACGUGAAUCAGUAUUUGCCAAUCUGCAUAAUCUUGAAGUGCUCAGUCUUGUUGGCAAUUCUUUUGAGGGGCCAUUUCCGCCGGAUGUAGUCCAGCUUUCCAAAUUAAAACGUCUCUUCCUGUCAGGUAACAAAUUUUCAGGUUCAAUUCCCAAUGACAUAAGGUUGCUUUGUGAUCUUGAAUACCUAUAUUUAGGCAACAAUUCCUUUGAAGGACCGCUUCCACCAAAUAUAUUCAAGCUUUCAAAAUUAAAAAAUCUUGUUAUUUGGAGUAAUAAGUUUUCAGGUUCUAUUUCCAAUGAUAUAGGUUUGCUUUCUGAGCUUGACACCCUCAAUCUUCGCUCUAAUUUUUUUAAGGGUCCGCUUCCGUCAAAUAUAUUCAAGCUUUCCAAAUUAACAAGUCUUGACCUCGCAGACAAUAGAAAUUUAUUUGAAGGAAGUAUUCCUAUUGGACUGGGACUCUUGACUAACCUCAGGUUCUUAGAUCUACAUUCCAGUAAUCUCAGUGGCUAUAUUCCAUCUGACAUUGGAAACCUGAAGCUACUAGUACUUCUUAAUCUCGGUUCUAAUAAAUUGACUGGACCGCUUUUAAAGAUCGUUUCUAAUCUCACAAAUCUUAUAUAUUUUGAUGUAAGUGAUAAUAGUCUUCGUGGAAAUAUUCAGAGUGACUUGUGGAUAUAUAACGAUCAUCCAACUUUGGAAUACAUCAAUUUAAGUGGGAACCAUUUUACGGGUAUAGUUUUUCUCUAUAGAUCUUUUCCUUUUGUCAUAUGUAACUAAGCUAGUAAUCUGGUUAUUGCAGUUUUACCAAAGUUUCAACAAUCUUGACAGGUGAGCUUCCAACAACAAUUUGCAAUGUCACUUCCCUUUCAAUUCUUGAUUUGUCAAAUAAUGAAUUAAGUGGUGCACUUCCAAACUGUUUCGGGAAUCUUGCUGAUGGAUUGCUUUACAUUAAUCUUGCUAAUAAUCAGUUUCGAGGAACAAUACCAACUACUUUCUCCAGGAGUUGUCAGCUGACAUAUCUAAACAUGGAUGAUAAUGAGUUUGAAGGAUUGUUGCCCCCAUCUUUGGCGAACUGUAAGCACUUGAAAAUUUUUGAUAUUGGCAAUAAUAAAAUAGGUGGUACAUUUCCGUCAUGGCUUUAUGCACUUGGAGAGCUAGAAGUCCUUGUCUUGCGAUCAAAUAAACUCUGUGGUACAAUAAGUGGAAGGAGCAUAGAAGAUCCCUUCCCCAAGUUGCGGAUUGUGGAUCUGUCCAACAACCACUUCACAGGCCAUUUGCCAAUUCAAUACUUUAAGAAUAUGAAAUCAACUGAUAAUUUGUAUAGUUAUCAGCUUUUCACAGCAGUUUUUUCUUUCCAUUAUGAAGCAGCAGUCUCAUUAAUUGUGAAGGGAACAGAGUAUGAAGUGGCAAAUAACCUUCAUAUUUACACAGCCAUUGAUCUGUCGUGCAACAAAUUUCAGGGAGAAAUUCCAAAGGUUACUGGAGAGCUUAGAUGGCUUGCAUUGCUCAACUUAUCUCAUAAUAGUCUAACAGGACCUAUCCCAUCAUUGCUGGGAAAUAUGAAAGAACUCCAAUCUUUAGAUUUGUCUUCAAAUCAACUGACAGGGGCCAUUCCACCUCAGCUAACUGCAUUGACAUUUCUAGAGGUCUUAAACCUCUCGGGAAACCAUCUUAGUGGAGAGAUUCCUCAGAAAGGACAGUUCAGCACAUUUAACAAUGAUUCUUAUCUAGGAAACUCCGCGUUAUGUGGAUCACCUUUGACGAAGAAAUGUGCAAACACAGCAUCACCUCCACAAGAAGUCGGAAAUGGUGAUGAAGANGAUUUGUCUUCAAAUCAACUGACAGGGGCCAUUCCACCUCAGCUAACUGCAUUGACAUUUCUAGAGGUCUUAAACCUCUCGGGAAACCAUCUUAGUGGAGAGAUUCCUCAGAAAGGACAGUUCAGCACAUUUAACAAUGAUUCUUAUCUAGGAAACUCCGCGUUAUGUGGAUCACCUUUGACGAAGAAAUGUGCAAACACAGCAUCACCUCCACAAGAAGUCGGAAAUGGUGAUGAAGAAGAUGGUGGUGAUGAAUUGACAUGGGAAGCAAUCGUGAUGGGAUAUGGAUGUGGACUGAUAUGUGGAUUGUCAUCGGCAUACAUUGUUCUCAAACUAGGAAAGCCUUGGUGGUUUGUGAGAUAUAUCGAAGUACUGCAACAGAAGUUGAUGAAAAGAUGCUUGAAGAAAGGUACUGGUCGAUCAAGACGAACUUGAAAGUUGUUGUCCAUGUGGACAUUUCUGAACCAGUAGUGUACUAGCUGCAUAAGUAUUUGGUAUUAUGUAAUAUUCUGUUUGGUGGGGAAUCAUAAUAAUUUUUCUUCCUGUAGGGGUAUUAAUAUUAACCUUGUUAUCUUGAUCAAUGUUAAUGCAAAUUAAAAUGAAUGAAAAAACAAAAAAUAUGCAUCAAAUCCACUCCUGCUGUACCAAGAUCCAUUAAUUUGCUUUGGUCUUUUACAUAACAAUUUAACAGCGCACUUCCCCACUGUUUGAAAGAAUUUAAUAAUAAACUCGAGUUUUCCAGGACUGCACCAAGUUCACAUAUUCAAUAUCACACAUUCCAGUCUCAGCUUCAGCUCCCAGGGUAGAAGAGAAGUUUUAUGUACAAUAACAGUUAAUUACCAUAGCUACUUUAGUCUUGGUUCAGUUUUUGCAGAGAUAAUUACCAGAUUUUGAAAUCCUUCAUGUGAGGAAACAAAUAUCGAGAGACAUUUCUGUUUACAAAUAUAGGUUUUCUAGACAUAAUUACAGGAACUUUUACCAUUAUACACUUUUAUAGUACUGGUUAAGAGUUUGUUGUUCAGCCUAGUGAAAGAAAUAAUUCCUCUGCUAUUUCAUUAACAUUGCUGGUAUAUAUACAAUGUACAACACACCCUUCAAGGCUAUAAUCAGGGAACCUAAAAUAUAUCCAAAACUAAUCAUAGAAACAGACUAACUAAUUACAAUAAAUCAUAUCCAGAAAUAUCUCCACAGAUGUCGCAUAGAUAUCUUUAACACACCCCCUCAGUCGAAGCGGGAGGUAAACGAACACUGAGACUGUCUCUGAAGUCUUCAAAAAGAACACGCGGAAGACCUUUUGUAAAAAUAUCUGCUACUUGAUAUCUGGAUGGCACAUGAAGAACCCGUACUUCACCUCGUGCAACUUUUUCCCGAACAAAGUGAAUAUCCAUCUCAAUGUGUUUAGUACGUUGGUGUUGUACUGGAUUACCCGAUAAAUAAAUAGCACUGACAUUGUCGCAAUACACCACAGUUGCCUUUGUAACUGGACAAUGCAAUUCCAACAACAGAUUUCGGAGCCAACAUGAUUCAGAGACCACAUUAGCUACACCCCUAUACUCGGCCUCUGCACUGGAUUUGGAAAGAGUCGGUUGUCGCUUAGAAGACCAGGAAAUCAAGUUGUCACCCAAAAACACACAAUACCCAGAUGUAGACCGCCUCGUGUCGGGGCACCCACCCCAGUCAGCGUCAGUAUAUGAAACAAGAGAGGACUGUGAAGAGGAAUAGAGAUGUAAACCAUAGUCCUGUGUUCCUUGAAUGUACCUAAUGAUUCUUUUAAGAGCUUGCAUAUGAGUAACCCGUGGAUCAUGCAUGUGCAGACAUACUUGUUGAACCGCAUAAGAAAUAUAUGGACGUGUGAAAGUCAGAUAUUAAAGUGCCCCAGCAAGACUCCGAUACAAUGAAGGAUUCUCAAACACAGAACCAACAGACGCACUAACCUUGGCCUUCGUAUCAACUGGUGUAGGUGAUGAUUUACAAGAGGACAUGCCAGCCCUCUCAAUUAUCUGUUGUGCAUAAUUCUUCUGUGACAGAAACAUGCCAGCCUUAUGACGAGUGACUGAUAUACCAAGAAAAGAACUCAAGGGGCCAAGAUCCUUCAUAGCAAAUUCUGAACUAAGAAGCUUUAUAAUCGAGACACGGAGAUCAUCAGACGACGCAGUGAGAAUUAUGUCAUCGACGUAAACCAGAAUAUAGGCCAUGUGAGAACCGUUGCGAUAAACGAAUAAUGAGGUGUCACAUUUGCUUCUAAUGAAACCAAUAGACAGAACAAAAUCAGCAAACUUCUCAGACCAAGUCCGGGGGGACUGCCUCAGGCCAUAAAUUGAUUUACGUAACAAACACACAUAAUCCGGAUGAGCACGAUCACGAUACCCCAAAGGUUGAUGCAUAUAUAUUGUUUCCUUUAAGUCACCAUGAAGGAAGGCAUUCUUUACAUCUAGCUGAUGAAUUGACCAGCCAUUCGAAAGAGAGAGAGAAAGCACUGUGCGGAUUGUAGCUGGUUUCACUACCGAGCUAAAAGUUUCGCCACAAUCAAUACCCACCAGCUGAGUUUUUCCAUUUCCGACAAGGCGAGCUUUAUGCCUCUGAAACACACCAUCCGAAUUUUCUUUAUGAGCAAAAACCCACAUAGACCGAAUAACAUUAACAUCAGGUGGACGGGGCACCAAAUCCCAUGUCUUAUUUUGAAUAAGUGCAUUAUACUCCUCAUCCAUGGCUAUUUUCCAAUUCGGGUCCCGAAGAGCAUCAACAGGGCUAUGUGGUAAAGGUGACCGAGGAGCUGUUGUGUUAUAUGCAUGAUCAGAAUAUCGCAUAUUUGGUUUAAAAAUACCUCGUUGGCUCCUGGUAACCAUUGGGUGCUGGUUUAUAGGAGUAGGGGAAGAUGUUGAUGUUUGUGGACUCGAGGAGGAAGAUGAACUCAAUGAGGAGGGAGAUGGCGACGUUGAUGAAAGUAAGGGAGAGGAGGAUUGGUUUGAGAGUACUGGACUCGGUGAAAGAGAAUGAGGAGAACUCCCAGGGGAAGGUGAGAAACUACCAUGUCGUGUCUCAUGUGUGUGAGUACUGUCUGGGUGAGCAGACACAGACACAGAAGGACUUUGAUUUUGCAGAUGAUACACUGAAUAAGGUGAUAAGCCAUCUGCUAAAAAAUCAUAGGUAGAAGUGGAUGAAUCAUGUAACUUAGCAAACGGAAACACAUGCUCGUCAAAUAACACAUGGCGACAAAUUAUAAUCUGUGCUGUGAUGAUAAAUCAUAACAUUUGUAACCACGGUGAUUAGCCGGAAACCCCAAGAAAACACAAGGUGUUGAACGAGAUUGCAAUUUAUUAAUUGUGGUAGAGGGAAUGAGAGGAUAGCACAAGCAACCAAAGACCCGAAUGUGAGAAAAUGAGGGAACCCGUUGAUAUAGGAUUUCAAGAGGUGAUAAAUUGCCUAAGACCUUGUUCGGAAGAACAUUUAGAAGAUAGGUGGCCAUUUGUAAUGCAUGAUUCCAAAAAGAUGAAGGAAGAGAUGCAUGAGCUAAGAGUGUUCGAGUGACAUUAUUAAUAGUUCGAAUUUUUCUUUCUGCUUUCCCAUUUUGAGAAGAAGUAUGAGGACAAGACAACCGAAAAGUCAUGCCAUUGUUCUUAAAAAAAUCCCAGAAAUGAUGAUUAGUAAAUUCCCUCCCAUUAUCGCAUUGCACAUUUUUAAUGGUACACUCGAAUUGGGUGAGAAUAUGAUUGUGAAACGCCACAAAUUUAUCAAAGACAUCAGAUUUCUUAGCAAUUGGAAAAGUCCAAAGAAAAUUGGAGAAAUCAUCUAAUAACACAAGAUAGUACUUAUGACCCAUAGUACUCAAAACCGGAGAUGUCCAAAGAUCACAAUGAAUUAUAUCAAAUGGCUUUAAAGUACUUGAACUAGACGAAACAAAUGGCAUCUUGAUAUGUUUUCCAAACACACAAGAUCGACAAAUGCUAGAAUGUGAAAGCUUAGAACAAUGAAUGCUUUUAUUGAGUCGAAGAGCAUCCAAAACUUGUGCACCGGGAUGGCCUAAACGAUCAUGCCAAAGAGAGGAAUUGAUGGCUGCAAAAGUAGAAUGAAGAGCUCGAUUGUUGAUAGAUUGUGUAAGAGGAUAAAGAUCGCCUUGGCUCUCACAUCUCAUUAUUAGCACUCACGUCUGUAAAUCCUUCACAGAAAACCCAAAAGGAUCAAAUUCCACCGUAACAGAAUUAUCAGUGGUAAAUUUGCGAACAGAAAUAAGGUUUUUAACAAUUUUGGGAGCGUGGAGGACAUUUUUAAGGGACAAAGGAAGGCCAGGAGAUGGUAAUGCAGUAUGACCAUAUCCUUGAAUUGAAAUAAUAUUGCCAUCACCCACAACAAUGCCAUUAUGAUGAGAAUUAUGUUGAUUGCUCAAAUUAACAUAGGACGAGAAAUUACCAUUUGAGGAUGUCAUAUGAGAUGUAGCACCAGUAUCCAUGUACCACGACGGAUCAGGUUGAUUGAGAGUCAUGGUAUGCAUUGCAGAUUCAAUAUCCGUUGGAACAAAAGAAGCUGACUGCCCAACCGUUGUUCCUGUGAAAGCCUGCUGUGGUCGAGGACCAAGAACUCCAGGCUGUGGUUGUUGAACUCCCGUGGAACGGGGCUGAGUCCAGCCCUGAGUUGGGAAUGGACAAGGGGGAGCGGACCAUCCCUGCAUCCAAGGUGGAGCAGCCAAGAUUGGAAAUAACCCGGUGCCCACUGUUGUGAACCCCAUUGCAUCCUAUUCUGUUGUUGUCCACCACCACGGCCUUGACCCAUACGACCCCCACCAGAACCACGACCUCCACCUGAACCAGAUCGUUUAUUAUUUUUCCUGUGGUUAUUAUGCUUAUUGCCACGGGGAGGUGCGGAUCCCUGAUUCGAGCCUGUGUCGUCAAAAUCCGUCUGUGAGGCAACCAACAUUGCAGAGUCAGACCCUGUGGCAGCUUCUUUUGCUAAAGCAGCCUCCUCUAAUGUUAACAUAGACCGGGCUUGAUAGAAUUGUGGGAGAGGGUCACUCUGUCGAAUUAAGGUCCCAACACCACGGUAUGCCCUUGGAAGGCCGGAAACCAGUUGAAUAACAAGUCUACUAUCCGAGAUUGGUGCACCAACAUUUUUCAGUUGAUCAGCAAGAGAUUUGAGACGCUGACAGUAAGCCGAAACAUUCGGAAAAUUCUCCAUUUUUGUACUGGAGAAUUCAGCCUCCAAAGUUACCACACGGGAAUUCUUGUUGUCCUGGAAUAUGUCACGCAACCUGUUCCAUGCCUCCAUAGCAGUGGCAUCUGGUUCAAUGAUCGUAUGUAAAAGAUCAUUGGAGAUAGUCGCAUAAAUCCAAGACAGAACCGUAGCAUCAAGCGUCGACCACAAUUCCUUUUCAUCCUCAGUAGAAAGAACCUUCUCUUUGCCUGUGGCAGGAGGAAUAAUAUGAGAAAGCACCUUAUGAGAACGUGCGGUAAUUUUGAAAAGCUCCGCCCAUGUCGAGUAUUGACCAUUCUCCAUCUCAAGAAUAAUGGGGAUAUGAUUGCGGAUAUUUGACACCGCAAGAGCUGGAUGAAAGGAGCUCUUGUUACCAGACAUUGGCUGCUGAUUAGUUGUAUCAGUCAUGAUAAUGAGAAAAGAAAAGAAGAUGAGUGCUUAGCGGAAGAAAAGAAAGAAAGAAAGAUCGUGGUAUUGCCUUAAGGCUCUGAUACCAUGAAAGAAAUAAUUCCUCUGCUAUUUCAUUAACAUUGCUGGUAUAUAUACAAUGUACAACACACCCUUCAAGGCUAUAAUCAGGGAACCUAAAAUAUAUCCAAAACUAAUCAUAGAAACAGACUAACUAAUUACAAUAAAUCAUAUCCAGAAAUAUCUCCACAGAUGUCGCAUAGAUAUCUUUAACACCUAGUCCUAAACUAAAAUUAUCAGUUCGAUGUGAAAUACGAAAUCAUAUUGCAGACGUCAUUCGUUGUUCCACCUAGUCCAAAACUACUCUAAAACUAUAUUGCUGGUAGUCUUUCAGUUCAUCCUACUGUAUGCAAUAGUUUCAUAUAUAGGUAACUCGGCCUUGUGUGGACUUCCUUUAACAAAAAAAUGUCUGCACUCAGUGUCACCACCACUGGAAGUCGAAAAUAGUGAUGAUGAAGAUGAUGCUCAUGGUGAACUUAAUUGGGAAGUAAUCCUGACGGGAUGUGGAUGUGGAUUGAUUUGCGGAUUGUCUUCUGGGUACAUUGUUUUCAAAAUAGAAAGGCCUUGGUGAUUUCUGCAAAGUGCUGCAACUUAAGUUGAUGUUACGAAGCACGAAAAAUAUUGUUCGACCAAGAUCAACAACUUGAAAAUGUGUUCUGAAUCUGUAUUAAUAUUAAAAUAUUAUAAUAUUAUUCAUUUAACACUAUCGUCCAAUCAAUUUAAUUGAUUAUCAUUUAAUCAAUAUAUUAGAUAAAUAUUAAUUGUCUUCCUUACCUCUAACCAAUGAUGAAAUUAAUAACCUCCCUAUAAAUCUAUUAAGACAGCUUUGAGUUGUCAAAGUCCUCAAACAUAUUAAACACUUUGAAAAAUUUGUUUCUGCAAGUCAAAAUUGCAAACAACACUUUGAAAACUUAGGUGCCGAAUAGUCCUUAUAUUGGAUUAAUCAGAUUUAAAUAUUUAAUGGCGCUAACAAAAUCUGUUGAAGUUAGCAGUUAUAAGGCAUAUAAUUAGAAAAAUGGCACAGUAUAUAAAGCCUCAUCAUCUUUUUCACUCUGUUUUAUUUCUCUCAUUACUUCCAUCCAUUCUUACAACACUAGCUGAAACAAGACGAGAGGGAGAAGCUCUUGUGAAAUGGAAGAAUAGCCUAGCCCCGUCUUCUUUUCUCGAUACUUGGUCACUAACCAAUCUCGAUGAUCUUUGCAACUGGACUGGCAUUACUUGUAACUCUGCAGGUUCAGUCUCUGAGAUUAACCUUAAACAAAAACAACUCAGUGGAACGAUUUCUGAGUUUGGUUUCACUUCAUUUCCAAAUCUCAACAAUCUGAACAUAGCACGAAACAACUUUUACGGUCCAAUACCACCAGCCAUUAAGAAUUUGACACAGCUUCAAUACCUUGAUUUAAGCUUUAAUCAUCUCAACGGUUCCAUCCCGUACCAGGUUAGCCAUCUUCAGAAAUUACAAAUCUUACACCUGUCGCAUAAUGAAUUGCAAGCUCCAAAUUGGUCCAAUUUCUCUUCCAUGCCUUUUUUGCGCAUCCUCGGCCUCGGCAGCAAUAAUCUGGAGUCAGAAUUCCCAGAAUUUAUAUCCAACUCUCAUGGCCUCACUUUCCUUGACCUUUCUUUUAACAAGUUUACAGGUGAUCUUGUGCAUGAAUCAAUUUUUACCGAUCUACGUAAUCUCGAAAACCUCCAUCUUGCUAAAAAUUACUUUGAGGGGCCGAUUCUACCUAGUAUAUUUAAGCUUUCCAAUUUAAAAAUUCUUGAACUAUCAGGUAAUAAAUUUUCUGGUUCUAUUUCCAACUAUAUAGGUUUGCUUUCGGAGCUUGAGACCCUCUAUCUUGACUUCAAUUUUUUUGAAGGACCAAUUCCACCAAAUAUAUUCAACCUUUCUAAACUAAAAAUUCUUGAACUAACAGGUAAUAACUUUUCAGGUCCUGUUUCUAAUGAUAUAAGUUUGCUUUCCGAGCUUGAAAACCUCAAUCUUGCCUUAAAUUCUUUUGAUGGGCCUUUUCCAUCAAAUAUGUUCAACCUAACCAUAUUGAGACAUCUAAAUCUCUAUGGCAAUAAAAAUUUAUUUAAAGGAAGUAUCCCACUGGAUAUCAAAAUAAGUCACAAGGACUAAUUAAUUACAUCUAUGAAGCAUCUAUCUCCUUAAAUGUGAAAGGAACAGAGUAUGAAGUGAAAAACAUUCUUCAUAUUUACACAACCAUUGAUCUGUCAUGCAACAAAUUUCAUGGACAUGUUCCAAAGAGAGCUUAAUUAAAUGGCUUGCAUUGCUCAAUCUAUCUCAUAAUAGUCUUAACAGACAUAUGUUCUGCAUUAUUAUUAUACUUUCAUCAAUAUUUUUAAACANAACAAAAACAACUCAGUGGAACGAUUUCUGAGUUUGGUUUCACUUCAUUUCCAAAUCUCAACAAUCUGAACAUAGCACGAAACAACUUUUACGGUCCAAUACCACCAGCCAUUAAGAAUUUGACACAGCUUCAAUACCUUGAUUUAAGCUUUAAUCAUCUCAACGGUUCCAUCCCGUACCAGGUUAGCCAUCUUCAGAAAUUACAAAUCUUACACCUGUCGCAUAAUGAAUUGCAAGCUCCAAAUUGGUCCAAUUUCUCUUCCAUGCCUUUUUUGCGCAUCCUCGGCCUCGGCAGCAAUAAUCUGGAGUCAGAAUUCCCAGAAUUUAUAUCCAACUCUCAUGGCCUCACUUUCCUUGACCUUUCUUUUAACAAGUUUACAGGUGAUCUUGUGCAUGAAUCAAUUUUUACCGAUCUACGUAAUCUCGAAAACCUCCAUCUUGCUAAAAAUUACUUUGAGGGGCCGAUUCUACCUAGUAUAUUUAAGCUUUCCAAUUUAAAAAUUCUUGAACUAUCAGGUAAUAAAUUUUCUGGUUCUAUUUCCAACUAUAUAGGUUUGCUUUCGGAGCUUGAGACCCUCUAUCUUGACUUCAAUUUUUUUGAAGGACCAAUUCCACCAAAUAUAUUCAACCUUUCUAAACUAAAAAUUCUUGAACUAACAGGUAAUAACUUUUCAGGUCCUGUUUCUAAUGAUAUAAGUUUGCUUUCCGAGCUUGAAAACCUCAAUCUUGCCUUAAAUUCUUUUGAUGGGCCUUUUCCAUCAAAUAUGUUCAACCUAACCAUAUUGAGACAUCUAAAUCUCUAUGGCAAUAAAAAUUUAUUUAAAGGAAGUAUCCCACUGGAUAUCAAAAUAAGUCACAAGGACUAAUUAAUUACAUCUAUGAAGCAUCUAUCUCCUUAAAUGUGAAAGGAACAGAGUAUGAAGUGAAAAACAUUCUUCAUAUUUACACAACCAUUGAUCUGUCAUGCAACAAAUUUCAUGGACAUGUUCCAAAGAGAGCUUAAUUAAAUGGCUUGCAUUGCUCAAUCUAUCUCAUAAUAGUCUUAACAGACAUAUGUUCUGCAUUAUUAUUAUACUUUCAUCAAUAUUUUUAAACAUUUCUCAAUAUGUAUUUUCAAAGAAUUCUCAAGCACUUGAACAUUUGGACCGGUUCUUUCGAAGCCAAGAUGCCCAGGUUAUAUCAUGGCCAUACACAAAAAUGCCCAAAAAUAAAUAAAUUAAGAGAGAUUGCUCUGGGUCUCCCCAAGCCUUCCAGGACUCAUUCCAAGUCUUCUGAGGACCACUGCCUCGCCCUUUCAAAGACGUGAUAGUAGCUCAAGAGUGAUAUAAAUUACUUUCCGGACACUAAAAAUAAAUAAUCCGAUCAAAUUAAUUAAUAAUAAAUUAAGGAUGAAAUCCAAAUUAGUCCUAAAUUUUGAUAAUAUAUAAAAAUUAUAAUUAUAAAUUAUAUAACCAAAUGAGAAUUGAAUUAACUUACUUGGUACUAAAAUUGAUAAAUACAGUAUAGUAAUUUAAUUGAUGAAAAGUCAAAGUCUUCUAAUAAAUCCAUAAAGAAUAUGAAAAUCAAAAUAACGAAAAUUAUAAUUGAAAAAUCAAAAUCAAUAGUGUAUUGGAAUAUUGUUCACACACUUAUAUAUCAAAAUUUGUGGUCCAAAAAUUAUAGCACAAUAUCCUAAAUACACCACAUUAAAUAAUAGUUCAAAAAUAUUCAAUAAAUAAUUGUUUUCAUUCAUAAUUUUGUUAUUUUAAAAACUAAUAAUUUGGUUGAUGUUAACCUAUAUUUUAAUAUAUAAUUAUAUUAUUUUCAUGUUAUUUUAUUUAACCAAAAACAAUAUUUUUAUAAUAUUUAUUACAUUAAUUAUAUUAAAAGAUAUAAUUUCAUUAAAAAAAUUGAAUAAAAUUAAGAGGAUAACUCUAUGCCUCUCCAAGUCUACAAGACUCAUUUCAAGUCUACCGAGGACCACUACCAUUGAGAGAUGUGAAAGUAGUUUGAGAGUGACAUAAAUUAUUUUCCUGACAAUAAAAUGUAAUAUCUAAUAUAAAUUAAUUAAAUUAGAUAAUAAUAAAUCAAAACUAAUCAUGAAUUAUGAUAAUAAUUAAAUAAAUUAUAAUUAAAUUAUAUAAAUCAACUCCAAAUGAUACAAAUAACACUAAACCUUAGUUACUUUAUUGGUAAAAUAAAUAUAAUAUAAUAAUUAAAUUGAUGAAAAAUCAAAAUCAUCUAAUAAAUUCACAAAAAAUAUAUGAUCAUUAGUAUAUUAUAUCAGUAUCCACACACUUAUAUUUCAAAAUCUAUCCUACAAAAUUAUCAUCUCUGUAAACUAGCCACAAAAAAUAAAAAUUUAAAGAUAUUAGAUAUUUAGUUAUUUUCAUUAUAUAAUUUUUCCACACUAAAUAACAAAAUAUCUUUAUCAAAUUAUUAUUUAUGAAUUAAAUAUUCAAGUUAUAAUUCCAGCAUGCAGCGUAUAAAUAGAAGUGUGCAGUAUGAUAUCAGAUUCAUAACCCAGUUGAGGAGAAACAUGGCACACUCUGUGAAGCCUUCUCACCUUCUUCUCUUUGUUUUCUUUCUCUCAUCACUUGAAUCCAUUCUUGCAACAACACGAGAGGGAGAAGCUCUUGUGAAAUGGAAGAAUAGCCUAGCCCCUUCUUCUUUUCUCGACUCUUGGUCCCUCACCAAUCUCGAUAAUCUUUGUAACUGGACUGCCAUUACUUGUAACUCUGCAGGUUCAGUCUCUAAGAUUAACCUUUUUGAGAAACAACUUAAUGGAAUGCUGUCCGAGUUCGGUUUCACUUCAUUUCCAAAUCUCAACUAUCUCACACUCGCAGACAACUUCUUCUCGGGUCCGAUACCACCAGCCAUUGAGAAUUUAACACAGCUUCAAUAUCUUGAUUUAAGCAUGAAUAGUCUUAAUGGUCCCAUUCCGUUCCAGGUUAGCCAUCUUCAGAGCUUGCUCAUCUUGAACCUGUCACAGAAUGCAUUGCAAGCUCCAAAUUGGUCCCAUUUCUCUCCCAUGCCUUUCUUGCGCAUCCUCGACCUUAGUUUUAAUAAUCUUGUGUCGAAAUUCCCAGAAUUUAUAUCCAAUUCUCAUAGCCUGACUCACCUUAACCUUUCAAAUAACAAGUUUACUGGUCAUCUUGUGCAUAAAUUUACCAAUCUACAAAAUCUUGAAACCCUCUACCUUCAGAUCAAUUCUUUUGAGGGGCCGUUUCCACCAGAUAUAGUCCAGCUUUCCAAAUUAAAACGACUCUCCCUGUCAUGUAACAAAUUUUCAGGUUCAAUUCCCAAUGACGUAAGGUUGCUUUUUGGUCUUGAAUCCCUAAAUUUAGGCAACAAUUCCUUUGAAGGACCGCUUCCACCAGAUAUAUUCAAGCUUUCAAAGUUAAAACGACUUGUUCUUUGGAGUAAUAAGUUUUCAGGUUCUGUUUCCAAUGAUAUAGGUUUGCUUUCUAAUCUUGAACACCUCGAUCUUGACUCUAAUUUUUUUGAGGGGCCGUUUCCGUCAAAUAUAUUCAAGCUCAGAUUAAAAAUUCUAAACCUCUCAAACAAUAGAAAUUUAUUUCAAAGAAGUUUUCCUAUUGGACUGGAACUCUUGAGUAACCUCAGCUACUUAGGUCUACAUUCCAGUAAUCUCAGUGGCAAUAUUCCAUCUUACAUUGGAAACCUGAAGCUACUAGAAUUUCUUGAUCUCGGUUCUAAUCAAUUGACUGGACCGCUUUCCAAGAUCGUUUAUAAUCUCACAAAUCUUAUACUUCUUGAUGUAAGUUAUAAUAGUCUUCAUGGAAAUAUUCAGAGUGACUUGUGGCAAUAUAACGAUCAUCCAACUUUGGAAUACAUGAGUUUGAGUGGGAACUAUUUUACGGGUAUAGUUUUUCUCUAUAGAUCUUUUCUUUUGUCAUAUGUAACUAAGCUACUAAUCUGAUUAAUUGCAGUUUUACCAAAGUUUCAACAAUCUUGACAGGUGAGCUUCCAACAACAAUUUGCAAUGUCACUUCCCUUUCGGUUCUUGAUUUGUCAAAUAAUGAAUUAAGUGGUGCACUUCCAAACUGUUUCGGGAAUCUUGCUGAUAGAUUGCUUUUCAUUAAUCUUGCUAAUAAUCAGUUUCGAGGAACAAUACCAACUACUUUCUCCAGGAGUUGUCAGCUCAAAUAUCUAAACAUGGAUAAUAAUGAGUUUGAAGGAUUGUUGCCCCCGUCUUUGGAAAACUGUAAGCACUUGAGAAUUCUUGAUAUUGGCAAUAAUAAAAUAGGUGGUACAUUUCCGUCAUGGCUUUAUGUACUUGGAGAGCUAGAAGUCCUUCUCUUGCGAUCAAAUAAACUCUAUGGCACAAUAAGUGGAAGGAGCAUAGAAGAUCCCUUCCCCAAGUUGCGGAUUGUGGAUCUGUCCAACAAUCAAUUCACAGGCCAUUUGCCAAUUCAAUACUUUAAGAAUAUGAAAUCAACUGAUAAUUUGUAUCGUUUCCAGGAUGGCAAAGGAGUUUUUUGUUUCCGUUAUGAAGCAUCUGUCUCAUUAACUGUGAAGGGAACAGAGUAUGAAGUGAAAAAAAUCCUUCAUAUUUACACAACCAUUGAUCUGUCCUGCAACAAAUUUCAAGGAGAAAUUCCAGACGUUAUUGGAGAGCUUAGAUGGCUUGCAUUGCUCAACUUAUCUCAUAAUAGUCUAACAGGACCUAUCCCAUCAUUGCUGAGGAAUAUGAAAGAACUCCAAUCUUUAGAUUUGUCUUCAAAUCAACUGACAGGGGCUAUUCCACCUCAGUUAACUGCAUUGACAUAUCUAGAGGUCUUGAACCUCUCGGGAAACCAUCUUAGUGGAGAGAUUCCUCAGAAAGGACAGUUCAGCACAUUCAACAAUGAUUCUUAUCUUGGAAACUCCGCGUUAUGUGGAUCACCUUUGACGAAGAAAUGUGCAAACACAGCAUCACCUCCACAAGAAGUCGGAAAUGGUGAUGAAGAUGAUGCUGGUGAUGAAUUGACAUGGGAAGCAAUCGUGAUGGGAUAUGGAUGUGGACUGAUAUGUGGAUUGUCAUCUGCAUACAUUGUUCUCAAACUAGGAAAGCCUUGGUGGUUUGUGAGAUAUGUCGAAGUACUGCAACUGAAGUUGAUGAAAAGAUAUGCUUGAAGAAUGGUACUGGCCGAUCAAGACGAACUUGAAAGUUGUUGUCCUUGUGCAUUUCUGAACCAGUUGUGUACUAUUCUCUUUGUGGCUGCAUAAGUAUUUGGUAUUGUGUAAUAUUCUGUUUGGUCUUGAAUCAUAAUGAUUCUUCUUGCUCCAGGGUUAUUAAUAUAAACCUUGGUAUUGUGUGCUAGCUGUAAUAUUCUGUUUGAUCAAUGUUUAUACCAGUAAUUUUAUGCUCCGCAGUGCAUCAUGCAGCUCUCAUAUUAUCUCUAUGAUUAACCUGAAUUCAGUUUCAUUUUGUUUCCGAAUCUCAACUACUUCAACUUGAGCUACAAUAGCUUCACUGGUCUAAUACCCCCAGAUAUUGAAAAUUUAACAGAGCUGCAAUACCUUGAUUUUAGCUCUAAUAAACUCACUGGUGCAAUUCCGGACCAGGUAAGCCAUCUUCAAACAUUGCGAACCUUAAACCUGUUGGAUAAUCACUUGGAAGCUCCAAACUGGUCCGCUUUUUCCCCUCUGCCUUCUCUGACAAACCUCUGUCUCAAUAAUAAUAAUCUUUCGUCGAAAUUCCCAGACUUCAUAUCAAAUUACAUCUUUUAUACGAUAUAUUAUGAAAACACUAUAUUUUGUAAUGUUCAUCUUAUCCUACCAGCAAAAUUACAUCGCUAACAAAAUUAUAUCAAUUUUAUUUUAUAAACUCAAAUAAUUUAAUUUAUGAAACAACUCUAUGAGAUUCUUAUCAUGAGUUAGAAUUCAAAUAAAUAAAGAGUUCAUAUUGAUAAGUGGAAUUGAUGUGCAAGUAAGGGGUAUAAAAAAAUCUCAAAAUAACUCCAAAAAGCACAUGACAUGUUUGAUUUAAUAGAACUGGUACAUAAACAGGGGGACCAUUAUAUUUAUAAGCAAGUGACCAACAAUAGUUUACUACUGAUAUUUUGUGAUAUUUUUUGUGAUAUUUUUUGAGACCUUUAACAUUAUUCUGUGAAGUGGUAUACUACUGUUACUAGUUCUGAAACUUCAAACAAAGUAGGCGCAACAUUGUAAGAGUGAUUAAUAAAGUUGAGAAACAGUGUGUACAUUGAGCAGUAUGACAAUCAGGUUCAGCAUAUAAUACAAUCAGAUUCACAAUCAGGUUCACGAGAAACAUGCUGCAUUCCAAAAAGCCUUAUUAUCUUCUUCACUAAAUAACAAGGCAAAUACAGCAUAUAAAUACAAGUGUGCAGUGUGGUAUUAGAUUCAUAACCCAGUUGAGGAGAAACAUGGCACACUUUGUAAGGCCUUCUCACCUUCUUCUCUUUGUUUUCUUUCUCUCAUCACUUGAAUCCAUUCUUGCAACAAGACAAGAGGGGGAAGCUCUUGUGAAGUGGAAGAAUAGCCUAGCCCCUUCUUCUUUUCUCCACUCUUGGUCACUCACCAAUCUCGAAAAUCUUUGNNNNNNNNNNNNNNNNNNNNNNNNNNNNNNNNNNNNNNNNNNNNNNNNNNNNNNNNNNNNNNNNNNNNNNNNNNNNNNNNNNNNNNNNNNNNNNNNNNNNNNNNNNNNNNNNNNNNNNNNNNNNNNNNNNNNNNNNNNNNNNNNNNNNNNNNNNNNNNNNNNNNNNNNNNNNNNNNNNNNNNNNNNNNNNNNNNNNNNNNNNNNNNNNNNNNNNNNNNNNNNNNNNNNNNNNNNNNNNNNNNNNNNNNNNNNNNNNNNNNNNNNNNNNNNNNNNNNNNNNNNNNNNNNNNNNNNNNNNNNNNNNNNNNNNNNNNNNNNNNNNNNNNNNNNNNNNNNNNNNNNNNNNNNNNNNNNNNNNNNNNNNNNNNNNNNNNNNNNNNNNNNNNNNNNNNNNNNNNNNNNNNNNNNNNNNNNNNNNNNNNNNNNNNNNNNNNNNNNNNNNNNNNNNNNNNNNNNNNNNNNNNNNNNNNNNNNNNNNNNNNNNNNNNNNNNNNNNNNNNNNNNNNNNNNNNNNNNNNNNNNNNNNNNNNNNNNNNNNNNNNNNNNNNNNNNNNNNNNNNNNNNNNNNNNNNNNNNNNNNNNNNNNNNNNNNNNNNNNNNNNNNNNNNNNNNNNNNNNNNNNNNNNNNNNNNNNNNNNNNNNNNNNNNNNNNNNNNNNNNNNNNNNNNNNNNNNNNNNNNNNNNNNNNNNNNNNNNNNNNNNNNNNNNNNNNNNNNNNNNNNNNNNNNNNNNNNNNNNNNNNNNNNNNNNNNNNNNNNNNNNNNNNNNNNNNNNNNNNNNNNNNNNNNNNNNNNNNNNNNNNNNNNNNNNNNNNNNNNNNNNNNNNNNNNNNNNNNNNNNNNNNNNNNNNNNNNNNNNNNNNNNNNNNNNNNNNNNNNNNNNNNNNNNNNAUUAAAACGUCUUUUUCUUUGGAGUAAUAAGUUUUCAGGUUCUGUUUCCAAUGAUAUAGGUUUGCUUUCUGAGCUUGAAUUUCUCAAUCUUUACGAUAAUUUUUUUGAGGGGCCGCUUCCAUGCAUCAAAUAUAUUCAAGCUCUCCAAAUUAAGGGUUCUUUACCUUAACGGUAAUAAACUUCUAGGUUCUCUUUCCAAUGAUAUAGGUUUGCUUUCUGAGCUUGAAAGCCUCGAUCUUAACUCCAAUUUUUUUGAGGGGCCGCUUCCGCCAAAUGUAUUCAAGCUCUCCAAACUAAAGAUUCUUUCCCUUUAUGAGAAUAACUUUUCAGGUUUUAUUUCUAAGGAUAUAGGUUUGCUUUCUGGACUUGAAACCCUCUAUCUUGACUCUAAUUUUUUUGAGGGUCCGCUUCCCCCACAUAUAUUUAGGCUGUCCAAAUUAAGAGAUCUGGACCUCUCAUACAGUAGAAAUUUAUUUGAAGGAAGUAUUCCUAUUGGACUGGGACUCUUGACUAACCUCAGGUACUUAGAUCUAUAUUCCAAUAAUCUCAGUGGCUAUAUUCCAUCUGACAUUGGAAACCUGAAGCUACUAGAAGGUCUUAUUCUCGGUUCUAAUAAAUUGACUGGACCAGUUUCAAAGAUCAUUUCUAAUCUCACAAAUCUUAUAUAUCUUGAUGUAAGUGAUAAUAGUCUUAGUGGAAAUAUUCAGAGUGACUUGUGGAAAUAUAACGAUCAUCCAACUUUGGAAUACAUCAAUUUAAGUGGGAACCAUUUUACGGGUAUAGUUUUUCUCUAUAGAUCUUUUCCUUUUCUCAUAUGUAACUAAGCUGGUAAUCUGAUUAUUGCAGUUUUACCAAAGUUUCAACAAUCUUGACAGGUGAGCUUCCAACAACAAUUUGCAAUGUCACUUCCCUUUCGGUUCUUGAUUUGUCAAAUAAUGCGUUAAGUGGUGCACUUCCAAACUGUUUCGGGAAUCUUGCUGAUGGAUUGCUUUACAUUAAUCUUGCUCAUAAUCAGUUUCGAGGAACAAUACCAACUACUUUCUCCAGGAGUUGUCAGCUGACAUAUCUGAACAUGGAUGAUAAUGAGUUUGAAGGAUUGAUGCCCCCAUCUUUGGCGAACUGUAAGCACUUGAAAAUUUUUGAUAUUGGCAAUAAUAAAAUAGGUGGUACAUUUCCGUCAUGGCUUUAUGUACUUGGAGAGCUAGAAGUCCUUGUCUUGAAAUCAAAUAAACUCUAUGGUACAAUAAGUGGAAGGAGCAGUGAAGAUCCCUUCCCCAAGUUGCGGAUUGUGGAUCUGUCCAACAAUCAAUUCACAGGCCAUUUGCCAAUUCAAUACUUUAAGAAUAUGAAAUCAACUGAUAAUUUGUAUCGUUAUCAGAAUGACACAAGAGUUUUUUCUUUCCAUUAUGAAGCAGCAGUCUCAUUAACUGUGAAGGGAACAGAGUAUGAAGUGAAAAAAAUCCUUCAUAUUUACACAACCAUUGAUCUGUCCUGCAACAAAUUUCAAGGAGAAAUUCCAGACGUUAUUGGAGAGCUUAGAUGGCUUGCAUUGCUCAACUUAUCUCAUAAUAGUCUAACAGGACCUAUCCCAUCAUUGCUGAGGAAUAUGAAAGAACUCCAAUCUUUAGAUUUGUCUUCAAAUCAACUGACAGGGGCUAUUCCACCUCAGUUAACUGCAUUGACAUAUCUAGAGGUCUUGAACCUCUCGGGAAACCAUCUUAGUGGAGAGAUUCCUCAGAAAGGACAGUUCAGCACAUUCAACAAUGAUUCUUAUCUUGGAAACUCCGCGUUAUGUGGAUCACCUUUGACGAAGAAAUGUGCAAACACAGCAUCACCUCCACAAGAAGUCGGAAAUGGUGAUGAAGAUGAUGCUGGUGAUGAAUUGACAUGGGAAGCAAUCGUGAUGGGAUAUGGAUGUGGACUGAUAUGUGGAUUGUCAUCUGCAUACAUUGUUCUCAAACUAGGAAAGCCUUGGUGGUUUGUGAGAUAUGUCGAAGUACUGCAACUGAAGUUGAUGAAAAGAUAUGCUUGAAGAAUGGUACUGGCCGAUCAAGACGAACUUGAAAGUUGUUGUCCUUGUGCAUUUCUGAACCAGUUGUGUACUAUUCUCUUUGUGGCUGCAUAAGUAUUUGGUAUUGUGUAAUAUUCUGUUUGGUCUUGAAUCAUAAUGAUUCUUCUUGCUCCAGGGUUAUUAAUAUAAACCUUGGUAUUGUGUGCUAGCUGUAAUAUUCUGUUUGAUCAAUGUUUAUACCAGUAAUUUUAUGCUCCACAGUGCAUCAUGCAGCUCUCAUAUUAUCUCUAUGAUUAACCUGAAUUCAGUUUCAUUUUGUUUCCGAAUCUCAACUACUUCAACUUGAGCUACAAUAGCUUCACUGGUCUAAUACCCCCAGAUAUUGAAAAUUUAACAGAGCUGCAAUACCUUGAUUUUAGCUCUAAUAAACUCACUGGUGCAAUUCCGGACCAGGUAAGCCAUCUUCAAACAUUGCGAACCUUAAACCUGUUGGAUAAUCACUUGGAAGCUCCAAACUGGUCCGCUUUUUCCCCUAUGCCUUCUCUGACAAACCUCUGUCUCAAUAAUAAUAAUCUUUCGUCGAAAUUCCCAGACUUCAUAUCAAAUUGUCGAAACCUGACUUACCUUGAUCUUUCAUUAAACUUGUUAACAGGUGAUUUGGUUCUUGGUAAUACGGAAUCGCUCUAUCACAGAAGUAAUUCUUUUGAGGGGUCAUUUCCACCAAAUAUAUUAAAACUUUCAAAAUUAAGAGUUCUUUCCCUAUCNCUUUCCCUAUCAUAUAAUAGAUUUUCAGGUUCUAUUCCGCAUGAUAUAGGAAUGCUUCGUGUUUUGGAAUCCCUUUUUUUUAGUAGCAGUUCUUUUGAUGGCCUGCUUUCACCAAAUUUAUUUAAGCUUCCAAAAUUAAAAGUUCUUUCCAUGUCAUUUAAUAACUUUUCGGGUUAUAUUCCAAAUGAAAUAGGAUUGCUUCAUGAUUUAGAGUCCCUUUAUUUUAAUGGAAAUUCUUUUGAGGCCGUUUCCACCAAAUAUAUUCAACCUUUCCAAAUUAAAAGUUCUUUACCUCUCAAAUAAUAACUUUUCAGGUUCUAUUCCUAAUGAUAUAAGUGUGCUUCGUGAUCUUGAGAUACUUGAUUUGUCCUCUAAUUCUUUUGAAGGGAUUAUUCCAUUGGAGCUGGGGUUCUUGAAUAAGCUGAGCUAUUUAUAUCUUGAUUCCAAUCAAUUGACUGGACCGCUUUUGAAGAACAUGUAUAAUCUCAGUAAUCUUAUUGAGAUCAACUUUAGUGGAAACCGCUUAACAGGUUUGCUAUUCAUUCUUGUUUUCUUCUUUAUGUAACUUCUUUAUGUAACUUCUUCAAUGCUGAUGAAAUGAUCACGAACCACAAUUUCACCAAAGCUCCUUUAAUUUCAACAGGUGAGUUUUCGACAGCAAUUUACAGAGAGAGAAUUACGAUGUUAUUAGGGAAAUCUAAAGAGAAGGUGCAGAGACCUCGGCAUAAUGAUCCUCCAACCUCUCAUUAACAAUGUCCAGGUUUCUUUAAAAGUAUUAAAUGUUAUUAACAUAGUACUUAAUGGUGUUAUAAAGAGAGUCGUGAUGUAACACUAUAUUUUGUUUACGAGAUAUUUUAAGUGUAAGAAGGUCCAUGCUGAGUUGUGAACAAUUAUUCUCACGUAUAUUAUCAAUGGUGAACAUCUUUAUUAGUAAGAUUGUGCUUUUUAGUUGGAUUGUGGUCCUUCUGUUGCUCCUUGGUAAGAUUUUUCGUCCUAGGUGGGAUUGUUAGGCACAAUGCCAGUCUAAUCAAGUUUGCGAAGGAAGUGUUAAAUACUAGAAUUAUUAAACCUGUAUAUAAAUUUAGAUGUCUGCACAGCGUUGUUACAUUGUCGAGUAGACAACUAAUUUUAAUCUGGUGGCAGGAAAUAGGGAAUCAAGAAGAAGAUGCAGCCAACAAUGAGAAGCUAGAGAAGCAAUUGAACUACUCGAACAAGAGCAAAAGCGGAUAGAAGCAGAACCAGAUGUUAAACUAGAGGCAAAAAAGAGAGCCUCCAACAGGCUUAUUUUAAGGUAAAUUACAAGAAAAGAAAGUCUGCCAUCAAUGUUAGACAAAAAGAUAUGCCGAUGCUCACAGAUAAUAAUAGUAGCAGGCGUACUUACUCUCUCUACAUAUAAUACUGUAACAAAGGUUUUCAAUGAGCCAAUUUAUUCCAACUAAGCAGGCACUAAGCAGCCACGUCAGAUCCACCUUAGCAAUCACUUUGCAUUUGUGAUGAUGAUCACAAUUAAAUCUUUAUCCCAAUGAUUUUUCUAUUAAUCUUUUGUGGAAUUCUAUGUCUGCAGAGAGAGCAAUACGUGUUGGUCAUGGUUUCUAUAAGUGAAGGUGAGACAACAAUGGUGUUCUCUUUGCCUCAAUUACACCCCUAAUUGCUGGCUAUUUGAGCUGCUGAAAGUUUAAUAAUGGCAAUCGUUUGUAGCUCGAAGAGAAUGAUGUAAGAAUUUAAUCUCAAUAGGAAGCUGUAGAACACAACAAUAUUGCAUAUAGAAGCCAUCCAGCUGCACACCCUGAUCACGGAGUUUUUGAGUCUUUAGAAUGCAAAAAUACAAUGCACAUGGGUAUGCCUACAAGUGGAGAUAUUUAGAAAACUGCUUCUUGUGCACAGUUAGUUAAAUAUUUACUAAUAAUAUAUCUUCAAUAACAACAUUACAGCUACAGUUCAGCAAUGAAUGAUCAUCAAAUGGCUUCUGCAGCACCGACACAGAAUGCCAGUGGACUAGUGGAGUAAUUCCAGGGGAUGCUCUGAUCAUAAAUUCUCGCUGGUGAAUUGAAGAAUUGAGCUUGAGCUAAGAAGGUGAUCUGCAUAUAAUCUUUAACCAUUUUCUGAUGGUACAAAUGUUGCUAUUUAAAAAAAUAAAGAUCAAAUAAACAAAUAUUACUUUACUAAUAUUUUACAUAGCUGCUGCUGUCGAAAACUGGAAACUUGUUGUGUAUUAUAAAAAUAGCAAGGAACUGAACUAAAUAAGCGAGGCAGGUAACUAUUGGAACAAACUGGCAUAUACCUUCUCUUUUCUUAUACUUCUUGCUUGGGGGCAAUAAGUCGUCUCUACCAUAAUAAAGUAAAAAGUAGUCAAAUUACAACUCCCUUGGGUUUCCGUUUGAAUUAGGACAUGUGUGGUGCACCAUACUCUCUUGUCAAAUAUUUUGAAGUUUUGCAUAUUGCAGUUUCACUUUUCAAAGAAACCUCUCUGUCAUUGCUAUAUUAGUAUGCGACUGUUAUUUGGAUUAGUUAUGAUCUGUAUCUAAAAUUAAUGGCACAGAUCUUGAUUUCUAGAACACCAGGUAAUAUUCUCAGAAACAGUGAUAUUCUGUUACAAAGUGAUUGUUGUCGACCAUCUUUACACAUUUUUCUUAUUAUUAAAAAAUAAAUUUUAUAAAAUAGAUUUUUAAAAUAUAGAUACUAUUGAUAUGGUCUUUAUAAUAGAUAUUAGAUAUUAAAAUUUUUAUUUAUAAAAAUUUAUGGAUGAGUUAUUGUAAUAACUGAUUGUCGAGAUCCUAGGUUCCUGGCUAAAUAGGAGUCCAUAUAUUUUGUUAUAAUAUAAUCAAAUAUCAAAACAUUCCUAGGAGGUCUAUAAGUUUAUAACGGUCCGAUAAAGGAAACAUGAAUAAAAUUGAUCAAAAUAUUUUGACCAUUUCAGGUGAUAAUGAUCAUAUAAUUUUCAUAUGACAGAACAAUAAGCCGUAGAGUUUGCUUAGGGGAUUAUGUAGGUUGCAGCAAGAUUUUCAAAAUAAAGCUGAUUUAUCAUUCAUAUAUUUUUUUGGUCCUCUUGGUUUAUGAGUGCUCUUUGUAUCUCUUGCUCUUAGCAUGCAUCCCCUCCCUUUAGUAAAUCAGCUUUGUGCUCAAUUACCUAAUUAUAGAUGAUGUUUCCUAAAUGGAAUAUUUCAAUUAAAUAUAUUAAUUGCUAAGCAACAGCCAAUAUGUUGUGUUGGUUAUUAAAUUAUUGUAGGCAUUUAUUCUUACAGAUGGUUUGGAGAUAAUUUCGAGCAAUCUAUGAGUUUGAAUAAUAUGUCUUAACAGUAUAUAGGGCCAUGAGGAGCUUGGCGCUGCCAGCUUGCGCUUGCGGGAAGAUGAAGAUUUUACGAGAUUUAAAAAUAUUGCAACUAUAGAGCUAGGAAGAUAAGAGAUUGGAAGUUGGUAAUUCUCCCCUUUCCCAUCAGAAUUCAAUGACUCUUUGAAACUGUACUUUCGUGAAUUUUGUCUUAAUUUCAUCAGGCGACCAGAACAACUUCAGAGACAUAUGGUGAGUUGUUGUCGAGUAUUUUGAAGAGUAUCGUUCGCAGGGAAGGAUUGAUAUCAAUACCAAUUUCAAGUCUUUUAUCUCUUAUGAUUCAGAAGUGUGGAGAAGAAUUUGGUGGGAUUUUCUAUCAACUAAUUAAUGUAAUAAGUAAAUAAAUAUAAUAAAUAUGAGAGAAAACAACCCAAGAAUUAGAGUUCUUCAAUCGCUAUCAUGAAUGUCUAAUUUGUGUCUCUUGUUUGCUAAAAACAAUCCUUCUAAUAUUAAUAAACUCCUCUCCCAAGGUAGAUUAUAAUGCUUACAAUUAUCCAUUAAAAGCCACUCCCAUGGUCAAUCAAAGAACACUUGUAAACUAUUAAGAACCAAGGAUUUUAAGUCUCACAAUUCUCAUAUCAAUCUCCCGAUCUAAUACUCAAAUUGUGUCCAUCAUAUCAUGUACUAGAAUUAUAACUCCUCUCCCGAUUCGUUAUAACUCCUAGAGAUUCAAUCACAAGUUAGCUACUCCUGUAAUUGUAUAAAGAGCUCAAUGACAGAUUAACAAAUCAAGAGAAAACACAAUCCAACUAAACAAACAUAUUAAGCCAAAGAAUACUACCUAACUCUUGGAUCAAAGGAUUAGCUACUCAUGAUAAGAUGAAACAAAUAUAUAUUUAUACCACAAACCAUGAGCGUAAGAAUUUAAAUACGAAGAAUACAACUUGACGAAAGAGCUUGAAGUCCGGAUGAAUCCCUUCACUCCUUCUUCCAAUAUCUCUCACAAGUGCUUCUCUCCCUUUUCUCUCUAAAAAAGCUAUCUCUAUAUUAUUCUAUAUGAUACAAAGUUAGUUGUCUCUAAUCUCUAUCAAAACCCUAAUAUAUAUAAGAGUUUUCUUAAUUUACAAGAAAAUAAAAUAAUAUCCUAAAACUAGUUGGAUUCUGAUGCUGAAAUUCGUAGGCUUCUGUUCAGGCCUGAUUCUGGGCUGAUCCAGUUGGAUUUUGACAUCUGGACCACCUUAAACUUGUAGAAAAUUCCUAUAUCUUCGCGUGGGCUGUUGAAUCGCCCAAUUCUGACAUCCAGAACUCAAGUUACGGCCCAAACAAGAUUUGCUUCGCUGGCUAUAUAUAAAGUCCGAAUUUCCAUCUAAUUAAGCCCAAAUAAGCUUGAUUUAAUCCAACUUUAGGAAUAUUUAUUUUCCUGCCACUAAACACUUAAAAUCAAUUAGUAAUAACCCGAUUAUUUACAAAAUACUAAAAUUAUGGGAAUAAAAUCAUAUAAAAACAUAUAUAAAUAUAUGCUCUAUCAUGAGUUUUGUGUCCUGCUUCUCAUUUCACAUACAUUGCCUUUUAAGAAGGGUGUUCUUAUAUAAUUUUGGAAGUGCUAUUGCUAAUUUGUUUCAGGUAAUAGCUGCACCGCAUAUAUAAAAUAUACAAAAAAUGUUUUUCCCGGCCUUCUUAAAAGUUUGAAUAAUAUUCCCCCUGUCUUGUGAUUGCAAACAAUAAUUGUUUUUGUAUCCAAGUACUUAAGCUUUUCCAUUAACUUUUUGGAUUUUGAACCAUGAUUGCCAAUGAGCAUUGAUAAUAUAGCCUAGGCCUCGGUCAUUUGAAUUUUUUGGAUAUUGUCUAAAGGCUUUCAAUGUAGUGAUUCUGUGACAACGUUGGACAAUAAUGUGUACAAGCUGGAUUCAGCAGAUUUCUAACAUGUGUUGAUUAUUACUAAUUAUGGAUUUACUGGUAUAGCAAGAAAUUACAGGCCCGAGGUCUUAAAGUUUGGGUGUCAUCACUUUUCUGGUCUACUUGCAAUCUUUUCUUCUUACUACCUCUUCUAGCAGUGUGUAGUUCCACUUUGCUAUUAAAUGAGCAAGUUAAUGACUGUUUAGGGGAUUGAGAUCUGACAAGUCUUGCUACUUUUGAUGGGUUUGAUAGGUUUGAUGAGUGCUUAAGUGAUAUUAAUCACCAAACUUAUGUAUAUGCAUUUUGAUGUGUUGAUUAUUUAGCAUAGUUGCUGCAUAACAAAUAUUAGUUAAAGGAUGAGAUCUUCUAAAAGAAGUCAGAAAUGUAAAAGCCAAUGUCAAAGUGGAUUUGAUCAAAAAGAGAUUCGCAUGCUGAUUAUUACUUUUUUGUGCAGAAAAAAUGUGAUCUCAAACAUCCCCUGGCAAUGAGAUAUAUCGCAGGGCACAUUGUCAAUGUUUUAGAUAUGUUUACAUGUUUAGCUGAUCUGCAAAUUCCUUUACGUCUUGGUUUCUGUCUCAUGUGAUUAUAUUCUCAGCGUUUGGAACUUGGAAUUGCAUAGCUUACCGCCAACACAAUUAUACAACUUCUUUUACUCAGUGAAUGAUGCUACACUUGAGACUUUCAUUAUGAUAUUUAUCUUGAGACACAUGUUCCCCAGUUUUAUAACUGGUAUAUUUGGCCUUGCUUUGUAUUUUUAAAUAUUACUGUUCAAUGGACUUAUACUAAACCCUUGCUUAUAAACAAGUACUCUUCAUCUGUUUGUUUGUUUAACUAUAUGACAUUUUACAUGUUUUUAUAGGUAGAUGGGAAAAAGAAUAAGGUUUAUGGGCAGAAUCUUUGUUAUCUGGAAAAAUUGUUUCUUGAUUACAAAACACUAUAUUAUAACGUCGAUUCACAAUAACUUAAUUGAUCAGCGCUCGGAGUCUCCUUUCUAAUCAAGGCUGUGGAGUGUGGAGGCCUAGGGCCUGAGCAUAUAAGGAUAUUCACAAUAAUUUUUUUUUUUUAUGAAUUUAUUUUCAUAGAUAUUUGUGUGUAGUUCCUUAAAUUGGGAAUACGGCUCGAGAGGAUAAGGGAUUGUUUGGUUGUUUAGUGUGAUUGGUAUUUUACUAGAUCAGAGAGUUUAUUACCACAAGCAUCCUAUGCAUUAACACUUGUCAGCAGCUGAAUUCCUGACAUAACACAUGAAUUCAGAAGACAUGACACAUGAAUUCAGUAUUUGGAAUUUGAUUGAAAUUCUGAAUGAUUUAUUGUUUACCAGAGGUUAUAACCACUACUUGUAUAUGGUAUCGGGUGUGUCCAUCUCCGGAAGAUCUAAUUGGCGUUAUAUGUUAAAUUUUCAAUAAAUAUCUCCGGAAGAUCUAAUUGGCGUUAUAUGUUAAAUUUUCAAUAAAUAUCUCCGGAAGAUCUAAUUGGCGUUAUAUGUUAAAUUUUCAAUAAAUAUCUGGAUGUGUAUUUUUGAUUAUCGAAAGAGUUCCCAUAUUAUUAUGUCGUUUUAUUUUCCUUCACUUUUGGCAGCCCCAAGUGAAAGUGAUGACUAUUGGUACUUGAGUUUUUUUGGCUGAAAUCACUAAUAUAAUUGUUACACUACAACAAAACUGGCAUCAGACAACACUAGUCACACAACGGACGCUGGAAAAAGUGUUGGCCGAAACAAAGACACAACACUUUAUUUUCGUCCUCGAAAAACUAUUGUCUAACACCUACGACCUACAACGGUUAAAAAACUGUUGUCUAAUAAAUUUAAUCAGACAACGGUCUCUUAACUGUGGUAUUGUGUAAUGAUGCACGUUAGACAACUGUUUUUAGAGCCGAUGUGUGAAGAAACUUCAGACAAUAUUCCGAGAAACCGUUGUUGUAAUGAGACAAGUGUUUUAUUUGUUGUGUUGUUUACGAAAAGAUCAGACAAGGGUUCCAUAGAGUGUUGUGUGACUGGGAAGCUAACAUACAAGUGUUUUUGUUAGCAUCGUAUCAUGGCCUUAUAGACAAGCCUUUAGCUAGUAAAACGUUGUCUGACUGAAUGACUUAUAAGAAAAUAAAUGUACAUAAAAGAGUGCAAACAUUCAAAAGUCCUAACCAAAGUUACAAAUAUAUAUUCAUUUUCUUAGUAGUCAUAGGCUUUUCUAGCAUUAGAUCAAGUAUUGAUCAAGGAAAUGCGAAUUUUUAACUCAUAAAAAUGAAAGUUUAUUAUACAACGGUUUUCUUCCCAUAAAUCGUUGUGUCAUUUUCAAUGAUACAACUUAGAUGCUUAUAAAAACCGUUGUGUGUUAGACACUACGGGACAAAAAAUACCUUUUUAUAAUAAGACAAAAUUUACAAUUAACAAGUAAUGUUAAAAAAACAUACAAAAUGAAUAUAAAAAAUUUAGAUUUUUUUUAUACAUGACUAAUAUUGUUAGUUCUCGACAUCCGUACGGUUAGAUCAUCGAAAAAAAUAUUUAAAAAUUAAUAUUAUGCUCAUCUUAUACAUAACAAAGAUUNNNNNNNNNNNNNNNNNNNNNNNNNNNNNNNNNNNNNNNNNNNNNNNNNNNNNNNNNNNNNNNNNNNNNNNNNNNNNNNNNNNNNNNNNNNNNNNNNNNNNNNNNNNNNNNNNNNNNNNNNNNNNNNNNNNNNNNNNNNNNNNNNNNNNNNNNNNNNNNNNNNNNNNNNNNNNNNNNNNNNNNNNNNNNNNNNNNNNNNNNNNNNNNNNNNNNNNNNNNNNNNNNNNNNNNNNNNNNNNNNNNNNNNNNNNNNNNNNNNNNNNNNNNNNNNNNNNNNNNNNNNNNNNNNNNNNNNNNNNNNNNNNNNNNNNNNNNNNNNNNNNNNNNNNNNNNNNNNNNNNNNNNNNNNNNNNNNNNNNNNNNNNNNNNNNNNNNNNNNNNNNNNNNNNNNNNNNNNNNNNNNNNNNNNNNNNNNNNNNNNNNNNNNNNNNNNNNNNNNNNNNNNNNNNNNNNNNNNNNNNNNNNNNNNNNNNNNNNNNNNNNNNNNNNNNNNNNNNNNNNNNNNNNNNNNNNNNNNNNNNNNNNNNNNNNNNNNNNNNNNNNNNNNNNNNNNNNNNNNNNNNNNNNNNNNNNNNNNNNNNNNNNNNNNNNNNNNNNNNNNNNNNNNNNNNNNNNNNNNNNNNNNNNNNNNNNNNNNNNNNNNNNNNNNNNNNNNNNNNNNNNNNNNNNNNNNNNNNNNNNNNNNNNNNNNNNNNNNNNNNNNNNNNNNNNNNNNNNNNNNNNNNNNNNNNNNNNNNNNNNNNNNNNNNNNNNNNNNNNNNNNNNNNNNNNNNNNNNNNNNNNNNNNNNNNNNNNNNNNNNNNNNNNNNNNNNNNNNNNNNNNNNNNNNNNNNNNNNNNNNNNNNNNNNNNNNNNNNNNNNNNNNNNNNNNNNNNNNNNNNNNNNNNNUUUUUUUAUACGUGACUAAUAUUGUUAGUUCUUGACAUCCGUACGGUUAGAUCAUUGAAAUAAAUAUUUAUGAAUUAAUACACAACUAAUUGAAUACAUAACAAAGAUUAUAUCUACUACUUUUUAAAUUGUAAACAUAAAACACAUACUAAUACAUGCGUCCGAAGUACAAAAUUGUCUCGGUUUUACACAUGAACAAUACAUAUUUGCAUAUAUACAUAACAUAAAUAUAUUUUUUUAAUACAAAGAGUGCAAAAACAAGAAUUAAUCAAGGAAAUGCGAAUUUUUAACUCAUAAAAAUUACCUUUUUAUAAUAAGAAAAAUUUUANACGAUUGACUAGUGUUGUUAAAAACCGUUGUCUGAUGCUGUUUUUGUUGUAGUGUUAUAUUAAAUUCUUGUGCUAAAACUUGUAUGGUUUGCCCCGCCCGCGGCUUCAAACAGCCAACAAGGUAAGCUAUUAUACUCAGGGGACCGAAAAAGGUAACAAAUGCAUAAACGAUUAGCUUUUCUUCUUUGCUGCAUAGUUUUUUUUUUUUUGUCAGGUUCUUUGCUGCAUAGUUAAUAACAAAUAACAUGAUCUCAAAAAAAAAAAAGAGGCGCGUACUAUGAAUGUAAAAAUAACAAUUUCAAUACUCUUUUUCACUAUAGAAAAACAAAAUUAUUGUGCUAGAUCUUUGCCCGUGCCUUGCACGGGCUUUAAAGCUAGUUUUUUAUUAAUAUGUGAAACUCCAAUAUAUAUUAUUAUACGAUAUAUUAUGAAAACACUAUGUUUUGUAAUGUUCAUCUUAUCCUACCAGAAAAAUUACAUCGCUAACAAAAUUAUAUCAAUUUUAUUUUAUAAACUCAAAUAAUUUAAUUUAUGAAACAACUCUAUGAGAUUCUUAUCAUGAGUUAGAAUUCAAAUAAAUAAAGAGUUCAUAUUGAUAAGUGGAAUUGAUGUGCAAGUAAGGGGUAUAAAAAAAUCUCAAAAUAACUCCAAAAAGCACAUGACAUGUUUGAUUUGAUAGAACUGGUACAUAAACAGGGGGACCAUUAUAUUUAUAAGCAAGUGACCAACAAUAGUUUACUACUGAUAUUUUGUGAUAUUUUUUGUGAUAUUUUUUGAGACCUUUAACAUUAUUCUGUGAAGUGGUAUACUACUGUUACUAGUUCUGAAACUUCAAACAAAGUAGGCGCAACAUUGUAAGAGUGAUUAAUAAAGUUGAGAAACAGUGUGUACAUUGAGCAGUAUGACAAUCAGGUUCAGCAUAUAAUACAAUCAGAUUCACAAUCAGGUUCACGAGAAACAUGCUGCAUUCCAAAAAGCCUUAUUAUCUUCUUCACUAAAUAACAAGGCAAAUACAGCAUAUAAAUACAAGUUAUAAGUACAAGUGUGGUAUUAGAUUCAUAACCCAGUUGAGGAGAAACAUGGCACACUUUGUAAGGCCUUCUCACCUUCUUCUCUUUGUUUUCUUUCUCUCAUCACUCGAAUCCAUUCUUGCAACAAGACAAGAGGGGGAAGCUCUUGUGAAGUGGAAGAAUAGCCUAGCCCCUUCUUCUUUUCUCCACUCUUGGUCACUCACCAAUCUCGAAAAUCUUUGUAAAUGGACUGGCAUUACUUGUAACUCUGCAGGUUCAGUCUCUGAGAUUAACCUUUGUGAGAAACAACUUGAUGGAAUGCUGUCCGAGUUCGGUUUCACUUCAUUUCCAAAUCUCAAGAAUCUCACCCUGGCAGACAACUUCUUCUCAGGUCCAAUACCACCAGCCAUUGAGAAUUUAACACAGCUUCAAUAUCUUGAUUUAAGCAUGAAUAGUCUUAAUGGUCCCAUUCCGUUCCAGGUUAGCCAUCUUCAGAGCUUGCUCAUCUUGAACCUGUCACAGAAUGCAUUGCAAGCUCCAAAUUGGUCCCAUUUCUCUCCCAUGCCUUUCUUGCGCAUCCUCGACCUUAGUUUUAAUAAUCUUGUGUCGAAAUUCCCAGAAUUUAUAUCCAAUUCUCAUAGCCUGACUCACCUUAACCUUUCAAAUAACAAGUUUACUGGUCAUCUUGUGCAUAAAUUUACCAAUCUACAAAAUCUUGAAACCCUCUACCUUCAGAUCAAUUCUUUUGAGGGGCCGUUUCCACCAGAUAUAGUCCAGCUUUCCAAAUUAAAACGACUCUCCCUGUCAUGUAACAAAUUUUCAGGUUCAAUUCCCAAUGACGUAAGGUUGCUUUUUGGUCUUGAAUCCCUAAAUUUAGGCAACAAUUCCUUUGAAGGACCGCUUCCACCAGAUAUAUUCAAGCUUUCAAAGUUAAAACGACUUGUUCUUUGGAGUAAUAAGUUUUCAGGUUCUGUUUCCAAUGAUAUAGGUUUGCUUUCUGAGCUUGAAACCCUCCAUCUUUACUCUAAUUUUUUUGAGGGGCCACUUCCGCCAAAUUUAUUCAAGCUCUCCAAACUAAAAGAUCUCACCCUGUCAAGUAACAAAUUUUCAGGUUCAAUUCACAAUGAUAUAAGGUUACUUUGUGAUCUUGAAGACCUAUAUUUAGCUAACAAUUCCUUUGAAGGACCGCUUCCACCAGAUAUAUUCAAGCUUUCAAGAUUAAAACGUCUUUUUCUUUAGAGUAAUAAGUUUUCAGGUUCUGUUUCCAAUGAUAUAGGUUUGCUUUCUGAGCUUGAAAGCCUCGAUCUUAACUCCAAUUUUUUUGAGGGGCCGCUUCCGCCAAAUGUAUUCAAGCUCUCCAAACUAAAGAUUCUUUCCCUUUAUGAGAAUAACUUUUCAGGUUUUAUUUCUAAGGAUAUAGGUUUGCUUUCUGGACUUGAAACCCUCUAUCUUGACUCUAAUUUUUUUGAGGGUCCGCUUCCCCCACAUAUAUUUAGGCUGUCCAAAUUAAGAGAUCUGGACCUCUCAUACAGUAGAAAUUUAUUUGAAGGAAGUAUUCCUAUUGGACUGGGACUCUUGACUAACCUCAGGUACUUAGAUCUAUAUUCCAAUAAUCUCAGUGGCUAUAUUCCAUCUGACAUUGGAAACCUGAAGCUACUAGAAGGUCUUAUUCUCGGUUCUAAUAAAUUGACUGGACCAGUUUCAAAGAUCAUUUCUAAUCUCACAAAUCUUAUAUAUCUUGAUGUAAGUGAUAAUAGUCUUAGUGGAAAUAUUCAGAGUGACUUGUGGAAAUAUAACGAUCAUCCAACUUUGGAAUACAUCAAUUUAAGUGGGAACCAUUUUACGGGUAUAGUUUUUCUCUAUAGAUCUUUUCCUUUUCUCAUAUGUAACUAAGCUGGUAAUCUGAUUAUUGCAGUUUUACCAAAGUUUCAACAAUCUUGACAGGUGAGCUUCCAACAACAAUUUGCAAUGUCACUUCCCUUUCGGUUCUUGAUUUGUCAAAUAAUGCGUUAAGUGGUGCACUUCCAAACUGUUUCGGGAAUCUUGCUGAUGGAUUGCUUUACAUUAAUCUUGCUAAUAAUCAGUUUCGAGGAACAAUACCAACUACUUUCUCCAGGAGUUGUCAGCUGACAUAUCUAAACAUGGAUAAUAAUGAGUUUGAAGGAUUGGUGCCCCCAUCUUUGGCGAACUGCAAGCACUUGAAAAUUCUUGAUAUUGGCAAUAAUAAAAUAGGUGGUACAUUCCCGUCAUGGCUUUAUGUACUUGGAGAGCUAGAAGUCCUUGUCUUGCGAUCAAAUAAACUCUAUGGUACAAUAAGUGGAAGGAGCAUAGAAGAUCCCUUCCCCAAGUUGCGGAUUGUGGAUCUGUCCGAUAAUCAAUUCACAGGCCAUUUGCCAAUUCAAUACUUUAAGAAUAUGAAAUCAACUGAUAAUAUGUAUAAUUAUCUGAAUUCCACAGGAGGAAUAUAUUUCACUUAUGAAGCAGCAGUCUCAUUAACUGUGAAGGGAACAGAGUAUGAAGUGACAAAUAACCUUCAUAUUUACACAGCUAUUGAUCUGUCGUGCAACAAAUUUCAGGGUGAAAUUCCAAAAAUUAUUGGAGAGCUUAGAUGGCUUGCAUUGCUCAAUUUAUCGCAUAAUAGUCUGACAGGACAUAUCCCAUCAUUUCUGAGAAAUAUGAAAGAACUCCAAUCUUUAGAUUUGUCCUCAAAUCAACUGACAGGGGCCAUUCCACCUCAGUUAACUGCAUUGACAUUUCUAAAGGUCUUAAAUCUCUCGAAAAACCAUCUCAGUGGAGAGAUUCCUCAGGAAGGACAGUUCAGCACAUUCAACAAUGAUUCUUAUCUAGGAAACUCCGCGUUAUGUGGAUUACGUCUGACAAAGAAAUGUGCAAACACAGCAGGGAUUCCUCAGAAAGGACAGUUCAGCACAUUCAACAAUGAUUCUUAUAUAGGAAACUCCGCGUUAUGUGGAUCACCUUUGACGAAGAGAUGUGCAAACACAGCAUCACCUCCACAACAAGUCGGAAAUGGUGAUGAAGAUGAUGCGGGAGAUGAAUUGAGAUGGGAAGCAAUCGUGAUGGGAUAUGGAUGUGGACUGAUAUGUGGAUUGUCAUCUGCGUACAUUGUUCUCAAACUAGGAAGGCCUUGGUGGGUUGUGAGAUAUGUCGAAGUACUGCAACUGAAGUUGAUGAAAAGAUAUGCUUGAAGAAUGGAACUGGCCGAUCAAAACGAACUCGAAAGCAGUUGUCCUUGUGGACAUUUCUGAACCAGUAGUGUACUAGCUGCAUAAGUAUUUGGUAUUAUGUAAUAAUCCACAUAUUCAAUAUCACACUCUUCCUGUGAGGAAACAAAUAUGGAGAAACAUUUCUAUUUACAAAACUUUUACCAUUAUACACUCUUAUAGUACUGGUUAAUAGUUUGUUGUUCAGCCUAGUCCUAAACUGAAAUUAUCAGUUCUAUGUGAGUAUGCUUUCAAAUAAGAAUUAGGUGAUCUGCCUAGUCCAAAACUACUCUAAUACUAUAUCGCUGGUAGUCUUUCAGUUCAUCCUAUUGUAUACAAUAGUUUCUUCCUUUGACACAAAAAUGUCUGCAGUCAGUGUCACCACCACAGGAAGUCGAAAAUGGUGAUGAAGAUUGAUUUGCGGAUUGUCUUAUGGGUACAUUUUUUUCAAAAAAGGAAGGCCUUGGUGGUUUGUGAGAUACAUCGAAGUGCUGCAACUUAAGUUGAUGUUACCAAGAAUGAAAAAUAUUGUUCGACCAAGAUCAACAACUUGAAAAUGUGUUCUGAAUCUGUAAUAAUAUUAAAAUAUUAAAAUAUUAUUCAUUUAACAAUAUCGUCCAAUCAAUUUAAUUGAUUAUCAUUUAAUCAAUAUAUAUAGAUGGAUAUUAAUUGUCUUCCCUAGCUCCAACCAAUGAUGAAAUAACCUCCCUAUAAAUCUAUUGAGUCAAAAUUGCAAACAACACUUUCAAAACAUAGGUGCCGAAUAGUCCUUAUUUUAAAUUAAUCAGAAUUGAAUAUUUGAUGGCGCUAAAAAAAUCUGUUGAAAUUAGCAGUUUAUAAGGCAUAUAAAUAGAAGUGUGCGUUACUUUAAGGAUUCAUGAUCAAGUUGAGGAGAAAUAUGCACAGUAUAUAAAGCCUCAUCAUCUUUUUCUCUUUGUUUUCUUUCUCUCAUUACUCCCAUCCAUUCUUACAACACUAGCUGAAACAAGACGAGAGGGAGAAGCUCUUGUGAAAUGGAAGAAUAGCCUAGCCCCUUCUUCUUUUCUCGACUCUUGGUCCCUCACCAAUCUCGAUAAUCUUUGUAACUGGACUGGCAUUACUUGUAACUCUGCAGGUUCAGUCUCUAAGAUUAACCUUUUUGAGAAACAACUUGAUGGAAUGUUGUCCGAGUUUGGUUUCACCUCAUUUCCACAUCUCAACAAUCUCACCCUUGCAGACAACUACUUCUCGGGUCCGAUACCACCAGCCAUUGAGAAUUUAACACAGCUUCAAUUUCUUGAUUUGAGCAAUAAUUAUCUAGAUGGUCCCAUUCCUUUCCAGGUUAGCAAUCUUCAGAGGUUGCUCAUCUUAAACCUGUCACAGAAUGCAUUGCAAGCUCCAAAUUGGUCCCAUUUCUCUCCCAUGCCUUUUUUGCGCAUCCUCAACCUCAGUAGCAAUCCUCUAGCGUCGAAAUUCCCAAAUUUCAUAUCCAAUUCUCAUGGCCUGACUCACCUUAGCCUUAAUUAUAACGAGUUUACUGGUGAUUUAGUACGUGAAUCAAUAUUUGCCAAUCUGCAUAAUCUUGAAGUCCUCGGUCUUGUUGACAAUUCUUUUGAGGGGCCAUUUCCCCCGGAUAUAUUCAGGCUCUCCAAAUUAAAACGUCUCUCCCUGUCAGGUAACAAAUUUUCAGGUUCAGUUCCCAAUGACAUAAGGUUGCUUUGUGAUCUUCAAUCUCUAUAUUUAGCUAACAAUUCCUUUGAAGGACCGCUUCCACCAAAUAUAUUCAAGCUUGCAAAAUUAAAAGAUCUUGCUCUUUGGGGUAAUAAGUUUUCAGGUUCUGUUUCCAAUGAUAUAGGUUUGCUUUCUGUGCUUGAAAUUCUCAAUAUUCACUCUAAUUUUUUUGAGGGGCCCCUUCCGCCAAAUAUAUUCAAGCUCUCCAAAAUAAGGUUUCUUUACCUCGGGGGUAAUAACUUUUCUGGUUCCGUUUCCAAUGAGAUAGGUUUGCUUUCUGAGCUUGAAUCCCUAUAUCUUGGUUCUAAUGUUUUUGAGGGGCCGCUUCCACCAAAUAUAUUCAAGCUUUCCAAAUUAAAAUGGCUUGACCUCGCAGACAAUAGAAAUUUAUUUGAAGGAAGUAUUCCUAUUGGACUGGGACUCUUGACUAACCUCAGCUACUUAGAUCUAAGUUCCAGUAAUCUCAGUGGCUAUAUUCCAUCUGUCAUUGCAAACCUGAAGCUACUAGUAUUUCUUGAUCUCAGUUCUAAUCAAUUGACUGGACCACUUUCGAAGAUCGUUUCUAAUCUCACAAAUCUUAUACUUCUUGGUGUGGAUUAUAAUAGUCUUAGUGGAAAUAUUCAGAGUGAUUUGUGGAAGAACUCUAUAUCCUUACGUUACAUUGAUUUUGAAAAUAAUUAUUUUUCUGGAAACAUUCCUGAGGAAUAUAACGAUCAUCCAACUUUGGAAUACAUCAAUUUAAGUGGGAACUAUUUUACAGGUAUAUUUUCUUAAUAUAUCUUUUCCUUUUGUCAUAUAUAUGUAACUAAGCUAGUAAUCUGAUUAUUGCAGUUUUACCAAAGUUUCAACAAUCUUGACAGGUGAGCUUCCAACAACAAUUUGCAAUGUCACCUCCCUUUCGGUUCUUGUUUUGUCAAAUAAUAAAUUAAGUGGUGCACUUCCAAACUGUUUCGGGAAUCUUGCUGAUGGAUUGCUUUACAUUAAUCUUGCUAAUAAUCAGUUUCAAGGAACAAUACCAACUACUUUCUCCAGGAGUUGUCAGUUGACAUAUCUAAACAUGGUUAAUAAUGAGUUUGAAGGAUUGAUGCCCCCAUCUUUAGCGAACUGUAAGCACUUGAAAAUUCUUGAUAUAGGCAAUAAUAAAAUAGGUGGUACAUUUCCGUCAUGGCUUUAUGCACUUGGAGAGCUAGAAGUUCUUGUCUUGCGAUCAAAUAAACUCUAUGGUACAAUAAGUGGAAGGAGCAUAGAAGAUCCCUUCCCCAAGUUGCGGAUUGUGGAUCUGUCCAACAAUCAAUUCACAGGCCAUUUGCCAAUUCAAUACUUUAAGAAUAUGAAAUCAAAUGAUAAUUUGUAUCGUUAUCUGAAUUCCACAGGAGAAAUAUAUAUCUCUUAUGAAGCAGCAGUCUCAUUAACUGUGAAGGGAACAGAGUAUGAAGUAGCAAAGAACCUUCAUAUUUACACAGCCAUUGAUCUGUCGUGCAACAAAUUUCAGGGAGAAAUUCCAAAGGUUACCGGAGAGCUUAGAUGGCUUGCAUUGCUCAAUUUAUCUCAUAAUAGUCUAACAGGACCUAUCCCAUCAUUGCUGGGAAAUAUGAAAGAACUCCAAUCUUUAGAUUUGUCCUCAAAUCAACUGACAGGGGCUAUUCCACCUCAGCUAACUGCAUUGACAUUUCUAGAGGUCUUGAACCUCUCGGGAAACCAUCUUAGUGGAGAGAUUCCUCAGAAAGGACAGUUCAGCACAUUCAACAAUGAUUCUUAUCUAGGAAACUCCGCGUUAUGUGGAUCACCUUUGACGAAGAAAUGUGGAAACACUGUAUCACCUCCACAGGAAGUCGGAAAUGGUGAUGAAGAUGAUGCGGGUGAUGAAUGGACAUGGGAAGCAAUCGUGAUGGGAUAUGGAUGUGGACUGAUAUGUGGAUUGUCAUCUGCGUACAUUGUUCUCAAACUAGGAAAGCCUUGGUGGUUUGUGAGAUAUAUCGAAGUACUGCAACAGAAGUUGAUGAAAAGAUAUGCAUGAAGAAAGGUACUGGUAGAUCAAGAUGAAAAGAUAUGAAGAAGUAUUUGGUAUUAUGUAAUAAUCCGUUUGGUCGGGACUCAAAAUGAUUUCUCUUGCUUCAGGGGUAUUAAUAUUAACCUUGCUAUCUUGUUCAAUGUUAAUGCAAAUUAAAAAGAAUAUAAAAGCAAAAAAUUUGCAUCAAACACCUGUUGUACCAACAUGCAUCCAUUAAUUUGCUUUCAUCUAUUAAGUAACAAUUUAAGAGCGCUUCCACUCUGUUUAAGCAUGGAGAUUACACAAAGAAGGCAAGUCCAUGGAUUAACACGUAGUCCACAUCUAUGCUACGAACAAUUCACAUUGAUCUUAUAUCUGUUCAACAGUCUCCCGAAGAUAGGCCAUAAAUGUCAUCUGUGGCUCUUAUGUUUGUCAGUAAAGGAGAAUCUCUGAUGCCUAUAACCUGGUUUUCUUACAAGAUGCCCAGGUUAUCAUGGCCAUGCAGAAAAAUGCCCAAAAAUGAAUAGCUCAGGUCUCCCCAAGCCUUCCAGGACUCAUUCCAAGUCUUCGGAGGACCACUGCCUCCCCCUUUCAAAGAUGUGAUUGUAGCUCGAAAGUGAUAUAAAUUAUUUUCCCCACAUUAAAAAUAAAAAAUCAGAUUAAAUUAAUCAAUAAUAAAUUAAGGAUGAAAUCCAAAUUAAUCCUAAAUUUUGAUAAUAUAUAAAAAUUAUAAUUAUAAAUUAUAUAACCAAAUCAGAAUUGAAUUAACUUACUUGGCACUAGAAUUGCUAAAGACAGUAUAAUAAUUUAAUUGAUGAAAAGUCAAAGUCUUCUAAUAAAUCCAUAAAGAAUAUGAUAAUAUGAAAAUUAUAAUUGAAAAAUCAAAAUCAAUAGUGUAUUGGAAUAGUGUUCACACACUUAUAUAUCAAAAUUUGUGGUCCAAAAACUAUAGCACAAUAUCCUAAAUACAUCACAUUAAAUAAUAGCACAAAAAUAUUCAAUAAAUAAUUGAUUUCAUUCAUAAAUUUGUUAUUUUAAAAACUAAUAAUUUGGUUGAUGUUAACCUAUAUUUUAUAUAUAAUUUCGUCUUAUUUUAUUUUACUAGAAACAAUAUUUUUAUAAUAUUUAUUACAUUAAAUAUAUUAAAAGAUAUAAUUUUAUUAAAAAAAUUGAAUAAAAUUAAAAGGAUAAGUCUCGGCCUCUCCAAGUCUACAAGACUCAUUUCAAGUCCACCGAGGGCCUCAACCAUUGAGAGAUGUGAAAGUAGCUUGAGAGUGAUAUAAAUUAAUUAAAUUAGUUAAUAAUGAAUCAAGACUAAUCAUGAAUUAUGAUAAUAAUUAAAUAAAUUAUAAAAUUAAAUUAUACAAAUAACACUAAACCUUAGUUACUUUAUUGGUAAAAUAAAUAUAAUAUAAUAAUUAAAUUGAUGAAAAAUCAAAAUCAUCUAAUAAAUUCACAAAAAAUAUAUGAUCAUUAGUAUAUUAUAUUAGUAUCCACACACUUAUAUUUCAAAUCUAUCCUCCAAAAUUAUCAUCUCGAUAAACUAGCCGCAUAAAAUAAAAAUUUAACGAUAUUAGAUAUUUAGCUAUUUUCAUUAUAUAAUUUUUCCACACUAAAUAACAAAAUAUCUUUAUCAAAUUAUUAUUUAUGAAUUAAAUAUUCAAGUUAUAAUUCCAGCAUGCAGCGUAUAAAUAGAAGUGUGCAGUAUGAUAUCAGAUUCAUAACCCAGUUGAGGAGAAACAUGGCACACUCUGUAAAGCCUUCUCACCUUCUUCUCUUUGUUUUCUAUCUCUCUUAACUUGAAUACAUUCUUGCAACAACACAAGAGGGAGAAGCUCUUGUGAAAUGGAAGAAUAGCCUAGCCCCUUCUUCUUUUCUCGACUCUUGGUCACUCACCAAUCUCGAUGAUCUUUGUAACUGGACUGGCAUCACUUGUAACUCUGCAGGUUCAGUCUCUCAGAUCAACCUUUUCGAAAAACAACUUGAUGGAAUGCUGUCCGAGUUUGGUUUCACUUCAUUUCCGAAUCUCAACAAUCUCACCCUCGCAUACAACUUCUUCUCGGGUCCGAUACCACCGGCCAUUGAGAAUUUAACACAGCUUCGGUAUCUUGAUUUAAGCUUUAAUUCUCUCCAUGGUCCCAUUCCGUUCCAGGUUAGCCAUCUUCAGAGCUUGCUCAUCUUAAACCUGUCACAGAAUGCAUUGCAAGCUCCAAAUUGGUCCCAUUUCUCUCCCAUGCCUUUUUUGCGCAUCCUCAACCUCAUUAGCAAUCCUCUUGCGUCGAAAUUCCCAAAUUUUAUAUCCAACUCUCAUAGCCUGACUCACCUUAGCCUUAAUUUUAAUGAGUUUACUGGUGAUUUAGUACGUGAAUCAGUAUUUGCCAAUCUGCAUAAUCUUGAAUUGCUCAGUCUCGUUGAAAAUUCUUUUGAGGGGCCAUUUCCGCCGGAUAUAUUCAGGCUUUCCAAAUUAAAACAUCUUCACCUGUCAAGUAACAAAUUUUCAGGUUCAAUUUCCAAUGACAUAAGGUUGCUUUGUGAUCUUGAAUCCCUAUAUUUAGGCAACAAUUCCUUCGAAGGACCCCUUCCAUCAAAUAUAUUCAAGCUUUCAAAAUUAAAAAAUCUUGUUAUUGGGAGUAAUAAGUUUUCGGGUUCUGUUUCCAACGAUAUAGGUUUGCUUUCUGAGCUUGAAAGCCUCUAUCUUGACUCCAAUUUUUUUGAGGGGCCGCUUCCGUCAAAUAUAUUCAAGCUCUCCAAAUUAAGGAUUCUUUCCCUUUGGCAUAAUAACUUUUCAGGUUCUAUUUCUAAGGAUAUAGGUUUGCUUUCUGGACUUGAAACCCUCUUUCUUGACUCUAAUUUUUUUGAGGGUCCGCUUCCCCCGCAUAUAUUUAGGCUCUCCAAAUUAAGAGAUCUGGGUCUCUCAGACAAUAGAAAUUUAUUUGAAGGGAGUAUUCCUAUUGGACUGGGACUCUUGACUAACCUCAGGUACUUAGAUCUAUAUUCCAAUAAUCUCGGUGGUUAUAUUCCAUCUGACAUUGGAAACCUGAAGCUACUAGAAGUUCUUGAUCUCAGUUCUAAUCAAUUGACUGGACCGCUUUUAAAGAUUGUUUCUAAUCUCACAAAUCUUAUGUUUCUUGAUGUAAGACAAAAUAGUCUUAGUGGAAAUAUUCAGAGUGACUUGUGGAAAUAUAACGAUCAUCCAACUUUGGAAUUCAUCAAUUUAAGUGGGAACCAUUUUACGGGUAUAGUUUUUCUCUAUAAAUCUUUUCUUUUGUCAUAUGUAACUAAGCUAGUAAUCUGAUUAAUUGCAGUUUUACCAAAGUUUCAACAAUCUUGACAGGUGAGCUUCCAACAACAAUUUGCAAUGUCACUUCCCUUUCAAUUCUUGAUUUGUCAAAUAAUGGAUUAAGUGGUGCACUUCCAAACUGUUUCGGGAAUCUUGCAGAUAGAUUGCUUUUCAUUAAUCUUGCUAAUAAUCAGUUUCGAGGAACAAUACCAACUACUUUAUCCAAAAGUUGUCAGCUGACAUGUCUAAACAUGGAUAAUAAUGAGUUUGAAGGAUUGUUACCCCCAUCUUUGGCGAACUGUAAGCACUUGAGAAUUCUUGAUAUUGGCAACAAUAAAAUAGGUGGCACAUUUCCGUCAUUGCUUUAUGUACUUGGAGAGCUAGAAGUCCUUGUCUUGCGAUCAAAUAAACUCUGCGGUACAAUAAGUGCAAGGAGCAUAGAAGAUCCCUUCCCCAAGUUGCGGAUUGUGGAUCUGUCCAACAAUCAGUUCACAGGCCAUUUGCCAAUUCAAUACUUCAAGAAUAUGAAAUCAACUGAUAAUUUGUAUUGGUAUCGUAUUUCCACAGGAGAAUUAUUUUUCCAAUAUGAAGCAGCAGUCUCAUUAACUGUGAAGGGAAGAGAGUAUGAAGUAGCAAAUAACCUUCAUAUUUACACAGCCAUUGAUCUGUCGUGCAACAAAUUUCAGGGAGAAAUUCCAACGGUUACUGGAGAGCUUAGAUGGCUUGCAUUGCUCAAUUUAUCUCAUAAUAGUCUAACAGGACCUAUCCCAUCAUUGCUGAGAAAUAUGAAAGAACUCCAAUCUUUAGAUUUGUCCUCGAAUCAACUGACAGGGGCUAUUCCACCUCAGUUAUCUGCAUUGACAUUUCUAGAGGUCUUGAACCUCUCGAAAAACCAUCUUAGUGGAGAGAUUCCUCAGAAAGGACAGUUCAGCACAUUCAACAAUGAUUCUUAUCUAGGAAACUCCGCGUUAUGUGGAUCACCUUUGACGAAGAAAUGUGCAAACACAGCAUCACCUCCACAAGAAGUCGGAAAUGGUGAUGAAGAUGAUGCUGGAGAUGAAUUGACAUGGGAAGCAAUCGUGAUGGGAUAUGGAUGUGGACUGAUAUGUGGUUUGUGAGAUAUAUCGAAGUACUGCAACAGAAGUUGAUGAAAAGAUAUGCAUGAAGAAUGAUACUGGCCGAUCAAGACGAACUUGAAAGUUUGUUGUCCUUGUGGACAUUUCAGCUGAACCAGUAGUGUACUAUUCUCUUUGUGACUGCAUAAGUAUUUUGUAUUGUGUAAUGUUCUGUUUGGGCUUAAAUCAUAAUGAUUUUUCUUGCUUCAGGGGUAUUAAUAUAAAACCGUUUGGUCGGGACUCAUAAUGAUUUCUCUUGCUUCAGGGGUAUUAAUAUCAUCCUUGCUAUCUUGAACAAUGAUAAUGCAAAUUAAAAAGAAUGAAAAAACAAAAAUAUUGCAUCAAACACCUGUUGUACCAAGAUCCAUUAAUUUGCUUUCAUCUCUUACGCAACAAUUUAACAGCACUUCCACACUGUUUGAAAGAUUAUCAUAAAUUCGAGUUUUCCUCUCCAGCACCAAAUCCAAAUUAAUAUACAAUGCCACACAUUCCAGUCUCAGCUUCAGCUCCCAGGGUAGCAUUCAUUUAGCCAAGCACGACAGUGGCCGCUUACGUGCCUAACAAUAACAGUUGGGGAUUUGAGUGAACUUGCCUUGGUCCUGCCUUCAAAUGUCUGACAAUAACAGUUGGAUAUGUCGACAAAAAAAUUGUUCCUCACAGAGGAGCUAAUAGCAAUUGACUUCGAAUAAAUCCGACAGUUCUUUUCAUCCAGUUAUUAUUUCAGCAAUAUGUCUAGCAAAUAUGUAGUGCACUGGACACCAUACUACCAACACAAGUAGUAAAAGGAGAGACCAUUGUUUCGAAUGCUCGGAAAUUUGAACAGGGUUUUUUCCACCUGCCCCCUGACUUUUUACACAAACAGGUCAAGAAAAACAGAAGCCGGCUUCUGGAAAAAUGAAGCACUACUUUAUGAGUGACCAUUGUUUUGAAUGCUCGGAGAUGUGAAGUGGAUUUUUUCAGCCUGCCCCCAGACUUCUUUUUGUAAAACUAGAUUUCUUUAGCUCCGGUGUCUUAGUAUUGGAGAUUAUGAGUGACUGUAGAAAAGACUUUAAUAUGAGUGUGAGAUAUACCCCGGUGGAAACAGGACCUUGAUCCAAAGGGUCACGGGUUCAAACCUCACCUGAUCGGGUUCCACUCCACGCUCGGUCCACAUCUAUGCUGGAUUCAUAUUAAAAUGAUAAUGGAACACGGGCGUCCAUGGUUGGGGAUAUCAUAUUAAAAAGAUUAGCUGGGCACAGAUGAAUAUUUAUAUGGAUUUUAAAAACAAACUAUGACUUAAUAUAAGAAAAAUCAUUAUUUUUUAUUUUUCCGACUAAACAUUUGUUAGCCUUCUCUGGUGCCCAUCCAAAUCAUUCAGCGGGUUCUACUUUCAGCUCAUCACAAGAACAUCAUUCUGCAGGUACUUUCUUAUAUUGUUUGCCAGCGGUGACCGAGCCAGAAACUUUUUCGAGGAGGGGCCGGAAUAGAAAUAUUAUUUAAAUUUGAAAAUAUUAUAUAUCAUAUUGAAAAUAGUAUUAGUAACAAAAAUCCAUUUAUUUUAGGUUUCUAUGAGAAAACUCAGUCGUUUCAUUAAGAAAAUUUAAUUACUUAAUUACCAAACGGUUGAGGAUGAAGAUUUGAAAGAACGAGUUGCAACGGGGAGACUCAUAGACGCGACAGAAAAAAAUAGAAAAAGAUAUUGUUCAACAACCGAGUCUAUAUUAUUAAAAUUUAUGAUAAAUGAGAUAAUUUUAUUUUAUAAACUAACUAAAUACAUAUAAUAUAGUAUUAUAUGUAAUGCUACGUAAAAUUGGAUACAAGAUUUUGCACAAAAUGAUAUGAUAACUAAAGUGAAAUAUUUUAAUUGGUGCUAUUAAUGUAUAUAUACAUUUAUUACAAUUAAAACUUAACACAUAUUAUUAAUUUUGUGAAUAAAAUAUUUUUCUUAAUAAUAUAUAAGUAAAAAAAAUAAAAAUCUAGGAGGGGCUCAGGCCCCCUCUGGACCCCUCUAGCUCCGUCUGUAUACACCUAUCAUAUUAUUGACAGGUGGCUCUCUCAUAUUGCUCACAGGCGAACUCCUGCAUAUACUUUGUGAACCAAUCAUGACAAAAAUAUCAUCAUCCAAUCAAUUCGAUUAAUUAUUCUUUAAAUCAGUACAAAUAUUGUUAAAUAUAUGGAUGAUUAUCGUGUUUCCGCGAACCAAUCAUGAAAUGAAAUUACCUCUGUAUAAAUCCAUCGGAAAUAAGACAAUUAAUGGGGCCGUUUGGGCAAGCUUAAAAGAAGUGACUUCUUGCUUAAACUAGAGAAGUGGAGCAGAAGUGAGAAGUAAAUAAGUUAUUAAAGUGUUUGGAAAAGAAGCAGAAGCUGUGAGACAAAAGCUAGCAUUCUCAGCUUUUUAAAAGUGACUUCUUUACACAAACGGGUAAAAAAAGCAGAAGCCAGAAGCAGCUUCUGCUUCCGUUAAACAAACAGGCCCAAUAUCUCAAUCGAAUACACCCCGUGAGUUGUCAAACUCCUCGAAACGUAUUAAUCACUUUAGAAAUUUGUUCCACUGGCGCCAUUCAGUUCCAGAGUUGGUGGUAGGGGCCGUGCUUCUUGUGUUUCUUCUUUUCAUUAUUGACAUUGUCAUCUAGGUCCUUGCUUCUGGGCUUUGGAGAAGUAAACAAUGGAUCUAUUAGUCUUCCAUAUCGCUGAUACGCGCUAACGCGCAUUAUAGUGGAUUGAUCUUUAUUAGUGAUUUCUGUGGAGAUGCAUAAUCAUUAUAAGCUCCAAUAUAAAAUAAACCUAAUUUAAAGUUAGUAUGGGCAUUUGUGUUGAUAAUUUACGCAAUGUUAACAGGGAUUGCUCCCAAGUCUUGGACGGAUUCUUUCCAAGUCUUCUGAGGACCUAUUUGCACACUAAUUUGUCGCCAACUAAAAAUUCAACGAUAUUGCUAGCUCCCUCUACUAAUUUUUUGCGGGACGUUUUUUACUUUUAACACAUAUCUUUAGAUAGAAUUAGUAUUGUAAAAAGCGGGAAUCAGACUUAAUCGGUGAAGUCACAGAACAACGAUUAAUCGAUGAUUAAUUGGAUUGAUUGGGUAUCAAUCGGAUGAUUAAUGAAAUAAUCGGAUAUUUAAUCCGUUCGACGAGUUACGGAACAGGGAUUAAUCGUGAUUAAUCACCGACUUUUAGAACAGAGGAUAGGAUAAUAAAAUUAUUAUUUUUGAUUAUUUUUUUUGUGAAUAAAAAUUUUGAUUAUAUAUUUUUAUUAAAAAAGAAUUUAAAAUAAUAUUUUUAACUAACCGGUCCAAACAGCUAAAAGUGUGUGCCCAAGCGUCAUAUAAAAACGGAGGGAGCGAGCAUGUGCUGACUAACGGUUCAACUAACAGUUUACAAGUACUCCAUCUGUCCCAUUUAGUCCUAUUUAAUUAUAUACGUUUUUUUUUAACUGUUUGACACGCACUUCAAUGCUCUUCUAAAAUAUGGUUCUAUAACUUAUUUUUAAAAUUUUCUUUUUCUGAAUAAAAAUAUAACAUUCAAACUUUUAUUCAGAAAAAAAUAUCGUAAAAAUAAGUUAUAGAAUUAUAUUUUAUAAGAGCAUUAAAGUCCAUGUCGCGUCCCCGUCUUCUGAUGUAUAAAUUUGCGCAAUGUUAACGGGGAUUGCUCAUUUGCUCUCAAGUCUUGGACGGACCAAGUCUUCUAGGACCCAUCUGCACACUAAUUUGUCUGCCAACUAAAAAAUCAACGAUAUUGCUGCCUCUGCUAUUUUUUACCAGGACGUUUUUUACUUUUAACACAUGUUUAGAUAGGAUAAUAAAUAUUAUUAUUAUUGAUUAAUUUUUUUGUGAAUAAAAAUUUUGAAUAUAUAUUUUUAUCAAAAAAAGAAAAUUUUAAAAAUAAUAUUUUUAAGGGAAAUUAUUAAUGGUACUAUUGUGCUACUGGCUUUUCUAAAUGGUACUAUUUUGGUGUUUUCGACUUACAUGCAUUAUCACUUCCAUUAACGAUACUACCAUUCCGUCCCUCAAAACGUUAAAACCAUUAGUUGACCGUAUUUAUUUUGUAUUUUCCUUGUAAAAAAAACAAAAGAAUACAACUAAUAUUUGUAUUUUUUGUUUGUGUUCAAAUCGUCGAGAUAUGGAAGAGGUUAUCAGAAUUUUAGAAUUGAUUCGAUGUCCUUCAGAAAGUCAGGGGGAAACGGAAUGAGAUACGAGUUUUGAACAAGAAUCCAGUUUAGUUGUUGUUUAUCUUGAAAAACAGAUUUGGAAGUCAUAUAUUUUCAGCCUUUGGCUUCAUGUAUUUCUGUCUCAUCAUUCCCAGAUACUUGCUGAGGUUUAUAGUCACUGUUUAUUAAAUGUUGUCGUACAUUUUCCUGUAUUAUGCACCCAUGUGGCGCCUGUGUUUUGCAUGUCAUGCACAAUUUGCUCAACUACAUACAGGUCACAGGAUGAGUGCAUGUGCCAAAGGGAUUAGUGCAUUGAUCUGUGUAGUGUGAGGACACUGUGAUACAAGGCACAAUUUCUCAGAUUUCUUCUGUCAACACCACUCCCAUCCAUAGCUCCCACCUUUUCUCUCUCAAUCUCAUGUUUCUCUCUUUCUCUCGCAGCUCCGCCGCCACCACUACAUCAGUCUUCAAGAACUCAAGAAAAAAUAUGGAUAUCAGUUAUAUUUUUUGUGUUUUUUAAAGAAGUAUAUGAAAUAAAUAUAGUCAACUAAUGUUUUUAACGUUUUGAUGGACCGAAUGGUAGUAUCAUUAACGGAUCAUAAACUGAGUGGUACCACUUGUAAGUAAAAACCAGUGUUGUAAAAAGCGGGAAUCGGAUUUAAUCGGUGAAGUCACGGAACAAAGAUUAAUCGGAGAUUAAUCGGACUAAUCGGUGAUUAAUCGGAUAUUUAAUCAGUUCGGCGAGCUACGGAACAGGGAUUAAUCGGUCGUGAUUAAUCACCGACUUUUAGAACAGAGGUAAAAACACGAAAUGGUAUUAUUCAUAAAAGCCAAUACCACGAUGGUACCAUUAAUAAUUUCCCUAUUUUUAAUUACCGAGUCCAAAUAUUUAAACGUGUGUGCCCAAAAUUAAAGCCGCAUAUAAAAAAACGGAGGGAGCAUGUACUAACCGUUUCCAUAACAGUUUACAAGUAUAAGUUAUACUCCCUCUCAAUUUUUUUAUUUUUUUAUAUGACGUUUUGAUCUUGGGCACACAUUAUUAAGUGUUUUGACCGGAUAGUUAAAAAUAUUAUUAUUUAAAUUUUCUUUUCUGAAUAAAAAUAUAUAACCAAAAAUUUUAUUCACAAAAAUUUUUAGUGAUUUUUUCGUGAAUACCUAAGGCCAAUUUUUCAAAUAUUUUGUAAAAAUACCAAUUUUUUGAAAAUAUUUGCAAAGAUAAUGUAUUCAACCACAUGCAACCAUACUUAUAACCAGAUGUAACCAUAAUUGCAACCUCUGCGGGACCAAUUAACUGAAUUUGUAUUUGGUUGCACUAGUUAGUAUUUUCUUAAAGUUAGUAUUUUUGUAAAUAUUUUUAAAAAAAAGUAAAAUCGCAAAAAAAAAAAUCGAAAAAAUGGUUUGAUAAAUUUCUAAAUAUUUAAUCACAGAACAAUAACUUUUACAAUCCGAUCAACUCAUUUAAAAAUGUGUGUCAAAAGUAAAAAUGUCAUAUAUAUAUAUAUCAUAUAAAUGUCAUAUAAAUUUAAAACAAAGGGAUNCAUAUAAAUGUCAUAUAAAUUUAAAACAAAGGGAUAUAUAUUUUUUAAUAAAAUAUACUCCCUCUAUCCCAAAUAAGUGUCAGUGACAUUUUGCAAAAAUAGCUUGGGACAAUAGAUUUUUUUGCCACUCAACUUAAUGUGUUUUUAGAAAUUCGCCACCCAACUAAUUUUUUUUUCCUUUUACUCACUAAUGUUAGGUUUGGAUUUUUUUUAGCCACCAACUUAGGUUCGGAUUUGAUUACUAGUAUUAUGAUAAUUUUAUUUAUCACUAAACUUACUGCGUCUUUAGGAAUUAACCACUGAACUAUAAUUUUUUUAUUUUACUCACUAAUGUUAGGUUCAUUUUUUUUGUCACUGAAGUUAGGUUCGGAUUUGAUUAUUAGCAUUAUAUUAAUUAUGUGUAACAUUAUUAAAAUAUAGUGGUCUAUAAUAUUUUGAUGAUUUGGUAUAUGUCUGUAUCUUUAUAUAUAGUACUUUUUAUGUCUCCAAUGUCGUUUAACUUGAGUGGUAAGAAUUUUACACGCAUUUUAUGGCUUUUAAAAGAUGUAGUUUCAUAAAUAAUUUUAUUUUUUUCUUCCGAAUAAAAAUUCAGCGUUUUACACACAAAAAAAUAACAAAAAAAAGUUAUGAAGCUAUGUUUUAUAAGAGUCUUAAAAUACGUGCUAAGCAGUAGAAAAAACUGUAAACUAAUGAGAGGGACAUGUAGUAAUAAUAAUAAAAUGAUGCAUUAUAGAGGACAAUCAUCGAAAAUUAAGUUAACCUCUCUAUUUAUUUAUCUUGAAAAUUGUAGUAAAAUAAAGUUAUUAAAAUUUAUGAAGAUAAAUUUGAGAGAGAUCUUGGACUGAGCUAGUCAAUUGAAACUUUAAUAGCGAAAGAUGAUGCAUCAUAUCAAUCAAUUACACUUUAUCUUCUUAUCAUCAGGGAGGGUGAAUUGUUUGAAGUCAUUGAUUUCAUAUUCAUGAUUUAUUGAAUUUUAGAAUUCUAAUUACGAUUUUUCCUGGUUUUAAUUUUUCAUCGGCUCAUUUUAUAUUAUUUUUGUUAUAUAUAAGGAUAUAAACAUACGACACAUCAUCAAAAUAUUACAUACUAUCACUAUGUAUAAAUGAUGCGACAAAAAUUAUCAUAAUGCUAGUAAUUAAAUCCGAACCUGAGUAGUGGCUAAAAAAAAAUCCAAACCUAAUAUUAAUGGUAAAAGGAAAAAAAAAAUAGUUAGGUGGCAAGUUUCUAAAAACACUAUAAAUUGAGUGGCAAAAAAAAUCUAUUUUCCAAACAUAGCUUGGGGUAAUAACAAAACCUUAAUCAACGCAAGCACAGCAGACCGCAGGCAUAAGGCUUAUAAAUAGAAGUGCAGUAUUGUGUUGAUGGUCAAGUUGAGUGGAAAUAUGGUACACUUUGUAAAGCCUUGUUAUCCUCUUCUCUUUGUUUUCUUUCUCUCAUUACUUCAAUCCAUUCUAACAACACUACCUGAAUCCAGACGAGAGGGAGAAGCUCUUGUGAAAUGGAAGAAUAGCCUAGCCCCGUCUUCUUUUCUCGACUCUUGGUCACUCACUGAUCUCGAUAAUCUUUGUAACUGGACUGGCAUUACUUGUAACUCUGCAGGUUCAGUCUCGGAGAUUAACCUUUGUGAGAAACAACUUGAUGGAAUGCUGUCCGAGUUUGGUUUCACUUCAUUUCCAGAUCUCAACUAUCUCACCCUCGCAGACAACUUCUUCUCGGGUCCGAUACCAUCAGCCAUUGAGAAUCUAACACAGCUUCAAUAUCUUGAUUUAAGCAUGAAUAGUCUCAAUGGUCCCAUUCCUUUCCAGGUUAGCCAUAUUCAGAGCUUGCUCAUCUUAAACCUGUCACACAAUGCAUUGCAAUCUCCAAAUUGGUCCCAUUGCUCUCCCAUGCCUGUCUUGCGCAUCCUCGACCUUAGUUUUAAUAAUCUUGUGUCGAAAUUCCCAGAAUUUAUAUCCAAUUCUCAUAGCCUGACUCACCUUAACCUUUCAGAUAACAAGUUUACUGGUGAUCUUGUGCGUGAAUUUACCAAUCUACAAAAUCUUGAAACCCUCUACCUUCAAGAUAAUUCUUUUGAGGGGCCGUUUCCGCCUGAUAUAGUCCAGCUUUCCAAAUUAAAACGUCUCGCCCUGUUAGGUAACAAAUUUUCAGGUUCAAUUCCCAAUGACAUAAGGUUGCUUUGUGUUCUUGAAUACCUAUAUUUAGGCAACAAUUCCUUUGAAGGACCACUUCCACCAAAUAUAUUCACGCUUUCAAAAUUAAAAUUACUUGUUCUUUGGGGUAAUAAGUUUUCAGGUUCUAUUUCCAAUGAUAUAGGUUUGCUUUCUGAGCUUGAAACCCUCGUUCUUGACUCUAAUUAUUUUGAGGGGCCACUUCCGCCAAAUAUAUUCAAGCUCUCUAAAUUAAAGGUUUUUUCCCUUGUGUACAAUAACUUUUCAGGUUCUGUUUCCAAUGAUAUAGGUUUGCUUUCUGAGCUUGAAUAUCUCCGUAUUGGCUGCAAUUCUUUCGAGGGACCGUUGCCAACAAAUAUAUUCAAGCUUUCCAAAUUAAGUAAACUUGACCUAUCAAAUAAUAGUAAUUUUUUUGAAGGAAGUAUUCUUAUUGGAUUGGGACUCUUGACUAACCUCAGCUACUUAGAUCUAGAUUCCAAUAAUCUCAGUGGCUAUAUUCCAUCUGAGAUUGGAAACCUGAAGCUACUAGUAUUUCUCGAUCUUAGUUCUAAUCAAUUGACUGGAUCGCUUUCAAAGAUCUUUUCUAAUCUCACAAAUCUUAUAUAUCUUCAUGUAUAUGAUAAUAGUCUUAGUGGAAAUAUUCAGAGUGACUUGUGGAAAAACUCUGUAUCCUUGCGUUUCGUUGAUCUUGCAAAUAAUUAUUUGUCUGGAAACAUCCCUAAGGAAUAUAACGAUCAUCCAACUUUGGAAUACAUUAAUUUAAGUUGGAACCAUUUUACAGGUAUAUUUUCUCUAUAUAUCUUUUCCUUUUCUNCUCAUAUGUAACUAAGCUUGAUUAUUGCAAUUUUACCUAAGUUUCAACAAUCUUGACAGGUGAGCUUCCAACAACAAUUUGCAAUGUCACUUCCCUCUCGGUUCUUGUUUUGUCAAAGAAUGGAUUAAGUGGUCCACUUCCAAAUUGUUUCGGAAAUCUUGCUGAUAGAUUGCUUUCCAUUAAUCUUGCUAAUAAUCAGUUCCGAGGAACAAUACCAACUACUUUCUCCAGCAGUUGUCAGCUGACAUAUCUAAACAUGGAUGAUAAUGAGUUUGAAGGAAUGUUGCCUCAAUCUUUGGCGAAAUGUAAGCACUUGAAAAUUCUUGAUAUUGGCAAUAACAAAAUAGGUGGUAUAUUUCCGUCAUGGCUUUAUGUACUUGGAGAGCUAGAAGUCCUUGUCUUGCGAUCAAAUAAACUCUAUGGUACAAUAAGUGGAAGGAGCAUAGAAGAUCCGUUCCCCAAGUUGCGGAUUGUGGAUCUGUCCAACAAUCAAUUCACCGGCCAGUUGCCAAUUCAAUACUUUAAGAAUAUGAAAUCAACUGAUAAUUUGUAUCGUUAUCGGAAUUCCACAGGACCAUUAUCUUUCUCUUAUGAAGCAGCAGUCUCAUUAACUGUGAAGGGAACAGAGUACGAGGUAGCAAAGAACCUUCAUAUUUACACAGCCAUUGACCUGUCAUGCAACAAAUUUCAGGGAGAAAUUCCAAAGGUUACUGGAGAGCUUAGAUGGCUUGCAUUGCUGAAUUUAUCUCAUAAUAGUCUGACAGGACCUAUCCCAUCCUUGCUGAAAAAUAUGAAAGAACUCCAAUCUUUAGAUUUGUCCUCAAAUCAACUGACAGGGGCUAUUCCACCUCAGUUAACUGCAUUGACAUUUCUGGAGGUCUUCAACCUCUCGGGAAACCAUCUUAGUGGAGAGAUUCCUCAGAAAGGACAGUUCAGCACAUUUAACAAUGAUUCUUAUCUAGGAAACUCCGCGUUAUGUGGAUCACCUUUGACAAAGAAAUGUGCAAACACAGCAUCACCUCCACAAGAAGUCGGAAAUGGUGAUGAAGAUGAUGCUGGUGAUGAAUGGACAUGGGAAGCAAUCGUGAUGGGAUAUGGAUGUGGACUGAUAUGUGGAUUGUCAUCUGCGUACAUUGUUCUCAAACUAGGAAAGCCUUGGUGGUUUGUGAGAUAUAUCGAAGUGCUGCAACUGAAGUUGAUGAAAAGAUAUGCUUGAAAAAUGGUACUGGCCGAUCAAGACGAACUUGAAAGUUGUUGUCCUUGUGGACAUUUCUGAACCAGUAGUGUACUAGCUGCAUAAGUAUUUGGUAUUAUGUAAUAAUCCGUUUGGUCAGGACUCAUAAUGAUUUCUCUUGCUUCAGGGGUA